RNAcentral lists this long non-coding RNA (115948 nucleotides) under Lactuca sativa (garden lettuce). RNAcentral's name for it is "long non-coding RNA (LSAT_LNC003408)". The record is from RNAcentral. Lineage: Eukaryota; Viridiplantae; Streptophyta; Magnoliopsida; Asterales; Asteraceae.
AAGUAAAUUUUAACCUAUGAAAUUGAUUUAAACAACUGAAGAUUAAAACCUAGUAUUAGAAAGGAAAACUAAAUUAACACCAAUUUGCCCAAAAUUAAACCAUGUAUUAUACUAAAUUAAUUCACAAGAGAGUUCCACAUCACUCAAAUAUUAUCUCGCACUCAAAUUCACAAAACUCACUUUCCAGGUACAAAGUUUGUAGCAUAUGACCAUGCAUUGUUUGCAACCGGGUCCGCAAGAUGGUCAGCGAGGUUCUCCAAUGGUCCCUUUCCGGUAACAAUGGCUUGAACAAAGAAUCCAAACAUAGAGAACAUGGCUAGUCUGCCGUUCUUGAGCUCCUUCACUUUCAGCUCAGCAAAUGCCUCUGGGUCAUCAGCCAGACCCAAUGGGUCGAAGCUACCACCAGGGUAAAGUGGGUCAACUACCUCACCAAGAGGUCCACCAGCAAUUCUGUAACCUUCAACUGCACCCAUCAAGAUCACUUGGGUAGCCCAGAUGGCUAAAAUGCUUUGUGCAUGGAUCAAACUUGGGUUCCCCAAGUAGUCAAGACCACCCUCACUAAAGAUCUGGGAUCCAGCCUUGAACCAGACAGCCUCACCAAACUUGACACCAUUACGCGCCAAGAGUUCGGGGAAGACGCACCCAAGAGCUCCGAGCAUGGCCCAUCUGCUGUGGAUGACCUCAAGCUCACGGUUCUUGGCGAAUGUUUCAGGAUCAGCAGAGAGCCCAGCAGUGUCCCAACCGUAGUCACCGGGGAACUCACCGGUCAGGUAAGAUGGGGCUUCGCCGGAGAAUGGGCCAAGGUACUUAACACGGUCGGGGCCGUACCAUGGACUUCCUGAUGGUGCGACUUUCUUGACUGCUGUCUUCCUCAUGGAAACCCUUCCAUUUCCGGUAAUUUCAGAACCAGAUGGUGCUACUUUCACCGCCUGUCCGACGAAAGAAGAGGAUAGUGCCAUGGUGGAAGCUGCCAUUUUUGUGAGAUUUGUUUUGAAGAUGUUUUGAUGAUAUGAUAGUAUUAUGAGUGAUGAAGAUGUGUGGAUCUGGAACGUAGAUUUAUAGGGUGGUUUUUGGGCCAGGUAGUUGAUCAAUGCUUAUCUUGAUACACUCUUUAACUUCAUUUUGAUUGGCUACCAAGAUUUUAGUUCUAUCAGAGGGUAUAUAAUUUGUGUGGUUCAAGUUCUCUGGUCCACGGGAGAUAUUUGAAGGGGCAGCGAUAUUCAUGGCUCUGGCUUAUUGAGCGAAUAUAAUGGCUCGCAUUCUCAGCCACUAGCUAGUCUUGGUGGGGUUUUAGCCAGUCUUUGUGCGGUUUUUCAUGUUUAACCAUUACCAUAGUAUCGACUAAGUUUAGUCCAAACAUGCAUUGAAGUUCAGUAGAUUUGUAUUAUCAUUUUGUUUUUUAUACAAAUUUAUCAUUUUCGUACAUAAUAUAAACUCUAGGAAAAUUAAAUAGAAUAUAUUUUGAGAUAUUGACAACAUUGACCAAAUAAUAAAAAAACGUAACACACCAUUCUAAAAAAUAACAUAUAACCAUGAUGUCCGAAAAAAAUAUAACAUAUAACCAUGAUUUUCGAAAAACAAAAUUCUUGAAGAUGUACAAUUUUCGAAGGUACUAUUUGGUGACUAAUUUUAAAAGAAGCCAUUUUCAAAAUGUAAUAUUCUCGAAGUGAUUAUUUCAGCUACUUAAGGUGAUGUUGAUUUCAAAUCUCUAACAUGACAAAAAGCUUCCCCAACAAAUCUGAAGCAUGGACAUUUCAACCUAAAGAUGGGUGAGGGAAGUUCUUUUAUUGAUCAUCUUUUGUUUUCUAACAGCUUGUAGAACAUCUAGAAAUAUUGGAUGCCACAUAUGAAAAAGAAGACUUGCCGUUGUUCCUAUUGUCAUCUUUAACAAAUUCAUAUGAUGACUUUUGUGAUAAUAUUAUCUAUAGCUGAGACACCAUUGUCUUGGAUGAGAUCAUGACCACUUUAGACUUGAACGAAAGGAUGAAACUUAUCAUUAGUGAUAGUAAUGGUGAUAUAAAGGACGAAGGUCUCCAAGUAAGAGGAAGAUAUAUGUAGGGAAGUAACGAUUCCAAAUCCCUUAACAAGUCAAGAUCCAAGUCCAAAGAGAAACGUAUAUAGUGCAAAUAUUGUGUGUCUGUUGAAGCUGAUGUGGCCGAGAUCGUCUUUGAUGGCGAGCUUCUAGAAUUAUUUCUGACGAUGGUUAUUUGAUUACCACGAACGGUGGGUUCUUGAAUUUGUGCGUGCUUUUCACAUGAGUCCAAACAAAUACUAUUGUCACACCACAUUGAAAAGGAUAGUUGAUGCCAAGUUUUAAUAGGCAACGUCGACACUUCCUCCCUUAUUUUAGGACAAGCCACAAUUAGAUUUUGAAUGUUCGAUGGUGUAGUAAGUGUUGGGUUUCUAUAACAUCAAGUACACACAAACAAGGUAGUGGAAACAAUGAAAUGAUAUACCUAAGUGCAUAUGCUCUUUAGAUCUAGGUUUUACUAGUUUUAGCAAAAUACUUAAAAAUCAACAUAAAAUAAAGAUAAAACACUUACUUUUUGUUCAUUUGUAACGUCAUAAUAAAUACUCUCUCCGUCCCAAAAUUAUUGUUCACAGACAAAAAAAAAACACACAGAUUAAGAAAACAUUAAUUACUACUAACUUUAUUCAAUAAAAUGACAGUUAUGUCCUUAUUUUGCAUUUAAUGUUCGAUUAAAUGCUUAGUUGGUUAAGUAAUAAUAAUAAAGUGUAUUUUGGUAAAAAAGUUAUUUAUUUUUAUAAGUGGACUAUAAUUUUAGGACAAACCAAAAAGGAAAGAUGGACUAUAAUUUUGGGACGGAGAGAGUAAUAAUUACUAAAAUAAAAUCCUAAAAUAGGAUAAUCUAUAGCCGUGCGCGCUGCGGACUAUAUAAUACAAGUUUCUUAUUAAGGAAAAAUAGGAAAAAUCACCCGAGUCGUCCGUAAGUCAUAAAAAUAAGUGUGCCAAAAUGUAUAUAUUAUUAUAUAUUCAAAAAGUACAUGUCGUCCUGAUCCCGAAAAUAUAAAUUUCGUAGAAAUCUUAGUUCAUAUGAAGACGAUAUGAAUUUUAUAAGACAUAAAAAUCAACAGCCUAACUAAAAAUUAUUAACGUCAAAAUGUACAAAGAGAAUGGUUGACCUUUGGGUAAAGUCACCAAAAUGAAAAUCAUAAUGCUCUUUAAUGUAAGAAUUUUGGUAAAAGAAACACAAAAACUCGGAGUCCGUAUGGGAAAGUUAUGAUUUUUGCAAAAUCAUUAAAUCAUAUAAAAAUAAGGGCUAAAAACAAAUUCAGAAUUAGCCGAUGGAGCCUAAAGGAAAGUUGUAGUAUUGUCGAGAGCUACAUGUGGAAAAAAAGAACGUCAAAAGCAGAGUCCGUAUGAAGAAGGUGAAAAUGCGACCCAAUGAGAGCUUGACACGUGACACAAUGUGGCUAGGGAGAAGUCACCUUAAAAUGCACGACGUACACCCCCAUUGCACACUGUGCACCCAAAAUCGGCUAUAAAUAGGAGGUCAAGCCUCAUUCACUCCUCAACACCGCUUCUAUCAUUCUCUUUCGAUUUCCUUUGGUUCUGGCCCAUUUUAUCUUAGUUUUAGCAUUCGGCGAAGCCCUGCGAUCCCUAAAGUAGUAGUAGUUAGCGAGUAGAAGCUUUGCCAAUGCAAUUUCCUAACUUUGUUAGGAAGAACCUUUGUAAGUUAAGCUAUACUCUAGUCUUUUCAAUGUAAGUUAUAUUUAUAGUCAUAAGUCAUUAUUAUGAACCUAUAAAUAAGAUUUAUCAAUAAUUCUAUGUCGUUAUACUGAUUGAUCUACUUACGGGAGAUGUGCCUAGAAUGGUCACGUUGGCUUGGUUGUUGGAUUUCAAAAAAGAUAAUGAUUCUGCCUCCCAACUGUCCUGCUUGGAUGAUCCUUAAUUGAUAGAUCUUGAUUUAGACAUCAAAAUUAAUGAGGAAUCUAGUCAUCAGGACCAUUAGACUAGAACUUUAUAUAAAUUAUACUUAGGUAUCGGAAAUAUCUGAGGUGUUAGGCAAAGCUCUGCCCAGAUCACCAGCCACCCACCUAAGUCAAGUGAGUACAUAGUCCCCUUCAUGAACACGAUUUAAUACAAGUAUUAAUUGAAAUAUUAAAAAUCUGCUGGAAGUCGUAUGUGAAUUAUAUACUUAUUGCCUGGAUUGUAUGUUAGGAUAUAUGGUGCUAUGUGCGAACUAGAUAUGGUUCUAUUUUAUGUUAAGAUAAAUAGAUAAUAUUACAUAAUAAUAUUCAAAGCAAAAUUGUUGAGAAGAUAAAUGAUUAAUAACACCUAAUACUCUUAUGGAAUAUAUAUAUAUAUAUAUACUAAGAUAGGUUAGUGUCGCCCAAGAAUAGAGUUGGUAUUAAAAAUUUAGUUUCAGGCACGGUAUUCUAUUCUAGGAAUAAACUUAGACUUAUGGAAGAUACCUAGUUCAAUUAAGUUGAUAUUAGAUAGUCUCAUUAGGAGAAUGUGCGUAACCUAGGAAUGGAGAGUAAAGUUUUGUUCCAUGACACUAUUAGGUGUCGAUUUGUUAUAGCUUCGUACUAGAUGACCAGAAAUGGUGGGUCCUGAUCAGGCAACUGUUAGCAGUAUGUCUAGUCACGCCACAUAGUAUUUUUGGAUUAGAUGUCCAAACCCAUAACUAUAAUUGGUAUAUACUUGACCCGAGAGUAGCAUGGUCCAUUUCAGGUUGCCUUCAUCAAAGCAAUUUGACAAGAUAGAUAUUUGAGAAAGAGGUUAUUUGUGAUUUACUAAUAUUAUAAGAAUAAUAUAUUAAUUAAGAAAUCAUAUUAUUUAAGUAGUAUUGUUCAAAAAUUAAUUUGGAAUUAAUUUAGUAAUCAAAAGAGACUAAUUAAAUUUGCAGGGACUGAUUAGGUAAAUCAGUGAUAUUUAUAGUUUGGGGCCUUUGGGCUAAUGAUCAAUGUUGAUUAGGAUUGGACUAAUUCUUUGUGAGAGUCCAUGAAGAGUUAGUCCAAAACGCUAAUGAGUUAUUGGAUUAAAAGCCCAAGUGAGUUAGGGUUUACAAGUUGAAUCCCUAGGAAUUCAUAACAUUAUUGAAGCAACAUACUAUUGAAUAAAAAAACUUCUAAACCCUAAUGGAAAUCACAAUUUUCAGAAGAAUUACAUACCUCUAAUUUGUUAUUGUAAGCAAACCUUUGAAUCCAACAAGAUCAAUCCAAAAGUCUCUUUGAAAACAAACUUCAAUUGUGAGCGAGCCUCUAAUGGUUCGCACUCACAAGACAAGAACCCUAGAAAGAUUAGGAGAGAGGUUCAAAUUUUUGGAUCUACUAUCUCAAUAGAAGUGGCCAAAAAUUUCAAGGUACAAGACCCUAUUUAUAGCUUAUUAGGAAACAUCUAGAAACCCUAAUUUGAACAUAAAAUAAAAUUAUCUCAAAUAAGUCAAUUAUUUAGUUUCUUGAUUAUCUGCAUGGAGGCUUCCUGAAACCUUAGUGGGUCUAAAAAAAAGGUCCACUGGAGGAAGGUUCUGGAAUCUCUCCUCUGCUCAACUCUUAAAACAAGUUUCGCUUUAGUCCUUCAACCUUUAAUUAAUUUUAAUUAACCAUAAAUUAAUUCCAAACCAAUUCUAAAUUAAUCAUAACUAUUUAUAAUUAAUAUAUUAAUCAUAUAAUAUAUUAAUAAAUCAUUUCUCUCUCUUCUAAAAUCAAUCUAAGCAAUUUCUUGGUUAUGAGGGCAACCCAAAAAGGACUUUGCUUUUAUUUAUCAACAUUAUAUCAAUUUAGUUUGGAUCUUAGACACCUUAAUCCAACAUAAGGUUCGUAAUACAUAUACAUGUUGUGUAUGUCCAUUAGCAAAACAAAAAUGAUUACCAUUUGUUUCUGCAAACAAUGUAUCUCAUACACCUUUUCAAUUGAUUCAUUGUGACAUUUGGGGUCCUUAUCAAAUCAAUUCACAUCGGGGUUAUAGGUUUAUCAUUACUAUUGUGGAUGAUUACACUAGAUUCACUAGGAACUAUUUGAUAAGACACAAAUCUGAGGCACAAUUUGUUAUUCCCCAUUUUUUUUUUUUAAAAAUGGUGCUCAAAUAAUAUCAUACUCAUAUAAAUAUUUUCAGAUCGGAUAAUGCAAAAGAACUUCAACUCAACGUGUUUUUUAAACUAAAUGGAGUAUUACAUCAGUUCUCGUGUGUUGAUAGACCACAACAAAACUUUGUUGUUGAGAGAAAACUUCAACAUCUCUUAAAUGUGGCAAUGACAUUGUUCUAUCAAGCUCACAUUCCUUUUAUAUGUUGGCUUGAAUGUGUUUCAACAAGUGCCUACAUGAUAAAUAGAACUCCCUCAAAAGUUCUUGGAAAUAUUUCUGCUUAUAAAAAUCUCUAUAAAGAAUAGCCUCAUUACUCAUAGCUUUGAAAUUUUGGUUGUUUACCUUUUGCAUCCACACUUCAUUCUCAAAGACAUAAGUUUGAUCAUUGAGCAAGAGCAUGUGUUUUCAUUAGAUAACCACAAGGAAUGAAAGCAUAUAGAUUUCUUGAUAUAGAAACAAAUCAAAGUUUUGUUUCUAGAGAUGUCAUAUUUCAUGAGGGGAUAUUUCCUUUUAAAUAAUGCUCGCCAUCUUCUCAUACAAAUCCAUUUAUCUUUCAUGUUUUGCCUAUACUUUUACCUAGAAUCACUCAUUCUUUUACUCCUUCAGAAAAUCUCAAUCAAUUUGAUUCCCAAAUUGAUACCUUACAAAUGAAAUUCCAAAUUCACAACCAAUAUUUCUAGACCACGAAGACAAAGAGCUCCUCCUUCAUAUCUUCAGGAUUUUCAGUAAUUUGAUAAAUCCAAUUCCAGAAGAAACAUCUAUCAAAUACCCAUUAUUUGUUGUAUUAUCUUAUUUACAUCUUUCUCCUUCUUACCAAGCAUAUACUUAUGCCUUAUCUACUCAAACUAAACCCACUUCUUUUAAAGAAGCCAUUCAACAACCUAAAUGAAAGCAAGCAAUUGAUGAAGAACGUCAUGCUUUAGAGUUAAAUAAUAGUUGAACCAUUGUAACCCUAUCUCUUGAUAGAAAACCUUUGGGCUGAAAACGGGAUUUUAAACUUAAAAAGAAGGUUGAUGGAUCCAUUGAAAUCCAUAAGGAUAUAAUGGUAGCAAUGGGCUAUAGUCAAUAAGGAGUGGAUUUUUUUGGAUACUUUCUCACUUGUGUAAAAUUUAGUCAUAGUCAAACAUUUGCUGCUAACAAAGCUUGGCCACUAAUCCAAUUAGAUGUUAAUAAGCUUUCCCAAAUGGGGAUUUAAAUGAAGAGGUUUAUAUGCACUUACCACAAGGAUAUACUCCAUCUUUGUUUCUAAUUCCAGUGGAAAAUUAGUCUGCAAUUUUGAAAAAUAUUUAUAUGGUUUACAACAAGCUUCAAGGCAAUGGUAUGAUAAAUUUUCAAAAUUUUCUUAUUUCUAAAUAUUUCAAGCAAUAUCAAUAAAAAAAUUCCUUAUUUUUCAAAGGAAAAGAUGAUAAUUUUAUGGCCUUAUUAGUAUAUGUAGACGAUAUUGUCCUUACGGCUUAUUCUCUCACAACCAUUAAUAACAUCAAACAACGUUCAAGUGAUGCCUUUUAUCUCAAAGAUUUGGGUAAACUCAAACAUUUUUUGGGUUUGGAAAUUGGAAGAUCCCCAAAUGGAAUUGUCAUUUCUCAAAGGAAAUGUGUUAGAUCUAUUUGAAGAUGUUAGCAUGUUGGUAUCCAAACCAACCUCUCAAUUAAUGGAUCCUUGUCAUAAAAAAUUAAUUUUUUAUGGAUAACCUGUAUAAGAUCCAUCUCAUUAUCGCCAUUUAGUUGGUCGUCUUCUUUAUCUCACAAUCACACCUCCCGAAAUAGCUUAUGUAGUACACAGAUUAAGCCAAUAUAUUUCUGAUCUAAAAAUACCACAUCUUCAGGUAGCUCAUCAUGUGUUAUGAUUUUUAAAGGAUAACCCUAGACAAGGUUUGUUUAUUUCAUCCAAACCAUCUUUGCAAGUCAAAGCAUUCAAUGAUUCUGAUUGGGUUGGAUGUAUUAACACUAGAAGAUCUUUUACAGGUUUUUGUGUUUUUCUUGGAGAUUUCUUAAUCUUGUGGAAAUCCAAGAAAAAAACCACUUUUCCAAGAAGAUCAAUAGAAGUAGAGUACAGGGCACUGGAUCUGUCAUAAAUGAUGUGAUCUGGUUAAGAUAACUUAUGCGUGAUUUUUUUUAUUAAUUUGGAUCCACCAACAUUUGUUUUUUGUGAUAAUAAUUUUGCAAUGCAAUUAGCUGUCAAUCCUAUAUUUCACUAGAGGACUAAGCAUAUCUAAAUCGAUUUCCAUUUCAUAAGGGAAAUGAUUGUGGAUCACACCAUCAAACUCAUGCCCAUUCAUACUUCAAAUUAACUAGCGGAUAUAUUUACAAAACCCCUUGCUUAUUCUAGAAUUGCUUUGAUUUUAUCCAAGAUGGCACUUAAAAGUAUUUUUUAGUGUACAUCUUGAGGGAGGUAUUAGAGCAUAUUGACCGCUUAGUUGAUUAAAUAUCUAUUACGAUGCCGUUUUAUAUUUGUCAUUAGAAAUAAAGGUAGUGAAACUAUGUCAUUUACUUGUGUAAAUAAGUUGUUAAGUUAGUUAGGUGCAUGUUAGCUAAUGUUGUGCAAGAUAAUAGUUAUAUAUAAUCUCAUUUUAUAUUUAUUGAUGAAUAAGAGAAGAUUAUAUUCCCUUUUCAAUUCUUUUUCUUCUUGAUUGUAAAUCUUUCCUCUACCCAUACCUUUCAUAACCCCCUAAAACUAUUUAAUCAAAUCGGUCACUGAAUUCUUGUUUCCAAUUUUGAUUCGAACGACGGUACCUCAAGCCAUUGUUUCAGAUCUUGAGGUAAAUACAAUUGCUCUAUUUCCCUUAAUUAUAAAUUGCAUUCAUGAUUUAUUGUUGAUUGAUGGUGCUAAAUGUUCAGAUGUAAAUCAUACACAUUGUGAACUUAUAGAAACAAUAUGUUGUUCCUAAAAUUGGUAAAAUCCAAAAUCCAAGAUGAUGCAAAUAUCGAUGCUCUACUAAAACUCAUAUAUGUCAAUGGCGCUACAUGAUGGAAAAAGAGCCACUUUUAGUUUGUUGUCAAAAGGCAAAGUGAAGUUAAGACAGUCUUCUCUCAAAUACGACCUCUAGCCUUAGGCUUCAAGUUGUUUCUCGUGUGAGUUUGGGUCUUUCAAAAUUCAACAAAUUUGCUACAAUGGAUACAAAUGUUCUUUAUGGAUACAUCACUAGACUGUAAAAUGAGAUUGAUAACAUUCACGAUGUUGUUAGAUUGCUUACAUUCAUGAUGUUGUUACAUUGGUAAAAGUCCGAGAUGACAUCAUGGUGGACGUUGGUAGAACGAGACAUGACAUUGUGUUCCUGCUCAGUACUACGCUUCCACCAUACUUAGUGUCACUUAUAUGUAGAAAGGUGUUAUCUAUAUCAAUUUUAUAUAUUAUGUAUAGUGUAGGGAGACAAUUUUAACAAUGUAUUGUAUAAAUAUAUUCUGCAAUAUACGCCUCCAAAUGAUGAGGUUUUUCCCACUUUAAUAUGGUAUCAAGCUACGGUUUCUACCCUCUUUAAUCAUACGUAUGGAUCAAACCUUUUACCGCCUCACAUUUUUUUUUCUGGCCAUUAAUCACGUUGUCGCUGCUCUUAUAUGCCACUAUAAUUGUCGACUGCUUCUCAAUUUUUCUCGACGUGCUCUCCUCCGUGCAUUAGGGUCUUCCUAAAAUAUGGUUGUGGUUGAUUCUUUUAUGUUUCCAACAAUAUUUUACAAUCUCCUGCUGUGAUCACAUAAUUUUGCCCUCAUCAUUAUUGUGUGCGUUUCUUGCUCCUUAAGGUAUUGCCUCCAUGACCACUCCUGGUUCAUCCUCUACCACCACUCCCAUGAAGUUAAGUCUCGUUUGUACUCUCACCAACGUUUACAAUCAUUUUAGUUUCAAAUUAAAUGUUGAUGAGCCAAACUGUAAACUAUGGAAUCAGAUUUUUUCAAACAUGUGUCGAGGCACAUUGUCCUAUGGUAAUAUUUCAUAGAAAUCGGUUCCAACCAGAGAUGAUGAGGAAUGAUAUUCGGUUGAUGCAAGGCAUCAAUUCUUAUUUUUAUAGUAUUGUGAUCCCGAGUUUCUUCAAUUCAUCUUGAGCGAUGAUUACACCACCACAAAUCUUUCGAAAAAAUUAGAUGAAUUUUUCGGAACAACAAAAUAUCUCGAAUGUUGCAAUUACAGGAUUAAUUUCGCAAUACGAAGAAGGGUUCAAGCUCCAUUACCGAAUUUUAUCACAUUCUCAAGAACCGUGCCAAUGAUCUCAAAGAUGUUGGUUCCACCAUCAUCGAAAUUGAGCUAGUAAUGCCAAUCUUGAGACAAUUACCAUCUCAUACCAUAGUAUUACGGAUGUCAUCACCAACAUCAAGCCUUUUCACUCUUUCCUUGAGGCCAAGAAUAUGCUUUUACUUCAUGAGUCUCGAGAAACGGCUUAAGAUUCCUUCACAAAUUCAUCCAUGUCUCAUAGUGUGGCUCUAUUUUCCUCAUCCAACAAUUUGGGAAAUCCAAAUACCGAUGGUCGAAAAACUGGAACAAUUCCCGAAAAAUUGAAAAACAAUGCACAUGGAAAUCAUUUUGAUUCGCAACCGCAAUUUAUUAGAAUUCUUGGAAAUGCUCUGUUGCCACCUCCGCGUGCUGCCUCUGGUUACGUUGCUGCUAUCCCAGCUGCUUCGCACUUAAUCCUACUGUCUUACAGCUCCUAUCUGUAGGUUCCAUUCUCGCCGAAUCAGCAGCCCACGUGACAACUGUCAGUGCCUCCGCAACCCUCUUCUCAACAUUUCACUUUUCAUCAGCAUCUGACUCAUGUUGUUGGGUCUUCAUCAUCAGCUACACCCCUCAGACUUGUUUCUCAACAACCAAGUCAGGUGCCUCACGGUCACUUUUCUCAACAUCAAUUUUUUGGUGGAUCUACUUUUGGUUGUCACGUUCAGACUACUCCUUAACAAUUCAUCGAUAUCGCCUCUGCCUUUCAAUCCAUGUCUCUUCAGCCGCCUCUCGACAACAACGUUUACGUGGACUCCGGUGCUAGCUAUCACAUGUCCUUCAAAUCAGUUAACAUGCCUUGCCUAUCACUACGUAAUUCUAGAUCUCUAAUAGUUGCUAAAGGUGCUAUACUUCAUAUUACUCAGACUGGUCAAAUUUUUUUUCCACAUUCACACAACUGUUUAGCUCUAAAUAGCAUACUUGUCUCAAAUAAAAUUGUUAAAAAUCUCAUUAAUGUAUGUCAGUUCACUGUUGAUAACUUUGUCUCUGUAACUUUUGACCCUUUUGGUUUCACUGUGAAGGAUUUUAAAACAUGUGCGUUUAUUUAAAGAUGUGAUAAUGGCAGUGAUCAUUGUCCCGUUAUCCCCAUGCCAACUCCUUCUUUUUCUAACACUAGUUGUGUUGUUGUUUCUCUCCCAACUUGGCAUAUGCGUCUUGGUUACCUUGGCUCAUCUAUUUUGAAUUUUUUACAUUCUUGCAAGUUUAUUUCCCAUACUACUACUAAACUACCCAUCUAUCAUGCUUAUUAGCUUGGGAUGCAUUGUCGUUUACCCUUCUCUUCGUCUAUAAUUAAAACUACUAGUAUGUUUGAAUUGGUGCAUUUAGAUUUAUGGAUAUCUCUUAUUGCUAGUCUAAGUUGUUUUAAAUAUUAUAUUUUUUGGAUGAUUUUACUCAUUUCUUAUGGGUUUUCCAUCUUCGUGAAAAAUCUGAUAUUUUUGAUGUUUUAUCUAACUUCCAUGGAUGUGUCCAAACUCAAUUUAAACCUGACAUCAAAUUUUUUCAAUGUGAUAAUGGUUGUGAAUUCAAUAACAAAUCUGUUCUCACUUUCUGUGCCCAUAAGGAAAUCAAAAUUGGCUUCUCUUGUCCGUAUACGUCCCAACAGAACGAUAAGGUUGAAAGAGUCAUACGAACCAUUAAUAACAUCCUUCGAACUUACCUGUUUCAAGCCUCCCUGCCUCCAACAUUUUGGGUUGAAGCUCUCCUCAUUACUGUUCAUACCCUUAAUCUCCUUCCCACCUCCACUCUUGCGUUUCAAACACCCUUUGAGCUUCUCUUUGGUGUUUUUUCCCUCCUAUGAUCACCUUUGAGUAUUUGGGUGCCUUUGCUACCCAAAUCUCUCAUCCACGACUCCCCAUAAGAUCUCUUAUAGGUCUUCUUCAUGUGUAGACCUCAAUCCCUCCUCUAAUCAUUGUGGCUUUUGUUGCCUUAAUCUCAUCUCCCAACGAGUAAUUAUCUCUCGUCAUGUCAUCUUUGACGAUCACUUCCAUUUCUCUACCUUUCAUGAUAAACCCUCAACCAAUUACUAUGAUCCUUUCCUUUCCGAGGAUAUACCUCCCCUCCUUACAGUAUGCACUACUCUUCGCAUCACUGAGCCCUCUCCUAGUGAAUCUUCUCCCGCUCUUUCUGAUAGUAGUUCCCCUCAACCCACUGCCUCCUCCUCCUUUCCUAAUACUAUUCCUACCCCCUCCUCCUACCCAUCCCAUGGUCACUUGCUCUCGCACUGGCUUUCUCAGGCCUAAGUAGAUUUUUAAUCUAUUUGCCACUUCUGAUGUCUCCCCUAUCCCUCGCUCUAUAUCUCAAGCUCUAUGUGAUCCUAACUGGAUUUUUCCAUGGACUCUGAAAUGCAGGCUCUUCACUCCAAUCACAAAUGGGAACUUGUUCCCCUUUCUCCAUGCCAAAAUUGUUGGUUGUCGCUGGCUUUAUUGUCAUAAGUUUGACAGAAAAGGUAACCUAGAUCGCUAUAAAGGUUGCCUUGUUGCUUAGGGAUUCUCUCAGCUUCCUGGUCUUGACUUUGAUGAUACCUUCAGUUCUGUUGUCAAACCUGAUACGAUUUGUACUGUUCUAAUUAUUGCGAUGUCCAAGCAUUAGCCAAUUCAUCAACUAGAUAUCAAAAAUGGUUUCCUACAUGGUUACCUAUCUGAGGAAGUUUACAUGAAACAACCUCAUGGGUAUGUCCAUCCCUCCCUUCCUAAUCAUGUAUGCCGACUUCUCAAAGCUCUUUAUGGUCUCAAAUAGACUCCCAAGCCAGGUACCAACGCUUUGCUGUUUUCAUCACCUCUCUCGGUUUUACUAGAAGUCGGUCUGAUUGUUCCUUAUUUACUUAUCACUCUGGUUUCGACCAUAUCUUCUUUCAUUUUUAUGUUGAUGAUAUCAUCCUCACCUCCUCCUCUUUCUCCACUCUCAUCACUCACAUUAUCUCAUGUCUCUCGUCUGAGUUUUCCAUGUCCAAAUUGGGUCCUAUUUCCUUAUUCAUUGGCAUCGAUGCUUUUCGAUCUGAGGAGAGUCUAAUUUUAUCUCAGGCUUCCUUUAAUGACAUCUUAGCUCGUGCUGACAUGUCUUCUUGCAAUCCGUGCAGUACCCUAUCUGACACUAAAUCUAAACUUUCUCCUCACGGCUCUCCUGUCUCUGAUCCCACUCUCUACAGGAGUCUUGUUGGUGCCUUACAAUAUCUUACUUUCACUCGUCCUGACAUUGCAUAUGUUGUACAGAUCUCUCUUCAUGUUUGCGUGAACCUCAUCUUCUUGCUCUUAAACGUAUCCUUCACUAUCUUCAGGGUACUAUUUCUCAUGAUAUGUUUAUUCGACCUUCCUCCAUUGAUCACUUGGUCUCCUAUUAUGAUGCAAACUGGACCGAGUGUCCUCAUACUCGUUGGUCUACUUCUGGGUUUUGUGUUUAUCUUGGCAAUAAUCUCGUCUUUUGGUCCUCUAAACAUCAACAUGUUGUUUCUCACUCCUCAGCUGAGGAUGAGUAUUGUGGGAUGGCUAAUAUGGUUGCUAAAGCUGCUUGGCUUUGUAAUCUCCUUCUUGAGUAAUCUUGUACGUUAUCUAAAGCAACAUUUAUGUUUUACUAAAUGUGAGUGCCAUGUAUUUAUCUUCUGAACCAUUAAAACACGAACGUAUUGCUCGUGCCGUCGAUUCACUAAUUUGCAGAUAUAUUUACAAAGGGUCUUCACCGGUUUAAAUAUUUGUAAAUCUCAUGCUCUAACUAGAGGGUGCCUUAGUUUAUAUUAGUUUAUAUAUAUUAUGUAUAGUGUAGGGACCAAUUGUAACUUUAUAUUGUAUAAAUAUAUUCUGCAGUAUAUGUCUCAAAUUGAUGAGGCUUUUCCCACAUUUAACAAAAGGAAAACUAAAUUAACACCAAAUUGCCCAAAAUUAAACCAUAUAUUAUACUAAAUUAAUUCACAACAGUUCGACAUCAAUCAAAUAUUAUCUCGCACUCGAAUUCACAAAACUCACUUUCCGGGUACAAAGUUUGUAGCAUAUGACCAUGCAUUGUUUGCAACAGGGUCAGCAAGGUGGUCAGCGAGGUUCUCCAAUGGUCCCUUUCCGGUAACAAUGGCUUGAACAAAGAAUCCAAACAUAGAGAACAUGGCUAGUCUACCGUUCUUGAGCUCCUUCACUUUCAGCUCAGCAAAUGCCUCUGGGUCAUCAGCCAGACCCAAUGGGUCGAAGCUACCACCAGGGUAAAGUGGGUCAACUACCUCACCAAGAGGUCCACCAGCAAUUCUGUAACCUUCAACUGCACCCAUCAAGAUCACUUGGGUAGCCCAGAUGGCUAAAAUGCUUUGUGCAUGGAUCAAACUUGGGUUCCCCAAGUAGUCAAGACCACCCUCACUAAAGAUCUGGGAUCCAGCCUUGAACCAUACAGCCUCACCAAACUUGACACCAUUACGCGCCAAGAGUUCGGGGAAGACGCACCCAAGAGCUCCGAGCAUGGCCCAUCUGCUGUGGAUGACCUCAAGCUCACGGUUCUUGGCGAAUGUUUCAGGAUCAGCAGAGAGCCCAGCAGUGUCCCAACCGUAGUCACCGGGGAACUCACCGGUCAGGUAAGAUGGGGCUUCGCCGGAGAAUGGGCCAAGGUACUUAACACGGUCGGGGCCGUACCAUGGACUUCCUGAUGGUGCGACUUUCUUGACUGCUGUCUUCCUCAUGGAAACCCUUCCAUUUCCGGUGAUUUCUGAACCAGAUGGUGCUACUUUCACCGCCUGUCCGACGAAAGAAGAGGAUAGUGCCAUGGUGGAAGCUGCCAUUUUUGUGAGAUUUGUUUUGAAGAUGUUUUGAUGAUAUGAUAGUAUUAUGAGUGAUGAAGAUGUGUGGAUCUGGAACAUAGAUUUAUAGGGUGGUUUUUGGGCCAAGUAGUUGAUAAAUGUUUAUCUUGAUGCAAUUUUUAACUUCAUUUUGAUUGGCUACCAAGAUUUUAGUUCUAUCAGUGGGUCCAUAAUCUGCGUGGUUCCACUAUUCGAGUUCUCUGGCCCACAUGAGAUAUUUGAAGGGGCAGCGAUAUUCAUGGCUCUGUCUUAUUAAGCGAAUAUAAUGGCUAGAAAUCUCAGCCACUAGCUACCAUGCACAAACCGGUUUUUUUUUUGAACCGGACCGCUUCAAAAAUCCGGUUCGGUUCUAGUCAAUUUAGUCAAAACCAGUUUGGUUCCAAACCGGUCCAGCUUCAAAAUAAUUCAAACGUAUGUAAACUCGUUAAAGAAAAAACCGGUUCAAAAAGGGUUCAAAACCAGUUUGACGGAAAAAAGGUUUUUUUCAAUUUUUAUUUUGUUUUUAGGCUAAUAACUGAAAAAUAGGAAUUUUUUUUUAUAAUAUUGCUUUUAUUGUGUUUAAAAAAAAAGUUUCACACUAGGUUUUUUGAAAAUGGAAGUGGAAUGAAUUGGGAAUUCAUAAGCCUUUUUUUUGGUAAUACACACGUACACACGUCCAUAUGCCAAAAGGUUUUUAUUAUUAUUUUUUUUAUUUCUUGUUUAAUCUUUUGAUGUAUUAAAUUUUUUUUUUGUUUCAGAUUUGAUGUUUUAUCUUUUUUUUUUUCAUUUUUUUUGUUUUUUAUAUUGGAAAUACAUAAUACAACUUCAAACAUAAAAACACAAAACAUCCAAAUUGUCAAACUAAUACAUCUUCAAAUAUAAAACAUUGAUGUCGUCGUAGUCUUCAUUCCAAGUCCGUAGUCAUUGUAUUUAUUCGUCAUCCGCCAUGUCGUUGCGUAAUUCUCUCUCAUACUCGAUCUCUUCUAGGGUGAGUGACACCGACAUUCCCAUCGCUACUUCUUCCUCAUGUACUCGUGCUUCGACAUGCAACGAUGUGCCUUCUAGUGCUUCGAUGUCUUGUAUCCUUUCCACGCCAUCAAGGUAGUAUUUCAAGCAAAUGCACACUUCCACCGACAAAUGGGUUAGUUUUGUUCUUCUUGGUGAUAUUACCCUGCCACUAACAGAAAAACCGAUUCCGANUUACCCUGCCACUAACAGAAAAAGCCGAUUCCGAAGCUACCAUAGAAGCUUGGGAGCUUAGUAGAUCACGGGCCAUAGCGGCUAGAAUUGGAAAUUAGGUUUCCUUUCCUUUCCACCAAACCAAAAUAUCAAAAUUUUCAAACUCUUGAAUACUCAUUUCACUACUAGAAAAAUAGCCUUUUACGACGCGCGAACAACGACACGCGCUGUUUUAUGAUACACAAUAGUGUGUGCCCUAAAAAUAAUGUCGGCUCUCCAAAAAUUAGAAGGAUUUAGGGUACGCAUUUUUGCGCGCCCUAAAAUAAGUGUUACAUUAAAAAAAAACACGGAGGGCACAUAACAUAAAACGCGCGUCCACUAAGUAUGUCGCUUUAUAUUUUUUAAAUGAAAUGCGGGUCACAUUUUUUAGGGAAAACGAAAUUCCAAAAAGUUUGAAAGGCCCGCCAUGUUCCUACCUUCUUUCCACCGUUCUUCUCUCCCUUACUCAAAAUACCCAAAAAAAACCCUAAUAUACUCAUCGCUCCUCUUUUCUCCCAUAACAAACUCGCACCAUCACCAAAUCUCUGAUCUCCCACCAGCAAAAGGUCUCCUACCGAUGUCUCCACCUACUCUCUGCCCUCUCACUAUUUCUCUCAAUUAAAAACGCUAGAUCUCUCAAUCAGAGAACCAUGGCUACUUCUCCUUUCUCCCACACCAGUUGGCAAAAAGUGAGGAGUCUCGAGCCUAGCAGUUGAUAUUCACAUGCCCUCUUAAAUUGAAGGAAUCAGAACAUUGUCGACAUCAAUUCGUUAAUCAUCACUAGAGAAAUCAGAUACGCCAUCUGGUUGAUGAGUCAAGAGAAAUCACAUAUGUCAUCGCUUCAGCAAUCAUCCCUCCUUUUAACCGUAAGUUUUCAAUCUUACACUUUACAAAUAUCAUAUAAACAUCUCUCUCUCUCUCUCUCUCUCUCUUUCUCUCUCCUGCUAUACCUUGAUGAAUUAUCGCAUACAUAUGGAGGAACUGCUUUCUAAAAGCCAGCUAUCGGGAGAGUCAACAGGGUCAAUUGGGUGUUCAAAAGGUGCUUCGAUAUCAUCUUCCCGCCAGCAAAUCUCUGUUAAAGUUGUCACAGAGUAAUCCAUUUGAGUUUGGGCAUAUAUUUUUUGUUAUUAAUUUAGGGGGAGACUGUGUUCCAUGAUUUUGGUCAUGCAUUUCUUCAGCACACGCUAACAAGACAAGAUGAAGGGCUUGUUGUUGGUAUUCGUGGCAUAGAGUGGAUGCUGUUGAGUUACCUUUCCAGUUCAUGGAAAAUUGGUGCUACCGUAGGUAGGUAUAUAUAUCUCCAAUUUCAAGAUGUUGUUCAACUGCUGCAGGAACGAGGUGAGGGUGGCUGAUGAGAAUUUGUGACAGGAACUAUCCGAUUGGGGAUUCCAGCUCAAGUGGGGCAGUUGGCGCAUCAGAUCCAGCAGAAUCAGAAGAUAAUGAGGCCUUUAUUGCAAUUCUCUUCUUUUGAAUAUGAAAAGAUGCACUUUUCAGUCCUAAUCUGGGAUGUGAAAAUGAAAGGAACCCCUGUUUAGCCAACAAAACAAAGUAAAAUUCAGUUACAACACUUACCCAAAUAUAGCAUUCUACCUUUAAUUUUUCUCAUCAAGACAAAAUUGAAUCAGUUAUGAAACCGACCACAUAAAAGGCUGUUUUUCUAGAGUUGCAAUGUUAGGAAUAAAAGUCACAAUGGUAUGUGGUCGGUUUCAUAACUGAUUCAAUUUUGAUGAGUAAACAGGUUAGAUUUCAUAUGGUUGUUUGUUCAGAUUGGUAUUCAUCCUGAUUUUCCUUCAAUUAUGCAACAACUAUGCUGGAAUUUGCUAUGUUCCAUACUCGGAUUUUGAAUUUAUCGGAAAAUUGAAUAAUUAAUCUGGAAAAAUACCAUCUUUGAAUGAUUUUUUUGUCAUCUGUAGAUAAGGAAUACCAUCUUUGGGUAAUUAGUUUAUCUAGUCUACAUGAUUAAAUUAAUGGACAUAUAAUUCUCUAUUGAUAGAACAAAAAACAUUGCUUUGUAGUGAAGAUAAGGAAUACCAUAUUUGGGUAAUUAGUUUAUCCAUACUCGGAUUAUGAAUUUAGCCCACCAUCAGCAGGGGAUUGCUGAGUUUUAUGUGACCAUAAUGCCCUUUCGGUUUGUAGUGAAGAUCCAAGCAUGUAAUUAAUAACACCUCUAAUUAAUUAAUUAAUUAAUCCCCUAAAACUAACUAUGGUUAAAUUAAACUGGUGGUAGGUGCCAGUGUACAUAGGGGCACAUAUGGUCAAAUAUGUUUUAAUUAUUAGUCUAAUAUCUUUUGAUACUUAUCAAUAACAACAAAAUAAUGUAAAAUCGUGUGAAUACAAUUCAAGGGUAUAAUGGUCUAGACAGAGAUUAUUUUUAUUAAAGAUAUUUAUUUAUUAAUCAUCAGAGAAGAAGGAAUUAAUAUGAAAGAAUCACUUACUGCAAAAUAAUCUUCAAAUGUAAAAUCAACAUAGCCUAAGCCCUGAUUUUUAUUUCACCACAGGUUGGCGAGCUGGCGGGAAUAGCUUUGGGAGCAACUGUCAUGCUUAAUAUUCUUAUAGUUGUGUACGUUAUGGUCAAAAUAGUUCAGCAAGAACCUCUGUUGAAAUGAUAUAGGCCACUAAUUAUUUAAAACUAUCACUGGCUCCUCAUUAUGGUCAAAAUAGUUGGUCUGUUAAAAAUUGUGACUAUGAGCAAUUUGCCACUUCUAAAUGGGUUCUUUGUAGUUUUCCUUUCUAUAAUUCAGGAAAUAGGAUCAUAUUUUACUCUUGCAGAAAUAGUUAUGGUCUGUGAGCAUUCUUCCAGAUUGUAAGAACGUAAUUUUCAACACAACAAAGGUGAAAUUAUAUCUAUGUUUUCUUGUGUAUUUAACUUCACAGGAGCUGAAACAUGAUCUAAUUUUUUUUAUCUAUUGGUUAUGUUGAAUAUGGAUAAAAGGUUGUGGCUCAGAAAAGUGUUGGUGAUGCUUCUACAUUUGUUGAGAGUGAAUUUUCACUGUCAAAUUCAAGUUGGAUUUGGUAUGUAGAAAAAGUGUGUGUUUAGAGUAAGGACUUUUUCCUUGUUGGACUGUAAUAGUAGACCAAUAUGAUUCGUUUUAUAAAACCCUUAGACAGAUCACAGUUGGUUCUGCAAUUGCAUGGUCAGGUAAACAUUCUAAACACAUUUUCAAUUUAUUUUGUGAUAUUUAAUUUCUCCCAUAUUCUUUUAAAUUAUAUUAUAAUAUGCUUAUAAACACUACUUUCCUUUCAUGUAGCCAAAAAAUUGUCCCAAAGUUGACUGAGGUACUUUGGACAAAAAUACAAUGUUAGCUUACAUCUUUAUUAGUUAAUAUAAUCAAAUUUCUAAUUUUAGGUGCUAACUGAUACGCGUCCGCAAGUUCAGUCUGCAUGGCAGACAACACUCCAGCAGGUUUGACUAUAUUCUUAUGGGUUGUGGCAUUCACAUUCCCAUAGUGAUCUUGAUAAAGUUGCUUCUAUUUCCAUGCUAAGUUGGCUUUUAUUUGUAAUAUAGGAGGUCCAAAAUCUUGCAAAGAAGGCUGCAGAAACUGUGGUGUUGGUAAUUGAUGAUGAAGGGACUGAGUAUUUGAUAUCAGAACUUCUCAAGUUGCUUCUAUUUCCAUGCUAAGUUGGAUUUUAUUUAUCUUACUGUUUAUUAUCAUUUUUUAUAUAAAAUUUCAUCAUUUAUAUUAUAUAUAUAGUACAUUAUAGACUUUGCAUCAUAAUUUGUUGAAUGUUACAAGAUAUAAUUCAAAAUUCAAUUUCCUCAUGUUGUUGCUGAAAUGACAGCAAUUGGUUUUGGCCUACCAAAGAAUGCAUUCACCGCUUUAAUGAAGAAUGUAAGUGUUUAUUUUUCUUUUCUGUUUGGUGAAAAUCAUCAAAUGACAAUCUCAUUAUAUAUCUUAGGAUCUUAUCAGUUAAUAAACUUGAUCGUGGGUAUGAUCAAGCAUAGGUUUACAUUUAUACCCCUGCUUUUAUCUUUUAUCUUUUAUGUUAUAUAAUUAUAUUCCCCCUUUUUUUAUCAGGUUAAUUUGGUGGUUAAUUAUGAUCUUCCUAUAAGACAUGAUCAUCAAUCUCACUACAAGAAAAAUACCCUUUUACGACGCGCAAAACACGACGCUCUUUGAUUUAUGUUACGCAUUAGAGAGCGACAUUAAAAAAGUGUCAUCUCUUAAAAAAUUUUAAGGAUUUAGGUCGCGCAUUACUGAGUGCCCUUAAAUUAGUGUCUCAUGUAAAAAUAUUAAAAACACGGAAGGCACUUGUGCGUCGUCUGUGAAUGUCGUUUUAUAUUUUUUUUUAAGAAACACGCGUCUCGGAGGGAAAAUGAAAUCCCCAAAUUUUUUAAACCCCCACCUUUUUCUCCCUCGUCUCCACCCCUCAUCCACAUCCACUACCUCCGAUCCUCAUUUCCUCUUCUAGCCUCAAACUACGGCGAUGCACCUUCCUUCUCGAAGAAUGCUUCAUUUACCACCAUCGUCCGAUUAUGUGAGCCCAAGGAAUUGACCAAGACGAAGAAGAUAAUGGAUCAAUUGCUUCACAUCAUGUUUAAGGUUAAGGGUUUGAGUUAGUCCGCAACAGGUAAUCGAAUUUUGCCUAAUAUAUAUUUCUACUCUCAAACUGUUUAUUCGUCCGAUUGGAUGCAUAUUUACUAUUAAAUUUGGGGAUUUUCUUUUAAAACCCCCGCGCCUCUUCUUGUUUGUAGCUAAACAACCGUGAAUUUGUUAGAGUGAUUGGAAGAGGAAAAAUAGAAGAUAGAAGAAAAAGAAGAAGAAGAAAAGCGAACAAACGGGAUUUCUUGACCUGAUGUGUUAAUCCGUGAUCAGGUCUUCUGAGCGAAGAGAAGAUCUGAGGCUCAAUUGAAGAAAUAUGAGCGCUUCUAGAUUUAUAAAGUGCAUCACAGUCGGUGAUGGCGCUGUCGGGAAGACUUGUCUCUUGAUUUCCUACACCCGUAACACCUUCCCCACGGUAAUCAUCUCUUCAUCAACCGCCUUCAGUUUCUGCCCAACUAAAGCACGGUUACACACUUAUUUCUCUUCGGACGUUUCUGUGGCUUCCAUGGGAACGGAGGAGGAUGAUAUAAAUGAGGCAACAACUUCAUUCGCUACAUGUUUGAACCUUAAAUUGAAGGGAUUAUAUAUUGAAAUUUGAAUCUACAACUUCGAAUUUCAGUCAUCUCUCUUCUCUUCUACAUCUCACCUGAUUCUCUAUUGAAAUUUCUAGGGUUUUUAAUUGAACCUACAUCUUCAUCUUAAUCUUCUUUUCUGAAGUUAGGGCUUUUUUCUUAAGAACAACUAAUUUUUUGCAGUAAGUAAACCUCUAAUUUUUUCAUUUCUCAUUUCCUUAGACCUCUCCCCUUUCCAUCUCAUAUCGAGGCAAAAUCAAUUUCACUUUGGUGGCUUCGAUUUCCUAGCACAUAUUAUGUUAUUAUAUGGAUUUGUAGGAAAUUAGAAAUCAUGUUAGAAUGUUUGAUGUUCUGUAUGUUCAUAAAAGUACAUCUAAAACAAAAAUCUUAGAUUAAACAAAACUGAAGCAUUUAAUGAGAUGUAAUUACUAACUUUUGUUGGAGAUGCAAAUGCUAAAUAAAGAAAACUGAAGCAUUAAAUGAGAACCUUUAUAAUUCGAUUUCAUUCAGAUCUUCGGUGGAUAUUUAGGGCUAACAAAGAAAACUGAAGCAUUUAAUGAGAUGUAAUUACUAACUUUCGUUCAAGGUAACCCCUGUUAUGAAUACAUGUAAGAAUUUAUUUAUCUUUUUCUCUCACCACUUGCUAUCCAUGUGCUGCUCUCUCAUAGUUGAUAUCUAACAACAAAGACCUGAUCAGUCUAGUUUGCUUGUUUUUUUUCUUUUUCUUAUAAUUCUUGAAUACGUGCAGAUUUUUUAAGACUUCUAGUUUUGUUUUUUGUUCAGUGAUAUUGAUGAUGAGGCAAGUUUAUCAACACUAUGGGAGAGAUAUCAAAGUGUCUCUGAAAAGGUAUUGCGAUAUCAAAGCAUAAAUUAUUUAUGGAUUAAAAUGGGAAAAUGACUUAUAUGGGUAAGAAAGUUUUAAAAACUUUUAAAAAUGACUAUCAAAGUAUUGUUUGUAUAAAAAACACCAACCAAGUUUACCAUUUUGUCAAAUCUAACAGGUUGGUAACCUGCAUCUGCCGGUCAAAAAAAAUUACCUGAUCAUUUUAAAAACUGAAAUUAUAAAUGACAUGGCAUCCUUUUUUAGUCUUACGUGGAUUAAUUGCAAGGGAAGAUCCAUUUUCUCAGCGUUCUUUCUCAAAAUCAGGAGGGAGUCAACACAGAACCCUCUCUAGGGUUAGUUUCUGCCCCUGUAUACAGUUAUUUUUGUUUAAAUUGACUGAUUUUAACAGUUGACGAAUAUGCUCCUGCUUUGGGCUAAUCACACAUAUGUCUUUUUUAUGACCAAAUUGCCCCUGUAUAUAGUUUUUUUUUGUUACAAUUGACUGAUUUUACCAGUCAAUUAAGGUGUUGUUUAGAAACUGUUAGUAUCCAAGACCAUUUACAUGCUCGUGCACAAAGACGAAUUUGCCCUUGAUUGUGACCAAACUGCCCCUGUAUACAUAUUUUUUAUUACUAAAAACACCCCCUGUCCUAGAAAAAUAUGACACUUCUAUACAAAAGCUAAUACCAAUUUCUCACUACAAAUCAACUAAUAAGAAAAGAAGUGGGCAACUCUCUAAAAUGACCAAAAUUUGAAUUGCAGUGUCACAAAUUGACAAUUUUUUAAAGCUAUAAUGAAAUAAUGCUUUGUUUUGUAAAAUAUACAAAAUCCGUUUGUUGUUGUGUGCAACUAAUCCACAAACAUUUACAUAAUUCUCGUUAGUGUACUUUGCAAAGUGGUGCUGAAGUAAUUUGGGCAACAAAAGUACAUAUAACUAUAUUAAUAUUCUCUAAAUAAUCAUAUAUAAUGAAAUAAUGGUUUGUUUUGUAAAAUAUACAACCCAUACUGUAUUUUUGAUAAAAAAAAAUAAUGAUUUUAAGAGAUUUUGUCCGAAAUACCCUUAUAUACUCUUUUUUUUGGUAAAAAAUUAAUGAUGUAAUAGUUUUUGACUAAAAUGCCCGUAUAUACUAUUUAACAGGUUUGACCCCAUCUGAAUUAUGAUUCAGCUUAAAAUUGAAUGCCAUUUUGACAAUUUUAUUGCUUUUAAGACUAUUUACUGCUGAAAAUAUGUCAAAUUUGUUACAUUUUGCUGCUAUAAAUAGUCAAAAAAUAACUAAAAGUCUACAAAGAUUCAAGGUAACAGUAAAUAAUACUGGCAUUUCCAGCAGCAAAUCUUCAAUUGCAGGGACUAAACUUUGUCAUUUUUAGCAGAAAACUUUAUCAACCAACAAAAAGAGGUUAAUAAAGAAUCUAAAUGGCAUUCCAUUGUAACAGCAUCAAAACACGACCUGCACUCAAAACCCUCCAAAAUAGCCCCUACACUCAAUUGUAACAGCCCCUCUGUUGUGAUUCCUUUAACUGUGACCAAAUUGCCCCUCUAUUGUGAUUCCUUUAGAUUCAAGGUAACAUUGUUUUAAGUGAAAAGAUCAUUUCAUAACUUGUUUACAUAAAUUCUUUCUUAGCUUGUUUACAUAAAUUCUUUUUCUGUCAAUUCCUUUCAAGACAAAAAGAAAGAAAGCAGGAACUUAUAGCCAUGCAAGUAAUUUCAUUAUUUUUCUCAUUAACGAUUGUACUUCCUUUGCUCUUUCUUGCAUAAUAAUAAACAGAUUUAAAGAGGAGUGGAGCCAUAUGACCACCUGAUGCCCCCAAAUCAAUUUAUUUGAGCUAGAUUUGAACGAUUUACAAGGAGAAGAAGAAAAUCAAUUGUCAAGAGGAGAGGAGAUGUAUGACCACCCACCUGAUGCCCUAAAUCGAUUUAUAAUAUGUAUUUUUCAUUUAAUGCUGAGUAGAUGUGCAACACACUACCUAAAUAUGCCAACUAAUCAUUACUUUUGCCAACUCAGCCGUUCACCUGGAGAUCCGGUUACCACCGGGUCAUAUUUGAACAAAAGAUAAACUUCGUUGGUAUUUUUUGUACGACGCCUAUAGUUAAAUGGUAUUUUUGAACAACUAAAACUUCAAUGGUUUUUUUUGAAUGUUUUUGAAACUUUCUUACCCUUAUAAGUCAUUUUCUCGAUUAAAAUUGAACUUUUUUCAUACAUUACCUAACAUUGACUUGUCUUAAUUUGCAGGCAGAAAUACAAAAGGCUUUUCAUAUAUUUCUUAAACAAUUUUUUGUAAUAUACAAGAAUUGGGAGCCAUUAGAUUUAGAUAAUUCCAUAGAACCUUUCAUUGAUUCAAGGGAUCCUCUUUCUGAAAAAAAGAUUGCAGUGGCAUCAGAAGGCAGUCAUAUCAGUGAUGGAAGCUGGUGGUCUUAAUUGGUUAGUAGGUAAGGUAUGCAUCUUCAGAUUUAAUUUCUAUUGAGAACUAAACACAUUUGAAUAUCUGAGAACUAAACACACUUGAAUAUUUAUAAAUGAUGCACACAUCCAAAGGGAUAAUAGCAAUGUUUCUAAUGGCGUCAAAUAGACCUGAUUGUGACCACUAAUGGUUCAUCAGGUUUGUUGAUUUUUAUUUUAUUUUAUUUGAAGUGCAUUAUCUGGUUUAAUAUGAAAUGAUUCAUGUUGAAAUUGGUUUCUUUUGUUACUCCAUAAUACUUGAUAUCUUAUUUUUUGCAUGCAGGUGCUAACAAAUAUGGUGUCAUUAUCAUUGUUGUUGUUGUUGUUGGAUACGGAUAUGUUUGGUGGAAGGUAAAUAUAAGCUCAUAUAUUAAUAUUAUUACUUUUUACAGUUAACUUGUACAUAGUUUUUCUUCAACUAACAGAAAUGGUAUCAUUAACAGGGUUGGAAACUUCCUGAUAUGAUGUUUGCUACAAAAUGAAGUUUAUCUGAUGCCACAUAUGCUUUAGCUAAAUAGAUUGACACUGUUUACUCAUCACUUGCAGUAAGUUAUUUAAAAACUUUGUUAUUUUUUUGUUAUUAAUUUGGGUUGUUUAUUAUGUUGUUUAGGCUACCAAGAGACAUUUAUCUACAAGGAUUGACCGUGUUGAUAGUAGUUUAGAUGAGGUUGCAGAAAUUACUGCUGCUAAAAAAGAGGAGGUAUGACAAGAUAAAGGUUGUUCUAGAUGUUUAAUCUAUACAUAAUGCGGUUUACACCCUGGUGUGGUUCUUUUCCAUUUUGUCUUGUGACUUUGAUAUUGUUUUCUGAGUUGGAUAUGUGGUAUGAUAAAUUAUUUUUACAUGAGAGUAGGCUGAGUAGGGUUGAAUUGAAAUAGGUACUGAAUAUUACCGUUUGACAUGCGAUUUUUUCUAGCUUAAUGAGAUAUUUAUAACAAAUAAUUUUGAAUUUUUGUUGUCUUUUGUAGGGAAAUCCAUCAAGUUCAUCAAGGCCAGCUCUUGAAUUACCAUAGAGAGUAAACUUCUAAUCUUAUACAAAUACAAUGAUUUGCUAAAUUCAAGAAAUAACAAUGCACUUUUAUUUAUUACUUUUAUUAAAACAUCCUAGUUUAAUUUCUAGCUUAAUGAGACAUUUAUUACUUUUAGCAGAGAUCGAUAUAUAUAUGAGCUUUUUGCUUUCAAACAUUGUUGGGGAAGAAUGUUGAAACUUGCUCUUUGUGAAGGUAAUUUUUUUUCUUAAUGCAUUAUCCUCUAUAUUCUUGAUAUUUUUCCCACUUUUUAAAUCUUUUAUCAAAUUCUCACUUUUGGAUACAGUGCUUGAUGAGAGAAUGUGUGACCUAAAUCUUUUAUCAAAUUCUCACUUUUGGAGUUGGCCAUAAGAAAAUGUAGGCAAAGGGUAAUUUGUUAUAGUUCAGGUUGACAAGGUGCUGUAUUUUUCACAUAAUUGACAAGGAGCUGUUGUAUCUAUUCAGACUAGACUUAGAGCAAUGGUUGCAAGAGAUGAGUUCAGCAGAAAAAGAAACAAGGCUGCAACUAUAGUUAAGGUACUAUGGAUGAAUUAUGUUUGUAAAGUAUUUAAGAAAAUGAUUAUAAACAAGGGUGAAUUUGUACAAAUUAGUUAGCUACUUGCANUGAGUAUUUGAUAUCAAAACUUCUCAAGUUGCUUCUAUUUCCAUGCUAAGUUGGCUUUUAUUUAUCUUACUGUUUAUUAUCAUUUUUUAUAUAAAACUUCAUCAUUUAUAUUAUAUAUAAUACAUUAUAGACUUUGCAUCAUAAUUUGUUCAAUGUUACAGGAUACAAUUCAAAAUUCAAUUUCCUCAUGUUGUUGCUGAAAUGACAGCAAUUGGUUUUGGCCUACCAAAGAAUGCAUUCACCGCUCUAAUGAAGAAUGUAAGUGUUUAUUUUUCUUUUCUGUUUGGUGAAAAUCAUCAAAUGAAAAUCUCAUUAUAUAUCUUAGGAUCUUAUCAGUUAAUGAACUUGAUCGUGGGUAUGAUCAAGCAUAGAUUUACAUUUCUACCCCUGUUUUUAUCUUUUAUCUUUUGUGUCAUAUAAUUAUAUUUCCCUUUUUUUAUCAGGUUAAUUUGGUGGUUAAUUAUGAUCUUCCUAUAAGACAUGAUCAUCAAUCUCAACCUGACCAUGAAGUGUAGUUGCACUGAAUCGGAAGAGCAGGGUGAUUAUGGGAGAUGUUAAGUAGUUAUAGGGCUUUAGAUGCUUUCCCUUUGGGUAGGAAAUGUUUUUAAGACAUGAUCAUCAUUCUCUACCCCUGCUUUCCCUCUGGUGUUUAUCUCCCAUAAAACCCUAAAAUGUGGAUGUGCUAAAACUGAAGAAAUUAGAAGACACAUACUGGAUUUUAGCAAGUCGGGUAAGUUUAAAAAUAUCUUAAUACGAUAUUGAUUAGAUUACACAACAUGUAAUGUAGAAAAUAUCAUGAAUAUUUAUGAUCAAUAUUCAACUUUUGAAAAUGUAUCCAGUUUGAUGUUUAUCUAUUUGACAUUUUUUUGAUAGAAAAUGAGAAUACCGGAGAAGAUGAACCACAAAUUUACAUUGAAAUGAUCAAUGGAAUUAUCAAAUCCCUUCAGGUAUCAUCUCAUAUCACUUGCUUAUGAAAUUUAUUCAUCUAUACUUGAAAAGAUAUAUUUAUUUUUGUGUUGUUUCCAGGCUAUCCUUGAUGCAGUUCUCAGCACAACAAUUAUGAUUUUAUGAUGUUAGGCUAAACUAUAAAGCAAUCAUUCUUUGUUUUAGGAAACGUUUCAGAGCUUCUUUAGGCAGCUUAAUGAUGAGUUAUUGAAACAAAAUGGUGCCCCUUUAUAGCAAUGUAGUAUUAGGUUAUAUAGAUAGGAAAAACCUCUUAAUAACAACGUACAAUUAGAUCCCCUUAAUAUCAAUGUAUUACAAUUUUAUGACAUGAUGUUAUUGAAUGAAAUUGAUUGUGUAAUGGAUUGUAUUUUUUGUAUAUGGUAUUUUAUUUUCUAUUAUGAGACAUGAAAUGCAAAUUUAAUUUGAAAAUUAGUAAAUCUAUAAAUAAUUUUUAAAAAAAAUAAAAUAAAAAUUAUGAUACGCAAAAAUGUGUGUCAUCUUCAUUUAUGACAUGGCCUUUCUUGACAGUGGCUUUAAUGAUACGCAUUGCGUGUCAUAAAUACGUGUCGUCUAUAGACGACGCGCAAAAGCGCGUCGUCUCUCGUUAUGACAGGGCCUUCCUUGACGCGCAUGCGCGUCGUCUGACCGUUUUACGACUCGCAAUGAGCGUCGUAAAAGGCAUUUUUUCUAGUAGUGUUUGAGACAAGAAAUCAGAACCAAUGUACCUUCCGAGCUCGCUACUUGGCGCGUUAGACCGAGCUCGUUUGGAAUUUUCAUUCCUCAAAGUAUUAUAAAGCCUAAUUGUUUCGUUAUUUUAGUGAAAAGUGGAUCCGGGUGCCCCCAUAUUUUGCAUCACGUCAUGAAUGUUUGUUGAACCAUAUUUUGUUAAAUAAACUUCAAAUAAAUUUUGAAAAACUUUGUUAAAUUUUGAAACUUCCUUUGAUGCAUAAUCAAUGUCAUCAUCCAAUAAACCCAAAUCGUAACAAAUAUUUUCAAUUAAAGUCUCAACCCCCCCAACAUUUAGAGUUGGAUUCAAAGUGGCGGAACAAGUAAUAAUGGGAGCCAUUUCUUGAAAAUAUUUUUUUAACUUUGCUUUCAUCGGUUUCAUCAUAUUAGCAAACAUUGUGCUCCUCAUUUCAAACUCAUUUAUUUUCGCACACAUUAAAAAAAUUUGGUUUAAAACUAAACAACUUGUAGGAUAAUAAACCCCCGAUAAAAAAGUGGUUGUUUUUUUUUUAAAAAAACAUCAAGCAUGUCUGUAACAAGUUUGAUAGUAUCCCAACUUGAUUCCGGAUAAGCCGUAACCUUAUUACGGUCCGAAGGUUGUCAUGUAACAUUUUUAAAGUAUGUUUUUGACGUAAGGCACAUUCAAAAAUUUUGCAAGUGGAGUCCCAUCGGGUAUUAUUUUCCCAAUUCAGACCUAAAAAGAGGGCAUUCGCAUCGACACAAAAUUGCAUAUAAUUAUGAUAUCGAGCGUUACUAGAACUAAAAAUAUCUUUUAGCAUGUCUUUGAAACCAUCUUUUAUAGUUUCAAUGUGAGUUAGUCCAUCUUGCACAACCAAAUUAAUCAUAUGUGCAACACAUCGACUAUGAAAAAUAAACACCAUCACAAAUUGGUUUAUAUUUUAGUUUUAGUUGUCCAACCGCGACGGUGUUGUUUGAAGCAUUAUCAAAAGAUAUAGAAAAAAUCUUUCCUUCAAGUUUAUAAGUUUUGAUCACACAAUCUAAAAUUUUAAAUAAAUUUCUAUCGGUGUGCGGGUACUCAAACAAUUCAAACGUAAUCGUAUGCUUUAUCAUUACCCAAUUAGUUGGAUUAAUCCAAUGAGCGGUAACACAAAGGUACGCAUCCGGUGAACCGUCAGGAGCCGUCCAAACAUCACAAGUUAAAUUCACACCGGUUUCUAAAGAUUGAAAUCCUAAAAUCAAUUCAUUUUUUGCAAGUUUCCACAUUUCAAUACAAUCGCGUCUAAUAGAAGUACGACUCACAUGGCAAUAUCGUGGUUGGAGAGUAUCUUGGAUGAGUGAAGUCAAUCGUUUGUUGUCGAAGUGGUCAAAAGGCAAGCAUUCUUGAAUCACGAACUUCGUCAUCCUAUCCCGAACUUUAGCCAUAUCGUAACUCCACAAUGUUGCAUCAUUCGUCAUUCUUGUUUGAAUAUGUCCCGACCCAAAUUUCACCGUGGGGCAUCUUUUGGUCAUAUGAUUUUUCAAUGUCGAAUUCUCAUCUUCAUUAAAAAAAGCACCACAUUUCUUGCAUUGCGCUUUUUUAUACCGUUCGACAUUACACACAAAUCGUAGUUGCACAAAAUAGCCGGAUUUCUAUUUGUUUCUUUGAUGCUAACAACGGUAAGAGUGUUUGAUGAAUCUCGAACACCAACGGAAGCCGAAUCCAUUGUUUGAAUUAAGAGUGGUUUUUGAACUAAGAGAGGUUUGCGGUUUUUGAACUAAGAGAGGUUUUUUGAGGUUUGGUUAAGGUAAAGUUGAGACCUAAAAAUGUAAUACAUAUAUAUAUACUAUAAGGAAUAGUUAAUAUGGUAAAAAAGAAGCAAAAAUCGAGUCUUGAACAGCCUCAAACGACUAUAUAGCCGUUAGGAAAAGACAAAAAAACGGUAACAUUACAAAAACCGGUUCACCAACGGCACUUUCGAAAUCUGGUUCAAAACUGGUUCAUCACACCUGUUCAGAAUAAACCAGUUCCAAACCGGUCUCCAGGGUAAAACAUGCGAACUGGUAACAUCCGAUGGUUCGGUUCACUAUGGGUUCGGUUCUUAUGUGAACCGGUUCAAGGCUAAACCGGUUUCCGGUUCACCAACCGGUUCGGUUCCUAAACCAGUUUUUUUGCCCACGCCUACCACUAGCUAGUCUAGGUGGGCUUUUAGUACGGGGGUUUUCAUGAGGAAUAGGUUGAAAGGAGUGUUGGCAUCUCACUGCCGUCAUCUGUUACCAUUUCAUAAGGAGUGGUAGCAUUCCUAGCACAUUAGAUUUUUUUUUUUUGAUUUUUUUUUUUGAACUUAAAUAAAUUAUAUUUUUAUAAAACACAAACAAUUCAAUAUUAAUCAAGAAACUAACUACAUUUUAUAGAUAAAUUUACCUUAUUUAAACAAGGAUUAAUAGAAAGGUCAAAUAAAAUUUAAAUGGUUAACGACAUGCUUAAAAUUUUACAAAUAUAUUGAUUUUGUAACGACACAAUUUUCUACUCUAUCAAGGUAAAGAAACAUUUAUGUUAAUAAUAAAGUGACACUUUAAUAUAUAUCUUCAAAUAAUUAUUAAAAAUAAAUAAUACUAUAAAAAAUUACCAAUACUAUCUAGAAACAAAAACCACUCACAGCACGGAAUUUACAAAACAACCAUCCAACUUCCUUAUUUUUUUGAAAGAGCUUUUACGAUCUCCAUUUCCAUUUCCUUUUUUUCUUAAAAUUACAUCUUACAUCUUCCAAUUUGCUAUUAUCAUUUCUUAAGUUUGUGAAAGUAGACUAUUCCACAAAACUACUCCUCCAAUUGUGUGAAACACGAAGCAAAAGCGAGACCUUUGAGCUUUUUCUUAAAAAAUAAUCCUUGUUUGAGAUGGAGACCACACCAUUGAUGGGAGAAAUGAAGGUUCUAGAGAACGAUUGUAAGAGGAAGAUUAUUGUAUCCACAGGCCAAUAUCCAACAAAUCUCUUUCUCUUUCUUCUCGCUAUGGUGUUGACGAGCCAUGGCUGGCGACUUCCUUGGCGCAAGCCAGGGGGCGGCCUUCAGCGCCCUUGGCGACCGGUGGCGACCUCCAUAGCGAGGCCCACUCCCUAAAGCCUUAUAACACACCAUUUAUUGACCAAGUUUACCCAACAAUGCAUCCCAAUUCAUUAGAUUUGUCUUAUCAUUAUACUUUUUAUACAAUUUCAUCAUUUUUCUAUAAUAUAUUAAAACUCUAUGAAAAUUCAAAAGAAUAUACUUUUGAAUUUUCAUAGAAUUUUAUUAUAUUAUAGAAAUAUGGUGAGAAUCCUAGAUGCUUUUAUCUCUCUUUCAGACUUAAAAGCCAGUAUGCGUUCAAUAAGUACGUGGCCAACUCCGGACCUAGCUUUUGCGAACGUGGGACGUUCACUUCGGAUAGCCUCGAAAUGAGUACCUCUUACUUUAAAAAUUUAUAACUUUGGCAUACGAGCUCCGUUUUCGACAUUCACUUUCAUUUAGACUCUGUUUGCUAAUUUUGAUUUUUAUUUUUAAAUUUAUAUUUUUUAACAGGCCGGGACUGGAAAAGCCCGUUAAAAAUUCAUAACUUCUUCAUCCGACGUUCGUUUUCGUAUGACUUUUUACCAUUAAACUACUAUCGACGAGAUUUUUGAUUCUCAUUUACAUUGUGUUGGAUAAAAAUCGCUCGAUCUAUACUUCGAACUACGGGCUGCACAAUGUUAUGCCAAAUCUUAGAAAAUUCAUAACUUCCUCAUACGAAGCUAGAUUUGGAUUUCUUUUUUAUGCACGCUCUUGGUUUAACGUAUACUACGAUUUUCAUUUAGAUUGCUAAGGCUAAAAAACACUUUAUCGUAAACUCACUUUUCACGUCACACAAUGUCAUGUCAGUUUUGUCGCGAAACUUCGAUAUGUCAUAAAUUCUUCGUGAUCAGGGCCGAUCUUGAAAAAUGAAAUAUUCUUGGAGCCCCAGGACGAGCAAGAAAAAAAUGGCCCUUAUCUUUAUUAUAAUUUUGUAAUUUUAAAUAAAAAUAUAUAAUGAAAAAAAUUAGGCCAUGUGCAGCUGCCCACUUUGCCUCCUUCUAAGCCCCCAUUGUUCAUGAUAACUCGGAUUUCAGCGUUCUUUAUAUUUCUGGAGUCCUUGUCACGACCACUACAACUUUCUUCAUAGAUAUCGGGUUUAUAUAACAUUUUAUUUUUGACGCUUAUUUUUAUUCUUAAUUAAUUAUAUCAUUAUAAACAAGUAUAUAAUCACAUAAAAUCACGUAAUUCACAUAAUACUCAAGUAAUUCAUCUUUAUUACAUUAAAAUAGGUUACAAUGGUUGACCUUGACUAUUACAUCAUCAUACUAAUGUGAAACAACCUAAAAUACGACCCAAUUUUUUUUUUGUUAAAAUAAUACUAAAGAUAUCAACCAUCAUAAUAUAUCAUGAAAUCGUACGUCAUAAAUCCCCAAAAAGUUAUAAUAGAUAUGUCAUGACAAAAGAGUUGUAUCAACAUACCAUAGUAUCUAAAAUAAACUCCCAGGACAAAAGUUGAAACUGUGGUGUGUGCAAUGUCAUCAUCCUGAGCUCUUUCCUUUGCUUGCGGAAAUACCUGAAACCAAAACUGAAACUGUAAGCACAAAGCUUAAUGAGCUCCCCCAAACUACCACAUACCAUACAAUAGCAUAUACAACACAUACUAGGCCUUGCCCACUGCAUCGGACCGAAGUCCGGAAAUUGCAUCGGACCGAAGUCCAGAACUAACCAAGGCCUUGCCCUCUGCAUCGGACCGAAGUCCGGAACUACAUCAGACCGAAGUCCGGAAACUAACCAGGGCCUUGCCCUCUGCAUCGGACCGAAGUCCGGAACUAACUGCAUCGGACUGAAGUCCGGAACUGACUGCAUCGGACCGAAGUCCGAAAUUGUCUGAACAUAACAUAUCAUAAACAUCUCAACCAGUAUGAACACAUAAACUGCAUAUCGCAUCAGACCGAAGUACGAAACACAUAACACAAAUACAUGCUUGAAUCACAAAGACAUCAAGCAUUCUAAGUACUGCAACGGACGGAGGUCCGAAACUUCUGCUAACUAAACCGACCGGCAUUGUAGCCGUAGACCCGUUCCUACUGGAAGGAAAACUCACCUCGUAAUGCUGGCUGCUGAGAUGCUAACUCUAAAAGUGACUGACCGCUGCUUCGGAACUGUCCGACUACAAAUCCCAGAAACACUAGAUUAGUUACUUGCAUAUACCCUCAGGGUAAGAUGACUAUUUUGCCCCUGGUCAAAGUCAACUUCUAGUUGACCGGACUCGCCGACUAUGGGCGCAGAACCGCCGAGUCCCUCCUUUACUAACUCUGACUUUAACUCACCGAGUCCCUUUCCCACUCACUGACUCUCUCUGAACUCGUAGGUCGAAGAAAAAAGGGGACUCACGACUCGACUCGUCGAGUCUGAAGAACAACUCGCCGAGUCCUGCCGUGCAUAUUCCAAACAAACGAAUUCAAAACUAUUCCAGAGCAUCUGACUUGAAGAUCUGAGCCCUUGGAACUAUCUAAACACGUGAAGUUUCUAACUUUACGUGCAACUAAGAAGGAAUGAAGCUAUUUCACUCAAACACUACUUUUCUUGGGAAAACUCAUCCGACUCGCCGAGUUGUAUGAACAACUCGUCGAGUCUAAGGUGAUCUUCAUCGGACUCGCAGAGUUGCUCAUCAAACUCGUCGAGUCUACGACUAUCUUCAUAUGACUCGCCAAGUCACACAUGCGACUCGCCAAGUCCAUUCAGUCCCUUUUUCCAUACAGACCUGAUUUGGGCCAUGCAGUGGCUCCAAAUCACAGAUCCAAGAUUCUAGGGCAUGCUUAUCACGUAAAUUUGCAAACUUUACGUGCAUGCAUGGCUUUAAAGGCUUCAAAUGCCAACCCUAAGCUCUUAAUGGGGUUCCAAGCUCAAGAGGGACCUCAAUCACGACCAUAACCGAAACUUUACUCUUCUAGAAUGCAAUGAGAGUCUAGAUCUGAUGUUUCCAUAAAAGGGGAAGUCCAUCUCUCAAGUUUGAACCAUAAGAGGCUCCAAAGAGGGCAUAACAAGCAUAUAUGAGGUUAUAAUGGGGGAAUGCACAAGGUCAUAACUUCAUUACCUGAAUGAAAAACAGAUGUAAGCUAACUCCUAGAUUUUCCUUCCCUUCUAUGGACCUUCCUUCCUUCCCAAAGCUUCCAAGCUAUCACAAAUACCCUCAAACUCAACAAUGGGGCUAGGGUUUACAAGGGAAAUGUUAUGAGAGUGAUAGAGGCGAGGUUGGGGGCGCAUAAGUGUGUUUAAAUAGGGUGAAAACCCUUAAAAUUAGGGCUUCAUCCAGACAGGCGGACUCGCCGAGUCCAACGUAUGGACUAGUCGAGUAGCCAUCUCAAAACGCGUGAUCGUCCCGUCUCUACUUGACGAGUCAGGCUACAGACUCGUCGAGUACCCCUUCAGAAAUGAAAAUACUUUAUUUGAAUUACAUACCAGAAAUGGGGCGUUACAACUCUCCCCCACUUAUCUUAGACUUUGUCCUCGUAGUCUGCUGCUGCUGCUGAAAAUAACUCUGGGUAAUGCUCCCUCAUCUCCUACUCGGACUCCCACGUCCACUCUGAACCCUUUCGGUGCUGCCACAACACCUUCACUAGCUGAACCACCUUGUUCCUCAAGGUCUUCGUCUUCCAAUCUAUGAUCGCAACUGGUCUCUCGAUAUAAUUCAGGCUGCUAUCAACCUGAAUAUCCUCCAAGGGUACAACUGCUGACUUGUCCACCAAACACUUUCGCAACUGGGAAACAUAGAAAGUGUUGUGGAUCUGGCUAAGCUCUACCGGAAGAUCCAACCGAUAAGCAACCCGACCCACCCGGACCAAAACCCUAAAAGGGCCAAUGAACCUGGGACCCAGCUUGCCUCUCUUCCGAAACUUGAUAACACCCUUCCAAGGUGAUACCUUCAGGAGGACCAUAUCGCCCACCUGAAACUCCAAGUCCGAACGCCUCUUGUCGGUGUAACUCUUCUGCCUACUCUGUGCAGUCUGCAGUCUACUACGAACCUGCUGGAUCAACUCUGUGGUCUUGAGCACCAUUUCAGUGCUCCCAAUGACUCACUGACCAACCUCGCCCCAACAAAUCGGAGUCCUGCACUUCCUUCCGUAUAGCAUCUCGAAAGGAGGACGUUUAAUACUAGUGUGGUAACUAUUGUUAUACGGAAAUUCCGCUAGUGGGAGAUACGUAUCCCAACUACCACCGAAGUCUAGAACACAUGCCCGGAGUAUGUCCUCGAGAGUCUGAAUUGUCCUCUCACUCUGCCCGUCCGUCUGGGGGUGGAAGGCGGUGCUAAAAUGAAGACGAGUCCCCAUCUCGUCAUGAAACUGCUUCCAAAAUCUGGAAGUAAAACGGACGUCUCGGUCUGACACUACCGAAACAGGCACUCCGUGCUGUGCUACUACCUCGCGUACAUAGAUGUGGGCUAGCUUCUUAGCCGAUAUGCUCUCCUAGAUCGGUAUAAAAUGUGCGCUCUUGGUCAGCCGAUCCAUUAUGACCCAAAUCGAAUCCACUCCCCGUGCGGUCCUGGGAAGCUUGGUGACAAAAUCCAUGGUAAUGUCCUCCCAUUUCCAUAUGGGAAUAUCUAACGGCAGCAUCUUGCCGUGGGGUCUCUGGUGCUCUGCCUUGACCUUCCUGCAGGUCAGGCAUCUCCCCACAUUCCAGGCGACAUCCUGCUUCAUGCAGGGCCACCAAUAGUCGGGUCGAAGAUCUCUGUAGAUCUUCGUUGCCCCUGGGUGGAUGGAAAAUCAAGAAUUAUGAGCCUCGUCCAUCAAUACCUGCCAUACUCCGCCCCAGUACAGUACCCAAACCCUCCCAUGGAGGGUCAACAAUCGUUAACUGUCAUAAUCAAAGGAAGCUACUCGGUCCACGAUUCUCUCACACUUCUGCCUCUCCUCCUUGAGGCCCUCGACGUGUGCCUCCCUGAUCUGCUCCAACAAGGGAGUAAUCACUGUCAUCCUCAAGCAUACAUCCCUGAUCGGGGCCGCUGCCGUCUUGUGGCUCAGGGCGUCGGCCACUACGUUGGCCUUCCCCGGGUGAUAAAGGAUCUCACAGUCGUAAUCCUUCACCACAUCUAACCACCGACGCUGCCGCAUGUUAAGAUUCGGCUGGUCCAUGAGGUACUUCAGACUCUUGUGAUCCGUGUAGAUGGUGCAACGGACCCCAUAGAGGUAGUGUCUCCAAAUCUUGAGGGCGAACACCACUGCCCCCAACUCCAAAUCAUGCAUCGGAUAGUUAGCCUCGUGAGACUUCAACUGUCUGGAGGCAUAAGCUAUCACAUGCCCCCGUUGCAUCAACACUGCCCCCAUAUCUGCGAUCGAGGCAUCACAGUAGACUACAAAAUCAUCCACUCUCUCCGGCAAGGUCAGAAUCGGUGCCUCGCACAAUCGCUGUCUGAGAGUCUCGAAAGUCGCCUGCUGCUCAGGCCCCUAACGAAACACCACCGACUUCUUGGUUAGUCGGGUGAGUGGAACUGCUAUCUUGGAGAAAUACUGAAUGAAUCUCCUGUAGUACCCUGCCAAACCUAGGAAGCUCUGAAUCUAUGAUGGAGACUUUGGGACCUCCCACUGCAUCAUGGCCUCUAUCUUGGCCGGAUCUACCAGUAUACCCUUCUGGUUGAUGAGGUGCCUAAGGAAUUGCACCUCGCGCAACUAGAACUCGCACUUGGAGAACUUUGCUAAAAGUUUCUCCCUCCUCAAGACCUCUAGCACCUCCCUUAGGUGCUCCUCGUGCUGCUCCUGAGUCUUGGAAUAAACCAAGAUGUCAUCGAUGAAUACAAUCACAGACCGGUCCAACAUCGGCAUGCACACGCGGUUCAUGAGUUCCAUGAACGCGGAUGGAGCGUUGGUGAGCCCAAACGACAUCACCACAAACUCAUAAUGACCAUAACGGGUCCUAAAAGUUGUCUUCUGAACAUCCUCACCCCUGACCCGCAUCUGAUGAUAACCGGAGCGCAAAUCAAUCUUGGAAAACCAAGACGCUCCUUGAAGCUAAUCGAACAAGGCAUCUAUCCUCGGAAGUGGGUAACGGUUAUUCACCGUUACCUUGUUCAACUCCCAGUAGUCUAUGCACAUACGGUGCGACCCAUCCUUCUUCUUCACAAACAAGAUUGGGGCUCCCCAUGGAGAACUAAUUAGUCUAAUGAAACCCUUGUCUAGCAGCUCCUGCAGCUGCGUAUACAACUCCUGCAUUUCUGGAGGAGCCAACCGAUACGGCGCCUUGGCUAUCGGAGCCGCACCAGGAACCAAGUCAAUCUUGAACUCAACCUGUCUCUCUGAAGGUAUCCCAGGUAAUUCCUCUGGGAAUGAGUCCGGGUACUCUCGCACCACUGCUACAUCAUCUACUGUCAUCGUACUCUUAUCCCGGGUAUCCAUCACAUAUGUGACAUAACCUGCUUAACCCUGUUGGAAGUAGCGCCUCACUCUCACUGCUGAACAAAGAAUCGGUCCGCGUUGUGGGCUCUCGCCCUGAAUCACUAACUCUCCCCCGUUGGGAGUGCGAACCCUCACUAGCUGCAAUUCGCAAUCAAUCAUCGCCCCAUUGGGGCUCAACCAAUCCAUGCUUACUAUGGCCUUGUUCCCUCGCAAAGGAAUAGGGACCAUGUCCACCGAAAACUGCUCAUCGAAUAACUGCAGUGAGCAUGCCUUAUGCACCCUCGUGACCCUGACGGUCCUAUCAUCGGCUAUCUCCACCUCGAGUGGACAAUCCAGCUCCCUAGGAUCUCUGCUAAACCUCUUGCUAAGUGCAAGAGAGACAAACGAUCGGGUAGCCCCUGAAUCAAAUGACACUGUAGCUGAAAUGUCGUUCACUAAGAACGACCCUAUACAUAAACAUAUAACAUUAGAAACAAUCAAUAAUCAAUGCAUAGAUAAAAGGAAAAUACAUACCCGUCACCACGUCAGGAGUCGCUCGCGCCUCCUCUGCUGUUAUCUGAAAAGCUCUACUCUUCGCCACUGGCACCUCGGCCCGCCCCUGACGACCGUUCGUAAUCCUCAAUGUAGCAGGGGCAGGUGCCGACACCUUCCCUGCUGCUGCUAAGCUUGGGCACUGGGACUUUUUAUGUCCCCUCUGAUUGCAAUGGAAGCAAAUCAGAUCUGAUGCUGCGGUAGCUGUGGUAGAAACUGUACAAUCUCUGCUCAUAUGCCUAGUCCAACCGUACUUGUAGCAGCCGGAACUCCCUGCCUUGCACGCCCCAUCGUGUAAUCUCCCACACUUGCCACACCGACUGUGGCUCUGCUGACCUCUGGACCUAUGAUCCGAAACCUUGGGCUUCUUGCCCAAACUCCCUGUACCCGAAGCCGCCUCCGCCUUCCUCUUAUUCUCCAUCUCAAGAUCAAUCUCUCUCUCUCUCUCUCUCUCUCUCGCCCUUGCAAUCAUAUCAUCCAGCAUCUUACAGCUGGAUCGGCUCACAAACUGGCGGAUAUCACUCCGCAGCGUCUCAUGAUAACGGGCCUUCUUCAUUUCCUCGUCAGCUGCGUACUGAGGAACAAGAAGAGCCCUCUCCCUGAACUUGGCGGUAAUCUCCGCCACUGUCUCUAUAGUCUGAGUAAGGUCUUGAAACUCUCUAGCUAACUGUUGCACCUCAAUAGUCGGUGCGAACUCGGCUCUGAACCUGGUGGUAAAAUCAGCCUAAGUCAUAGUAUCAAGUGCUAUGUCAUCCCUGAUACCAUGCCCAACCUCCUCCCACCAGUCACAUGCCCUAUCCUUCAGGAGACAGGAUGCUAAUCUGACCUUGUCCCCUUCGGGACAUCUGCUAGUGCGGAACACGUUGGCAACAUCUGCCAACCACCUAGUGCUCGCAAUGAGGUCCCGCACCCCAUGAUAGCCUGGAGCUCCACAAGCCCGAAACUCCCUGAAGGUGAGUGUGCGCGACCCCAUCAUGGCCGCCAUCUCAGCACGAAAUGUGCUCAACUUCUCAUCCAUCAACUCCAAGAUACCCUCCUUGAUCGAACCGAAGAUCACAGGACUCUGCUCAAGUAUGAUACGGGUAACCUCUGAAGUGAAAAACUCCCUAGUUUGCUCAUCCAACUGCUCGGCCCCCCAGCCUGAUCCUGAUCCUUCCUCGGCACCUGAGCUGCCGACUGCUGGCCUAGGGCGUAAAACCACCAUUCUGAAAACACAUCAUGAUAAACGUCAAAAACACUGAUAUAUCUCUAGGGAUCGCUACUACUAUAGGUUUCCUGGUCUCGCCUCUGCCUUCCUUGAUUCAAGUACAAAUCCUCAACAAAAACCAGUCCUCAACUGCUGAAGGCCUCCUUGUAAUGCCAAUUAGUCAUCACCUGAAUAUCAUCACAUGUGACGAGACUCAGAUAAUCCUUCGAGUAAAAGACUCAUUCCUACAACGGAUGGACUCAAACAAGAGCUGCGCAGUAGAGCCAAAUCCAGCACUCUGAGAUUAUUCAACCCUGAUCUCAGGCGAUGUGUCGUAUUCACCUAAUGGUUAACUCUCAUUACCCGGAGUCUCAUAAAGCACAAAGCAAGCAGCAUUCGGACACAGGAAACUAAUCAAGCCACUCUAUUCUCAUAACAAGAAAUUGUACUAGCAUACAAUGUUAAGCUCGUACUGUCAGGCAUAACCUAAACAGGCUAUCCUACUGCUGUCUACUCAAUACUAGCAUGCAGUUCUCAUAAAGCUGAAGCACAUAUAGCAUGCACAUAAGGCAUCCUGCUAGAUCCUUAGUCCUAUUCUAGCAUGCUGUUCUACUGAAACUAAAACUGAUAAUCAUAACAUAAACUUGUAUGGGUAAUUUAGGGGUACUUACUUGAGCUCGACUGAUCGCAUGCACCACACCCUUUUCUCGUUUUCAAAACUCUUUUCUUUUUAAGUCUCUUUCUCAAAAGUUCUUUUGAACACAUUUUUCUUUCGAAAAUCUUUUUUCUAUUUCCUCAGUUUGAGUUCAGUUACACCCGUAAGUGUGUCUGAAUCCCUCAAACCAAGGCUCAGAUACCAACUUGAAAUAACCCAAAAUACAACCCAAUUUUUUUUUGUUAAAAAAAUACUAAAGAUAUCAACCAUCAUAAUAUAUCAUGAAAUCGUACGUCAUAAAUCCCCAAAAAGUUAUAAUAGAUGUGUCAUGACAAAAGAGUUGUAUCAACAUAACAUAGUAUCUAAAAUAAACUCCCAUGACAAAAGCUGAAACUGUGGUGUGUGCAAUGCCGUCAUCCCGAGCUCUUCCCUUUGCUUGCGGAAGUACCUGAAACCAAAACUGAAACUGUAAGCACAAAGCUUAGUGAGCUCCCCCAAACUACCACAUACCAUACAAUCAUAUAAAACACAUAUUGGGCCUUGCCCACUGCAUCGGACCGAAGUCUAGAAAAUGCAUCGGACCGAAGUCCGGAACUAACCAGGGCCUUGCCCUCUGCAUCGGACCAAAGUCCAGAACUGCAUCGGACCGAAGUCUGGAAACUAACCAGGGCCUCGCCCUCUGCAUCGGACCGAAGUUCGGAACUAACUGCAUCCAACCGAAGUCCGGAAUUGUCUGAACAUAACAUAUCAUAAACAUCUCAACUAGCAUGAACACAUAAACUGCAUACCGCAUCGGACCGAAGUCCGAAACACAUAACACAAAUACAUGCUUGAAUCACAAAGACAUCAAGCAUUCUAACUACUGCAACGGACAGAGGUCCGGAACUUCUGCUAACUAAACGGGCCGGCAUUGUGGCCGUAGACCCGUUCCUACUGGAAGGAAAACUCACCUCGUAAUGUUGGCUGCUGAGAUGCAAACUCUAAAAGUGGCUGACCGCUGCUCCGGAACUGUCCGACUACAAAUCCCAGAAACACUAGAUUAGUUACUUGCAUAUACCCUCAGGGUAAGAUGACUAUUUUGCCCCCGGUCAAAGUCAACUUCUAGUUGACCGGACUCACCGAGUCAGGGCGCAGACUCGCCGAGUCCCUCCUUUACUAACUCUGACUUUAAUUCACAGAGUCCCUUUCCCACUCACUGACUCUCUCUGAACUCGUAGGUCGAAGAAAAAAGGGGACUCACGACUCGACUCGUCGAGUCUGAAGAACAACUCGCCGAGUCCUGCCGUGCAUAUUCCAAACAAACGAAUUCAAAACUAUUCCAGAGCAUCUGACUUGAAGAUCUGAGCCCUUGGAACUAUCUAAACACGUGAAGUUUCUAACUUUACGUGCAACUAAGAAGGAAUGAAGCUAUUUCACUCAAACACUACUUUUCUUGGGAAAACUCAUCCGACUCGCCGAGUUGUAUGAACAACUCGUCGAGUCUAAGGCGAUCUUCAUCAGACUCGCCGAGUUGCUCAUCCAACUCGUCAAGUCUACGGCUAUCUUCAUAUGACUCUCUGAGUCACGCAUGCGACUCGCCGAGUCCAUUUAGUCCCUUUUUCCAUACAGACCUGAUUUGGGCCAUGCAUUGGCUCCAAAUCACAGAUCUAAGCUUCUAGGGCAUUCUUAUCACGUAAAUUUGCAAACUUUACGUGCAUGCAUGGCUUUAAAGGCUUCAAAUGCUAACCCUAAGCUCUUAAUGGGGCUCCAAGCUCAAGAGAGACCUCAAUCAUGACCAUAACAGAAACUUUACUCUUCUAGAAUGCAAUAAGAGUCCAGAUCUAAUGUUUCCAUAAAAAGGGGAAGUCCAUCUCUCAAGUUUGAACCAUAAGAGGCUCCAAAGAGGGCAUAACAAGCAUAAAGGAGGUUAUAAUGGGGGAAUGCACAAGUUCAUAACUUCAUUACCUGAAUGAAAAAUAGAUGUAAGCUAACUCCUGGAUCUUCCUUCCCUUUUAUGGACCUUCCUUCCUUCCCAAUGCUUCCAUGCUAUCACAAAUACCCUCAAACUCAACAAUGGGGCUAGGGUUUACAGGGGAAAUGUUCUGAGAGUGAUAGAGGCGAGGUUGGGGGCGCAUAAGUGUGUUUAAAUAGGGUGCAAACCCUUAAAAUUAGGGCUUCAUCCAGACAGGCGGACUUGCCGAGUCCAGCGUAUGGACUCGUCGAGUAGCCAGCUCAAAACGUGUGAUUGUCUCGUCUCUACUCGACGAUUCGGGCUACAGACUCAUCGAGUACCCCUUAAUAAAUGAAAAUACUUUAUUUGAAUUACAUACCAAAAAUGGGGCAUUACAUAAUGCUUAGCCCAGAAACACGGACGUUACACUUCUCUCCUCCUUAGGAUGAUGCCAUCCCCAGAAUCAUACAUCAACAAACUAAUGCGGAUAGCGACUCAUCAUGUCACUCUCCAUUUCCUAGGUGAGAUUUGACUCAUUCGUAUGUUUCCGUCGCACAAGUAGUAAGUCAACCAUCUUGUGACGCAACUUCUUCGUCUUAUGGUCAACAAUCGCCUCCGGUUCUUCAACUAGCCUCUUAUUUUCAUCCAUCCUUAGCUCAUAAAUUAGAAUUAUGUCAGGAACUUCUCCCAUGAAUUUCCUCAAAUAACUCACAUGGAAAGUGUUAUGAAUAAUGUCUAGUUCUUCUGGUAGUUCUAGCUUGUAGGCUUGGUUCCCAAUCCUCUGAAGAACUUUGAACGGUCCAAUGAAUCUUGGACUUAACUUCCCUUUUUCCCGAAUCUUAUAAGUUCCUUGUAGCACCUGGUUCCUGGUAUGUAAUUUAUUUAAAUAUUUUGCAUUUUUGGCCUUGGACUCGGCAAGUUGAAGGACCAACUUGCCGAGUAGAAGCGGGAUGGGACGUGGGAUUUAAGUGAUGGACACGUCGAGUCGGGUCCCGGACUCGACGAGUAGGCUCUGACUGAAAAACCCUAAUCCGAGGGUUUGCACCCUAUUUAAUCAUCUCAUUUUCCCCUAAUGCUCCCAGAAACCCUCCCUAGUAAACCCUAAGUGUUUUGGUGCAAGAUCUAAGGCUUUUGAGUGAUUUUUGUGGGUUUUGACCUCAAGGAAUAAGGAAGAGCAUAGAAGGAUCAAGAGGAGACUGAAGGAUUAGAGUUUGGUGCAUCAUUUUCAGUCCUUGAAAGGUAUAAAUUAUGUACCUUGCUUGUUCAUUUGUUAGAUCCUUUUUUGGGGAAGAUUUAGGGCUUCUUAAGUCAUAUGAGGUGGCCAAACAUGGUUGGGGGUCAAGACUUCGGAUCUAAGUCUUGGAAGGAGUCCCAAAGCAGAUUUGGGUUGCUUUUGCACCCAAGGAAGGUCCCAUGCAACAUAAGAGCCAUUUUAGAGCCUUUUUGGGUCAAAAGUCCCAUGCAUGCACGUAAAGUUCGAAACUUUACGUUCUAGAUCGAGCUUAGGGCUUGGAUCUAUCUUUUUGUCAAAGGUUGUACAUCAGAAAUCGAGGAUUUAGGGUGUGGAUGUUAUCGAAUCGGCGAGUCAGUUCUUGGGACACGACGAGUCCAAAGCAUAGGGUCUGUUAUCUGUUGAGGGUCAAAAGAACCCAGUUGGGUGUUAGAAGGGUUGUAGAAGGUCCGAGAGAGUGACCCAACGUGUUGGACUUAGCCUUAGACUUGGAAUUCAUGGGACUCGUCGAGUGCUAGAACAGACUCGGCGAGUCCAAGGCAAUCUCCUUAUCGAUGAAGAUGAACUCGACGAGUUGUUCAUACAACUCGGCGAGUCGGGGUCAGGACUUGUUCAUCAGAUGAAGGUGAACUCGACAAGUGUUCAUCCGACUCGGCGAGUCGGAUGAAGGUUCAUUGAUGUUCGUAAAGAAAGGGAACUCGUCGACUUGUUGCCAAACUCGACGAGACGAGUCGUGGAUAAGGACGAGUAAAGGAAAGGGACUCGACGAGUUNAACUCGGGGAGUCGGGUCAACUGGAAGUUGACUUUGACUUGGACUUGGUUGGGGGUAAAAUAGUCAUUUUACCCCAAGAGUAGAUAUUAGUUUUCUGACUGAGUAUUUUGUGGGGAUUAUAGCCGGAGGAUUUCCGAAGCAACAGCAGGCAGAGGUUUCCUGCACAUAUUAUCAGCAGCUACUUGUUCGAGGUGGGUUGCCUACCAGUAGCGGUGGGUCUACGACCACAAUGUCGGCCCACCAAUAGGAGUUGUAUAAUUAUAUGAUUGUCUUUGUGAUAUCAUCUAGGUUGCUUCUACCUGAUAUGUUAUAUGCUGGCAUGAUAUGUUAUAUGUGAUAGUAGUAGAGUUCGGUUGUUAGGACCGAAGGGUAGGUCAAACACCCCAGAUAUGUAUGACAGUAUGUGAUGAUAUGUUUAUAUGCCGACAUGACAUGUUAUAUGGGAUAGUGGUAGUAGGAGGGGAACAGUCCCCAAGUUCGGUUGUUAGAACCGAAGGGUAGUUCAGACACCCCAGAUAUGUCUGAUAGUAUGUUUAUGUUAUGAUAUAUGUGAUAGUAGUGGUACGUGUGGAAUAGUCCCCGAGGGUCGGUCUUUAGGACUGACGGGUAGGUCAGCACCCCAAAAAGACUUGACAGGGGUAGGACGACACCCCAGAAUGGCCGCACGGGUAGGUCGGCACCCCAGAAUGGCCGUACCGGGUAGGCCGGGCACCCUAGAAUUGCCUGGCAGUAUGUAUGCUAUGUGAUUGUAUGGUAUGUGGUACGAUGGGGGAACUUACUAAGCUUCCUGCUUACAGUUUACAGUUUUGGUUUCAGGUACCUCUUCAACAAAGGGGAAGGAGCUGGCGCGGUAGCGGCACAUCAUACACACAUGUUGGUUUCCGCACUAGUGUUUCUUGGGUCGUUACAAGUUGGUAUCAAAGCCCUGAUCUGAGGGAUUCGGACACACCUUGGGGGUGUCUGGACUCAAAUCGAGGGAUUAAAAGACUUUUACAAGAAAAAUGGUUUCUUAAAAGCUAAGAUAAAAGAGUUUUGGGAAAGAACAAAGUGUGUGAUGUGCGCGACCGGCCGAGCUCAAGUAAGUAUUCCCCAAAGUACCCAUACAAGUUUAUGUUAUGUUUAUCAGUUUCAGUAGAAUAGCAUGCUAGAAUAGGACUGAAGAUCUAGGAAUGAUGGCUUAUGUGUCUGCUUUAUGUGCUCCAGCUUAUGAGAAUUGCAUGCUAGUAUUAAGUAGAAAAUAAUAGGAUAGUCUGUUUAGGUUAUGCCUGGUAUUAUGAGCUCAGCAUUGUAUGAUGGUACAACUUCUCGUUAGGAGAAUAGAGUUGUUUGAGUAGUUUCCUGUGUCCGAAUGAUGCUUGCUCAGUGCUUGUAGGACUCUGAAUGAUGGCCGUUAGCCAUUAGGUGAGUACGUCGCGUCGCAUGUCAUUAGGAUUGAAUAAUCUCAGAGUGCUGGAUUUGGCCCUAUUGCGCGGCUCUCGUUUGAGUCUAACCGUUGUAGGGACGAGUCUUUUACUUGAAGGAUUAUCUGAGCCUUGUUACAUGUGAUGGUAUUUAGGUGAUGGCUAAUUGAUAUCACAAGGAGGCCUUCAACAGCCGAGGACCGGUUUGGGUAGAGUCAGAGAUUUUCCCUAGGGUAAGCCUACGAUGAGAGUAGCAGAGAUCAGCAGUGGAAAAAGGGACUUGGUGGAGUCGAGGCCGUCCUUGAGGAAAGUACGGAUAGAUAUGGAAGGUAGUAUGGGCCCGUACUACAGAAAGCAGAGGAUCCGUACUCGAAUUAAGGAAGGCUAAGGCAAGACCAAGGAACUUGUGAUGGGUGUGAUCCCUAUAGAUGUACUAGUAUCACUGACGGAUGUCAUGAUGUAUUGCGGAAUGGUGGUACUAAGGCCAAGGCCAGCAGUGGGUAGCUCAGGAGAGGGAUCGGGUUCGGGUUCAGGCUCCGAACCAGUGGACGAGAGGCUACGCGAGUUCAUCGCGUCUAAGAUCACUAUAGGCAUCCUUGAUGCGACCCCGAUCAUCUUUGGGUCGAUCAAGGAAGGGAUUGUUGAGCUGAUGGAGGAUCGCCUUAGGGCGCUCAGGAGUGACAUGGCGACCAGCCAGUCAGGAUCCCGCAUACUAUCCUUUAAGGACUUCAGGGGCAGUGGCGCGCCGGACUUCCACGGGGAAAAGGACCCCAUUUCUGCUAGACGAUGGAUUGCGGACAUGGAGUCUGCACAGCUGACAAGCUUCUGCCCCGAGGGGCCGAAGGUGAGAUAUGCAGCAGGGUGUUUGAGAGACAGAGCUAGAGAUUAGUGGGAGUCUGUUGUUGACUCCUUGGGAGCCUCGGCUGUUGAGGCUAUGACCUGGUUAGACUUUGUGACCAGAUUCAGGGCGGAGUUUGCGCCAGCUGUAGAGCUUCAGCAGCUGGCCAGAGAGUUUUUGGAUAUGAGACAGACUACGGAGACUGUGGCGGAGAUCACCGCCAACUUCUGGGAGAGGGCAUUGCUUGUGCCCCAGUAUGCGGGAGAUGAGGACAUGAGGAUGACCCGCUAUCAUGACAUGCAGCGAGCCGAAAUUCGGGAGCAUGUUAGUUUUUCAGCUUGCCCUACCCUAGAUUCCAUGAUUUCCAGAUCAAGGGAGAGGGAGAUCGAUCUAGAACAUGUCCAGAAGAGGAAGGUAGAGGAGGGGCAGACGAUUGGGGCUUCGGAGAAGAAGCCUAAGGGAUCAGAUGGUAGGCCGAAAGGCCAGUCAGGACCAGGCCACUGCAGGAAAUGCGGCAGGCCACAUGAGGGGGCGUGUAGAUUGGGAUUGUCGGGCUGCUACAAGUUCGACAAGACGGGGCAAUUCAGCAGAGAUUGUACCGCCCCUACACCAGUUAUUCAGACGUCUGAGUUGCUGUGUUUUCAAUGCAACCAGAGGGGCCACAAGAAAGACAACUGCCCCCAGUUAACAGCAGCAACAGUGCCAGUGAAGGCGCCAGGUCUAGCGACCCUGCGAAUUACUGAUGACUGGAAGGCCAAGGCUGAGGCUCCAGUGGUGAGGAGUCGGGCCUUCCAGUUGACUACCGAGGAGGCACGCGCUGCACCCGAUGUGGUAACAGGUAUGACUUCUUGUUUAUGCUUUUAUGAUAUGCUGCUGUGAUUUUGAUAUGUUAUGUAUGUGCUCUGUUUAGGAUCGUUCCAUGUGAACGGUAUCCCAGUUCAAGUAUUGUUUGAUUCGGGUGCUACCCGAUCAUUUGUCUCUCUUGCGCUUAGCAAGAAGUUUCCUGAGUCUUCGGGCAUGUUGGAUUGCCCUUUAGAGGUUGAGAUUGUAGACGACAGGUCGGUACGAGCAUUAGAGGUCUUCCGAGAUUGUGUUUUGAGGUUGUUCGAGGAGCGUUACAUGGUAGACUUGAUUCCCAUACCCUUGCGGGGGAACAAGGUUAUUAUCGACAUGGAUUGGUGGAGCCCCAAUAGGGCGGUGAUAGAUUGCGCACAAUAGUUGGUGCGAGUCAGGACCCCAGGAGGGGGAGAUUUAGUGAUUUAGGGUGAGAGCCACAGCGAGGGCCAACCUUAUGUUCGGCAACGAGGACAAGGCGUUACCUUCAGCAGGGUUGCGCCGGAUAUGUCGCUUAUGUCAUGGACACCCGGGAGGAGGGAAAGGCGACAGUGGGCAAUGUGCCUGUGGUACGAGAGUUUGCGGACGUAUUCCCCGAGGAGUUGCCUGGGAUACCUCUGGAACGAUAGGUGGAGUUUAGGAUCGACCUAGUCCUUGGUGCGGCUCCGAUAGCCAAGGCACCGUAUCGGUUGGCUCCUCUUGAGAUGCAGGAGUUGUCUACACAGCCGCAGAAAGUAUUAGACAAGUGAUUCAUUAGACCUAGUAGUUCUCCCUGGGGAGCCCCGAUUCUGUUUGUGAAGAAGAAGGACGGGUCGCAUCGGAUGUGUAUAGAUUAUCGGGAGCUGAAUAAGUUAACGGUGAAGAACCGUUACCCACUCCCGAGGAUUGAUGACCUCUUUGACCAGCUACAGGGAGCAUCUUGGUUCUCCAAGAUUGAUCUGCGUUCAGGGUAUCAUAAGAUGAGGGUCAGAGAGGGGGAUGUACAGAAGAUAGCGUUCCGGACGCGCUAUGGCCAAUAUGAGUUCGUGGUGAUGCCUUUCGGGCUCACCAAUGCUCUUGCCGCAUUCAUGGAUCUCAUGAACCACGUGUGCAGACCAAUGUUGGAUCGGUCCGUGAUAGUUUUCAUCGAUGAUAUCUUGGUUUACUCCAAGACACAGGAGGAGCACGAGGAGUAUCUGCAAGAGGUUCUAGAGACUUUGAGAAGGGAGAACUUGUAUGUUAAGUUCUCCAAGUGUGAGUUCUGGUUGCGCGAGGUGCAAUUUCUCAGACACCUUGUCAACCAGAACGGGAUAUCGGUGGACUCGGCCAAAGUGGAGGCCGUGAUGAGAUGGGAGGUUCCAAGGUCUCCAUCCGAGAUUCAGAGUUUCCUAGGAUUAGUCGGCUACUAUCGGAGAUUCAUCCAUGAUUUCUCCAAGAUAGUCAUACCCCUGACCAGGCUAACGAGGAAAGUCGUGGUUUUUCGUUGGGGGCCUGAGCAGCAGGCCGCAUUCGAGACAUUGAGACAGAGAUUGUGUGAGGCACCAAUCUUAGCCCUAUCGGAGGGCAUAGAGAAUUUUGUUGUGUACUAUGACACGCCCAUUUCAGGUUUGGGCGCGGUACUGAUGCAGAGAGGGCAUGUCAUUGCCUACGCUUCGAGGCAGCUGAAGCUUCACGAGGCGAACUACCCGACGCAUGAUUUGGAGCUGGGGGCUGUUGUGUUCGCCCUUAAGAUUUGGCGUCAUUACCUCAAUAGGGUUCGCUAUACUAUCUACAUAAACCACAAGAGUUUGAUGUACCUCAUGGAUCAGCCGAAUCUAAACAUGAGGCAGCGUCGGUGGUUAGACGUGGUGAAGGAUUACGAUUACGAAAUCCUUUACCACCCGGGGAAGGCCAAUGUGGUGGCCGACGCACUUAGCCGCAAGGCAGCGCCGAUCAGGGAUAUUUGUCUGAGGAUGAUAGUGGUGACCCCGCUGUUGGAGCGGAUUCGGGAGGCCCAACGGGAGGCCAUGAAGGAGGAACAUCGGAAGAGCGAGCGGAUUGUGGGGCAAGUUUCCUCCUUCGAUUAUGAUAGCCGAGAGCUGUUGACACUACACCGUAGGGUGUGGGUGCCGUACCACGGGGGUGUACGCCAGGUUCUGAUGAAGGAGGCGCACAAAUCUCGAUUCUCCAUUCAUCCCGGGGCGACGAAGAUGUACAAGGACCUUCUUUUGGACUAUUGGUGGCCCUGCAUGAAGCUGGAUGUAGCAUGGUAUGUGGAGUGGUGCUUGACCUGUAGGAAGGUCAAGGCCAAGCACCAGAGGCCACAUGGAAAGAUGCAGCCGUUGGAUAUCCUGCUGUGGAAAUGGGAAGACAUUACGAUGGAUUUUAUCAUAAAGCUUCCUAGGAUCGCUCGGGGAGUGGAUUCGAUAUGGGUCAUCGUCGAUCGAUUAACCAAAGAGCGCCCAUUUUAUUCCGAUCCAGGAGGGAAUUUUGGCCGAAAAGUUGGCCAACAUCUAUAUCAGGGAGGUGGUGGUGCGGCACAGGGUGCCGGUAUCGGUGAUUUCAGACAGGGACGUGCGGUUCACUUCCAGGUUUUGGAGGAAGUUUCAUGACGAGCUGGGUACUCGUCUGUAUUUUAGCACCGCCUUUCACCCACAGACGGAUGGUCAGAGCGAUCGGACCAUCUAGACAUUAGAGGAUAUGCUGCGAGCAUGUGUUUUAGACUUCGGAGGUAGCUGGGAUACCUACCUUCUGUUGGCGGAAUUCUCGUAUAAUAAUAGCUAUCAUACGAGUAUUAACCGUCCUCCCUUCAAGAUGUUAUACGGGAGGAAGUGCAGAACCCCAAUAUGUUCGGGUGAGGUUGGCCAGAGGGUCAUGAGGAGCAUCGAGGUGGUGCUCAAGAUGACAGAGAGGAUUCAGCAGGUCCGGAGCAGACUUCAGACUGCUCAGAGUCGGCAUAAAAGUAAUCUUGAUAAGCGCCGAUCAGACCUGGAGUUCCAGCUCAAGGAUAUGGUUCUCCUAAAGCUGUCGCCAUGGAAGGGCGUCAUCCGAUUUAGGAAACAGGACAAGUUGGGCGCCACGUACAUUGGACCGUUCAGAUUCUUAGCCCGGGUGGGCAAGGUAGCAUACAGGUUGGAUCUGCCAGCCGAACUCAGCCAGAUCCACAACACUUUCCACGUCUCCCAGCUGCAGAAGUUUCUGGUGGACGACUCAGCAGCGGUACCCUUAAAAGAUAUUCAGGUCGAUGACAGCUUGAAUUACAUUGAGCGGCCAGUAGCGAUCCUCAACCGGAAGUCGAAGGAACUGAGGAACAAGAGGGUUGAACUAGUGAAGGUGCAAUGGCAACAUCGGAAGGGCUCAGAAUGGACUUGGGAGCCAGGGGAGGAGAUGAUCGAGCAUUACCCAGAGUUGUUCCAGGAACGAACAGCAGACUUCGAGGACGAAGUCUAAAAUAAGUGGGGGAGAUUUGUAGCACCUGGUUCCUGGUAUGUAAUUUAUUUAAAUAUUUUGCAUUUUUGGCCUUGGACUCGGCGAGUUCAAGGACCAACUCACCAAGUAGAAGCGGGAUGGGACGCGAGAUUUAAGUUAUGGACUCAUCGAGUCAGGUCCUGGACUCGACGAGUAGGCUCUGACUGGACAAAAACCCUAAUCUGAGGGUUUGCACCCUAUUUAAUCAUCUCAUUCAGCCACCACUCUACCCUAAUGCUCCCAGAAACCCUCCCUAGUAAACCCUAAGUGUUUUGGUGCAAGAUCUAAGGCUUUUUGAGUGAUUUUUGUGGGUUUUGACCUCAAGGAAGAAGGAAGAGCAUAGAAGGAUCAAGAGGAGACUGAACAAUUCGAGUUUGGUGCAUCAUUUUCUGUCCUUGAAAGGUAUAAAGUCUGUACCUUGCUUGUUCAUUUGUUAGAUCCCUUUUUGGGGAAGAUUUAGGGUUUUUUAAGUCAUAUGAGGUGGCCAACCAUGAUUGCAAACAUGGUUGGGGGUCAAGACUUCGGAUCUAAGUCUUGGAAGGAGUCCCAAAGCAUAUUUGGGUUGCUUUUGCACCCAAGGAAGGUCCCAUGCAACAUAAGAGCCAUUUAGAGCCUUUUUGGGUCAAAAGUCCCAUGCAUGCACAUAAAGUUCGAAACUUUAUGUGCUAGAUCGAGCUUAGGGCUUGGAUCUAUCUUUUUGUCAAUGGUUGUACAUCAGAAAUCAAGGAUUUAGGGUGUGGACGUUAUCGACUCGGCGAUUCCGUUCUUGGGACUCGACAAUUCCAAGGCAUAGAGUCCGUUAUCUGUUGAGGGUCAAAAGAACCCAGUUGGGUGUUAGAAGGGUUGUAGAAGGUCCGAGGGAGUAACCCAACGUGUUGGACUUAGCCUUAGACUCGGAAUUCAUGGGACUCGUCGAGUGCUAGAAUAGACUCGGCGAGUCCAAUGCAAUCUCCUUAUGGAUGAAGAUGAACUCGACGAGUUGUUUAUACAACUCGACGAGUCGGGGUCAGGACUUGUUCAUCAGAUGAAGGUGAACUCGACAAGUGUUCAUCCAACUUGGCAAGUCGGAUGAAAGUUCAUUGAUGUUCGUAAAGAAGGGGAACUCGUCGACUCGUUGCCAAACUCGACGAGUCGAGUCGUGGAUAAGGACGAGUAAAGGAAAGGGACUCGACAAGUAGAUGACCCAACUCGGUGAGUUGGGUCAACUGGAAGUUGACUUUGACUUGGACUUGGUUGGGGGUAAAAUAGUCAUUUUACCUCAAGAGUAGAUAUCAGUUUCUGACUGAGUGUUUUGUGGGGAUUAUAGCCGGAGGAUUUCCGGUGCAGCAGCAGGCAGAGGUUUUCCAAACAGAUUAUUAGCAACUACUUGUUCGAGGUGAGUUACCUACCAAUAGCGGUGGGUCUACGGCCACAAUGUCGGCCCACCAAUAGGCACUACUAGAAAAAAGGCGUUUUACGAUGCUCAUUGCGCGUCGUAAAACGCUCAGACAACGCGAAAAUGCGUGUCAAGGAAGGCCCUGUCAUAACGAGAGACGACACGCAUUUACGACACGCAUUUACGACGCUCAUUUACGACACGCAAUGCGUAUCAAGGAAGGCCAUGUCAUAAAGGAUGACGACACGCAUUUGAGUGUCGUAACCUUACGACACGCGUUUAGGACAUGCAUUGUGUAUCAUUAAAGCCCCUGUCAUAAAUGAAGAUGACACGCAUUUGCGUGUCAUAAUCUUCAGCAACCAUUUACGAUAUGCAUUUACGACACGUCUUUACGAUACACAUUUACGCAAAAUACAAAAAUAUGGAAAUAAAUAUAUAACAAAACAAUCAAUUUCAUUCAUUAACAUCAUGUCAAAAAAUUGUAAUACAUAGCGGAAGUAUUUGUUGAGAGCCCAAAAAGUUACAUAAAUCAAUGAAAGUAAAAUUCAUAACUUUUCUAGUUUUCAUAAUCCUAACAAUAGCUGCAUCAACCUGCGAUAUAUUUAUAAAAAAAAUGUGAUUAUAAAUUUAUAAUUACAAAAAAAAAUAAAGCAAAAAAAAAUUGGACCUGAUAUUGACGAUCUUGGGAAACUCUCUCUGUGGUGCUUGCGUUUUCUUCCACAGUUUCCUUCAGCUGGAUAUCAUUCACAUGUACAUGGAAUGGAAUGGAAUAAUGAAAUAAGCAAAGGAAUGGAAUGAGUCAUUCCAUUCCAAUUUCAUAUGAACUUCACAUUAUAAAAAAUUAAUUGAUCUCACCUUUAUACGAUAAAGAGGAGCAGUAAAUACAUCAUUAAACAUGAAGGAAUCAUUGUCAUCCACAUCAGUUUGAACCUAUUCUUUUGUCUCCUUUUCUUCUUUCUCUUUCCCUUGUUCUUUUUUGUCUUGUAUCUUUUCAAGUGGUUGGUACAACAAUAGAGGUAACGGGACAUGUGCCAGUAUUGGGUCCUGAAGAUCUUGUUGCUUUUGUGCUAAGUGUUUUGUGAUUGAGAAGCAAAUGGUCACAAAUUGCAUAUGGGUUCUGGACAUGCAAAUAAACUUAACUAUCGAUCACAUAACAAAAGCAAAUGAAAGUAUGAUGUUAUAAUAAACAAUUCAAAUGCUAAUACCUUUGACAUGUUUGUAUCUACAACAUUUUGGGAGCUUUCGAUGCUUCGAAGAAUUAAAAGUAUUGAAAUAACCUCUUCCUUCUUUAGACUAUUAUGAGGCUUCCCAUCUUCACAAUCACCACCAAUUGCCAACAUAGAAAGAAAUAAAUACAAUUUUCCGGAAAAUAAUAAAAAUUCAUAUAUAUUUUUUUCAUUCAAAGAAUCAAAAUCAACAGGUAUAGUAUGCAUUCAAUUUAUAUUUCAGGAAAAAAAAACUAAUAGUAUACCUACCUGUAUGUGGGUUCAUAGCAAGUUUUCUCUCUUGGAUAAAACAUUAUUUUUUUAUUUUAUUUAUACUAAAUGUUUUUUUUUAUAUUUUGAUAUAAUACAAAUUAAUUUAUGUUUUAGAUAAGCUCUCUUUUACUUNCCUGUCUUUUACUUAUUUACAUUGAAAAUUGACAAAUAGUUCUUUUUCCACAAAAACAGACAAACUAUCUACAAUGAGUUUUUUGCCCUUUGCCACUAUUUAAUCACCUUACCUUAGUUUUACACACAAAAUCCAAUAAUGGAAUAAUGCAUUGAACAUUACACAUUUGCAAAUAAGAUACACAUUAGCAAAAAAUGGUCUUAGCACUAACUUUCACCACCCACCCACCCGAUAACAAAAGAAAAUAUAAUCCGCCCACUCAGUUUCACUUUAUUUGCAAGUAAGUAUAAACAAUAAUAUUGCAGGGUUUUUUUUUCAGUAUGAAUGAGUAUUCAGUCACUAUUCAUCCAUACCUCUUUAAGUAGUUGAUACCAAAUGCUACCAUUAUUCAAUCUCCAUCUAGGGGUAGGGCUAGGUGUUGGUGUUGUUGGAGCAGAAGAAGCAUCAAUGAUAUUGAUAACAAUGAAAGGGGAACUCAAAUCAUCAAGUUCAUCAUCACUUGUGUUUGACUUUCUCAACACUGAUGAUCCAGUGCGACCCAAGUGUUUUAUACAUACAGCCACUCCCUCUCCUCCAACCAAAAUGGUUUUUAUUAUUGAUGAUGCUGAUGGCGGAUCAUAAACAACCGAACCAGCUACACAUGGGACACUGCUCACACAGUCUUCGCCACCCUCUGUAGAAUAUAAAGCCAAAAGAAACCUGUGUUUGUUUACUACUCAAAAUGAAGACAUAAAAGAAGAAAGGAAUAUGCAUUGUAUUGGAAAAAUGAAGACUAAAAACCUCUUAUAUUAUCCAUAUCAAUAAAGCUAUAUUUAUAGCUUCUUAGACACCCACGAUGAAGUAUGAAAACAAUCCAUGCUCUUGACUCCACCUAAUUAGCUUAAGAAUUAACUAUUAUAUAAAACAUAAAACACAAAACAAUAAUAAUUAUCAAAUCUAAAGUUUCAGCCAUGCACGUGAGCUAUGACUAACAAACCGAUUAACCCAACACCUUCCACCCCCAAAUCCUUAGCAUAUAUAAACAAACACCCUCUAAAUGCAUGUUAUUAGACAUACCAAAAUAUCUUUAAUUGGUUGGCUUGUGUGUCCUUCACAUCAACAUAAUUACUUAAUUAAUUAAUUAUACUGAACUCACCUCUGAGUCUAAGGCUUCAAGCACAACUUCAGGAAUAGCAUCUGGACAAAACUCAUCUGGAACAAAACUAUCUAGUAUCCCUUUUAUUAAUGCUACACCAAAACUCAAACAUACCUUCAAAAAAUUUUAAAUAACUUUAGCUUUGUGGAUAACUACACUACUAUAAAAGAAAAAGAGCCCAAUUUUAGAGACCUCUUUUCUGAUUGUGCUAUCUAACAACAUAUCCUUAGGAAGCAUCAUCAGGUCACUUAAUGCAUUCAGGAGAUGAAAAGAUUUGAAUGAUGAAUCAUCAGCAUCUAUAUCAAAUAAAUCAGUCAGCCACCUCGACCAAUUUUCAAUUUGCACAUUGCCAAAUGAACNNNNNNNNNNUAUAUAUAUAUAUAUAUAUAUAUAUAAAGGAUCACUUGCCAUGGGAAUUGGUCGCCUAUGAUUCAGAUCAGAGGCCUGGAAUCGUCAAGGUAGAAAACACAAGUCAAGAAAAAAAAUAAAAUAAGAGACUUUUAGGCAUAAAUGGUAUAUACCCUGUAAUAGGGAUAACAAACUCCUUGAGUGCUUUUUCACUUGUUACUCCAAUUAAUUCGCCAAGACCUUGAGCAUCCUGUUCUCUCAAUUCUGCAGACCUGCUUAUUAGGCCCUGAAGAUAUAUGGGAAGCAAUGGUUGAAGAGCCUUUGGGAGACAUAACCUGGGUAUAACAAUUGGUCCACCCUAUAUGUCCAUCAACAAAUAUUUAAAUAAGAUAAACCUUAAUCACUACUAAAUGCUGAUUAAAAUACACAUAGUUGCCCCUCGAGUUCCAAAACAUUAAAACAACUCUAUUUUGUGCUUAGAUUCCAAAAUAGGACCAAAACAAAAUUCAUACGCAAGUGCUCAAUGGAUGAAAAAACUCAUAUGUACAAAUUCUAAGCCAAAAUACAAGAAUACAUUAGUUCUACAUAAACCCUAUCAACUCGAAAAUAAAAUUUUCUCGUAUAAUAAUUACAUAACCAAAUUAUGUAGUGAAAUCACACAUUAAAGCAAAUGUCUUUGUUAUUGUGAAUUUUGAUACAUCAUAUAUUAUUAUAUUUUUACCUUUAUUAUAGAUUGGUUACCCAACUUUACAUGCAUUUGUUGAGUUUAUUUCUGGAUUUGACAUGCCUUCUGACAUUCACUCAAAGAAGAAAGACAACAUUCUUCUAGAAACUGGGAAACCUUUUCGAUGGCUCUCUUCCAUGAUGAGUUAUCGUUGCCACUAGCUCAUAUCUUCGACCGUAUUUAUUAUAAUUUUUUUUAUAAAUUAAUAAAAAGAUGAAAAUGAUAUAUANNNNNNNNNNNNNNNNNNNNNNNNNUAUAUAUAUAUUAUAUAAAUACAUACCUCUGGUGAUGAUAAAAAAAGGAAAUCACGAUUCAGAGUAAGGUGAAGAGGAAUGUGGAUUGGUUUGAGUAAUUUUGUGCUUCCUUGACUUACAUAGCUAAACCUCAUUAAGUGUAGUAUUAUUAUCUCUGGAAGCUCUAAUAUUUCACUGAUUUACUUGCACAUACUAAUUCACAUAAUAAUAAAAAGAAGUAUACAUUUCCUGCUGAUGAAGCACGAUACCCUUCAAGUGUCUCUGGAGCUGAAAAAAGAUGAAGUGCAUCUUCUAUUGUAUGCAUAGGAUCUGGACAUAUAUUCAAAUGGAGCAAAAGAAAUGGCUGAAUAGUUGCAGAUGCUUUGUUACCUAUUUUUGUUUUACAUUAAAAAUAUAUAAAUGAUGAAUUAAUGAUAUCAUGUUAUUGAGAUGAGUGAAAAAUGUUAAAAGAUUAAAAAAAAAUACCUCUUGCUUUCAUUACACUUUUUAUUUGGCCUUCGAAGAUCUGACUUAAUUUUGAAGGAAUAAAACUUUGUGUUCUUGUGAUUGUAGUUUUGUUCUUUGGUCCAACUGUUUCCCAAAUAUCAUCAUCAUCUUCAUCACUUAAAGAUGAAACCAGUGAAACUUUUCCACCAUUAAAAUUACAAACUUCUCCUUCAAGUUUAAGAAGUUCAUCAUGCAUUUGGUGCAUUACAAAGCUUAAAAACACCUGAGCAUCUUCUUGCCUUUUUAAAAAACAAACUUCAACUCAGCAUCCGAAAUUCCAAACAUAACAUAUAUAAAAUUUGUUGAUUAAUUUUAUAACAUUAACACAAACCUUGGUCUUCCAGAGAAGCUAUUUGGCAUAUCUGGAGAGAAAUUGUUGAGAACAGAUUCAAACAUGAUAGGUCGAAAAGGUUUCCCAGUUUCUAGAAGAAUGUUGUAUUUCUUCUUUGAGUGAAUGUCAGAAGGCAUGUCAAAUCCAGAAAUAAACUCAACAAAUGCAUGUAAAGUUGGGUAACCAAUUUGUAAUAUAGGUAAAAAUAUAAUAAUGUAUGAUGUAUCACAAUUCACGAUAACAAAGACAAUUGAGUCCAACUCCAUCGGCGUUUGCUUUUGAAUGAAUUCCUUGGGAUAAACCUUCCAUAUACGCUCUGCUCCCUUUCCUUUUGGAACAAAACACCAUAGCAAGACUCCAAAUAUGUAAUAAUAAUCGAUCGAUAAAGUUUCUACAUAAGUUGCAGGUGAUCAAAAAUGGCGGAAAUCAGGAAAUGUAAAUUGUACCUUUAGCGAGAUUAGGGUAAAGCCAUCACAAGUUAGAGCCAUCAUCACCUGUGGGAGACCUAGGGGAAGUUGAUCGCCUCUAUCCACCUGCCAAAAAAGUGAAUCGUCUUCCCAUAAGUUUUCGUCACUUUCUCUCGAUCUUGCCGCUCAACCGGACCAAGGACGCCGGGAAGGAAAAGGACGUCCCUCUUCACCUCAUACUCGUGGAUGUGCCACAUUGGCUUUUCUGAAUCCGGCAAGGUGAAGAACAAUUUUUAUGUUACGAUGUUUUCAACUCCGAUUAAAAAAGCCCUAGAAAUUAUCCCAGUGAUUUUGUGAUAUAUGAGUUGUUGAGGUAUACAGCAGAGGUGGUAUCGUGAUUAGGGUUUGCAGAGAAAAGGGGGAAGAAGAGAAUGAAGGGGAUCAAGCGGGGUAUUAAAAAAUUUAAGAUUUUUGAGAGGAUUUCAUUUCCCCCUUUCAAGAAGGCGCGUUUUAGUAAAAAUUAUAAAGCGACAAUCACAGAGGACGCAUAUUUUAGAUAAAGUGCCCUCCGUGUUUUUAUUUUUUUUACAUUCGACACUAAUUUAAGGGCAUGCAAUAAUGCGUGACCUAAAUCCUCAAAUUUUUUGAAGAGACGACACUUUUUUAUUGUCACUCUCGUUUGCGUAACAUAAAUCAAUAAGUGUCGUGAUUUGCACAUCGUAAAAGGGUCUUUUUCUUGUAGUGAGGAGUUGUAUGAUUAGAUGAUUGUCUUUGUGAUAUCAUCUAGGUUGCUGCUACCUGAUAUGUUAUAUGCUGGUAUGAUAUGUUAUUUGUGAUAGUAGUAGAGUUCGGUUGUUUGGACCGAAGGGUAGGUCAGACACCCCAGAUAUGUCUGACAGUAUGUGAUGAUAUGUUUAUAUGCUGGCAUGAUACGUUAUAUGGGAUAGUGGUAGUAGGAGGGGAACAAUCUCCAAGUUCGGUUGUUAGAGCCGAAGGGUAGUUCGGACACCCUAGAUAUGUCUGAUAGUAUGUUUAUGUUAUGAUAUAUGUGAUAGUAGUGGUAGGGGUGGAAUAGUCCAAGAGGGUCGGUUUUUAGGACUGACGGGUAGGUCAGCACCCCAGAAAGGCUUGACACGGGUAGGACGAUACCCCAGAAUGGCCGCAUGGGUAGGUCGGCACCCUAGAAUGGCCGCACGGGUACCUAGAAUGGCCGCACGGGUAGGUCGGCACCCCAGAAUGGCCGUACCGGGUAGGUCAGGCACCCCAGAAUUGCCUGGCAGUAUGUAUGCUAUGUGAUUGUAUGUUAUGUGGCACGAUGGGGGAACUCACUAAGCUUCGUGCUUGCAGUUUACAGUUUUUGUUUCAGGUACCUCUUCAGCAAAGGGGAUGGAGCUGGCGCGGUAGUGGCACAUCAUGAAUGGUUUUCCGCACUAGUGUUUCUUGGUAUUGUACUAUGACAUUAUUCUUAUUUUUGUGAAUGGUUUUCAGACAUGAGAUGUGGUUUUAUGAAAAGUUAUGAUUAGAUGGUGUUUUCUUAUAAAUGUUUUUACAAGUCAAUUUUAAAAAUGAAAUUUUUGGACUUGUAAAUUGGGUCGUUACAUUCCUUCCAUGGUAAGACUUUAAGCAAAACCAAAUCUCCAACUUCGAAUGCCAUCAGUCGUCUUUUCUUGUCAGCAUAGCUCUUUUUACAAUCCUGAGCUGCUAACAUCCUUUCCCUAAUCACUCUUAACUUUUCAACAGUCUGAUGGACUAUCUCGGGGCCCAUAAACUGCCUUUGUUCAACUUCAAGCCAACAUGACGGCGUACGACACUUUUUUCCGUACAAAGCUUAAUAAGGUGCCAUCUUGAUGCUUAAGUGGAAACUAUUAUUGUAGGAAAACUCUACCAGAGGUAAGUGUUCAUCCCAGUUACCUUGGAAUUCUAGGGUACACACUCUUAGCAUUACUAUAGUGUUUGAAUCGUCCUUUUUCUCUAACCAUCGGUCUGUAGAUGGUAGGCUAUACUUAAACACAGCUUCGUACCCAAUUCUUCUUGUAGACUCCUCCAAAACCUUGACGUGAAACGGCUAUCAUGGUGUAACGCCCAUGUUUCUAGGCUAGGCAUUAAUGAUAAUGUAAUAGUCUAGGUUAACCUUUGUAACCCGUCUUGAAAUAAUAAAAAUGUAUUAUUUGAGUAUUAUGUGUUUUGUGCUUAAUUGUGUGACUUAAAUGAAUUAAGGAUAAAAAUAAGCAUCAAAAUGAAAUGUUAGAUAAACUCGAUAUCUAUGAAGGAUGUGGUAGUGGUCGUGGCAAGGUUUCCAAAUAUAUAAAGAAUGCCAAAAUCUGAGUUAUAACGAAAAAGUUAUGAUCUGUCGAAGUUUCGUUACAGAACCGGCACGGCACUGCGUGACGUAAAUAGUGAAUUUACGAUAGAGCGAUAUUUAGUCUUAGUGAUCUAAACAGAAGUUGUAGAAUAAGUUUAACCGAGAGCGUGCAUAAGAAGAACGUCUAAAUUUGACUUCGUAUGAGGAAGUUAUGAUUUUUCGAAGUUUCGAUUUAGCAGUAUGCAACCCAAAUCUCGAAUUACAGAUCGAGUGAUACUUGGCCGAAACAAUCUAAACGGGAAUCGAAGAUCUCGUCGAUAGUAGUCCAAAAGUGAAAAGACAUACGAAAACGGACGUCGGAUGAAGAAGUUAUGAAUUUCUAACGGAGUUUUCCUGUCCGACCUGCUAAAAAUAAUAUAAUAAAAAUAAGUUCAAAAUUAGCCGACGCAGUCUAAACGAAAGUUGUAGAGCAUAGUCUCACCUAUGUGUGGAUAUAAAGAACAUAAAAAAUGGAGCUCGUAUGAGGAAGAUAUGAUAUUAUGAAGUUUUUAAAUAAUUAAAAUAUAUAAAUUUUAUUAUAUAUUCGGAUAAUAUCCGAAUCCAUGACUCAGCCGAUCUGAUCCGAAGAUUACGCCCAACGUACUGCUUGUAGAGGCAUUACGCCCAGCAUAAUCAGGAUUUACGCCCAACGUAAAUCGAGGUUUCAUCCCCUAUAAAUAGAAGUCGUGGGCAGCCGAGUUUUGUUGCUCAUUUCUUCCUCUCUCUCCCGUUUUACCUCGUUUUACGUGCAAGCUUUACCCCCGAAGCCGCGGUAUCAUUCCCGAGACCCGAAGCCCCGGGGAUCCCGAGAAGUAAAGUUUCUGAGCCGAAACUCUGCCCGUGUAAAGCCCGGUUUUGGAGAAAACGUCCUGGUUUUAUCGGAAAAUAUUAUUUUAAUAUAUGAGGUGAUGUCCGAUCAUCUUCUUAUCAAGUGAGUGUAUAUUCCCUUUCUUCUAACACAUAGAUAUGAAGUAUCUACUUUAGAAUAUGUGUUACAUGUGUAUAAAUAUACGUGUAUAUAUAUGUUAUCUGUUUAUUUGGAAUGAGUAUCUUAUUAGUUUUUAAGUUACAUAUGAAUGCAUAUGUAUGUUGUUAUCUACAAAAUGUUGGGUAGAACUUGUGUAGAUAGUUGAUGUGUGAUAAACUGAUGAGAUGCCUCGAUGUGAUUGUGAUCUAGUCAUUCAACAGAAUAUGGGUGACGACCACGGACUCUUUCUAGACUGUCCCGUGGAAUGCUGGCAGGCUCAUAACCUGUAGGUGUUGGUGAACUUGGGUGUUCAUUUGUUGUAUUCUAUCCCCCUCAUGGUUGCCUUAGGACAUUCAUUGUUGAGAAAACCCCUCUGCAGUAGUGUCCGUCCUGAUGAAAAUCCUAGAUUAGGUCCCUUGUAAUAGUUAUUGUCAUAGUGACGUAAAGUGAGGAUAACAGGAAUGGGUAAUCAGGUUAUUGUUGGUUGGUGAAAUUAAAUAUAAUUAGUUAUUGUGGGUUGAAAACCCUAUAUGCUCACCAGGCUCCCAAGCUUGACCCACUCAGUUUUUUUGUAUUACAGGUAGUGGUGCGAGGGCAUAAGUUGGAGAACUUAUGAAGAUGUUUUUGUUUAUAGACCAGUAGUUGUAUAUAACAGUGUAAGGUCUAUGUUUUACUGUUUAUGCUUUUGUGUCUGUAUCGGAACAUGACAUCCUGAGUUUUGAUAUAUAAUGAAAAUACAUUUCUUUAAGAAAUGUUUUGAUAAACUUUAUUUUAUCAUGUUUUGUUUUAGGGACAAAUUCUGCAACUCUUUUAAAUCAAUGGAUUUACUCUGAAAUUAUUUUAAAAACAUAAAUGAAACCGGCCUUUUCUGGCCGUGAUUUUGGGGAUUUCACACAUGGUCUGAUACUAUCUUUAAAGGAACACCAUGAAGUCUUACUACCUCCUUCACGUAAGCAUUUGCAAGCUUAUCUGUAGACCAUCUUGUUGGAUUAGUGUCUAAGUCCAUAACUAUUUUGGUAUGUACUUGACCCGAUGGUGCAUGGUCCUUUUGGGUUGCCUUCACCAAAGCAACUUGAUUGGAGAAAUAAAUAAAGAGAGAGAGGUUAUUAUGAUUUAUUAAUAUGUUAUAAGAAUAAUAUAUUAAAGGAGAAAUCAUAUUUGUUUAAUUAAUAUUGGUCAAUAAUUAAUUAAGAAUUAAUUUUGUGAUCAAGUGUAAUUAAUUAAACUAGAGGGGCUGAAUUGUAAUUAUGUGAUAGUUACAAAAUAAGGUAAGGAUUAUCUUAAAUAUAGGGUGAACGAAUUUAAGGAGAUAAUGCCUUAGAAUUCGACUAGGAUAAGGGUUUCUAAGACUUAUCUUAUGGUUGCUUGGUGGGCAAGCAACUAGAUAAGGAUAAGGACUAAAACCCUAAUCUUUACACCUAUAUAAACCCCCUAAGGCUCAUGAAUUCGUCUAAGCCUUCCCAAGAAGUCCUAAGGACGAAUUCCUACCUCUAUCCUCUCUCUUUAUACCUUCUCCAUUUGCUCUUGGUGUUUGUGAGCCAUUAGAGGAGUGACACUUGUGACUCUAAGCCUUCCAAAGUCAAUUCAUGGAGAAUUGGGAUUGUUAUUACUACAUAACAAUCAAGGUAACAUCUUAAACCUAAUUAUAUGUUAAUAUUGAUUUCCAUAUGCUAGAAUUAGGGUUUAUAGUCUUGGAUUCAUUGCAUGUACAAUAGAGAAACCUAGAUCCAAGCAUUAGGGUUUGUAUGAGCACAUAGGAUGUCUUAUGACCAAAACCCAUCAGUGGUAUCAGAGCCUAGCUUGGUUUCAAUUGUAUUGAUGCAUUGUAUAACUGGAAAAUUCGUUUUUUGGGUUUCUGGAGGCUGGACUCGCCGAGUCCAUAGAUGAACUCGCCGAGUCCAUGCUGACUCGACGAGUCCAUGCCUGACUCGGCGAGUCGGCUCGUCAGAAGGAGGGAAAACCGGGAUUUCUUGCUGUUUUUGCUUAAGGAUAGUUGCCUUAUCAUAUUAGAUCAAUAUAAAUCCGAUUUUAUGAUAUAUUUGACUAUAUUCUUGAUCUAAUUGAAGAUAUUUAUCAAUUAAUAAAAUAUUUGUUUCCUUAUGUGAUAAUUGAUUAAUUAUUUUGAUUAAAUUGAUAAAUUGUUUUGCAAGAAAUCAUUAAAUAAAUCAAAUAUGGAUAAUUAUGUGAUUAAAUGUUAAUUUAGAUUAUUUGUUAUUUGAUCCUUGUUGUUAUGAAAAGUUUCAUAUUUUCCCCUUUAGGUUUUAUAGUUUAAAUUUGAACCCAAAAGUUUUGUUGUUUUGAAAUUUAAAUAGUUGAAACCCUAAUGUUUUGAAAAAGGUUUCAAAACUUGCCCUCAAGUUUUGGAAUUUAAAUUUUGAUUAAAUAGUUUAAUUUUGAUGUAUAUUUAAAUUCUAAACCCUAAUGUGUUGAAAUGUUUCAAAACUUGCCCUCAAGUUUUGGAAUUUAAAAGUUGAUUAAAAGUUUAAUUAGGAAUGUUAAAUUCUAAAACUCUAGUAUUGUUUUGAAAAAGUUCAAAUCACACCCUUAUGGUUUUAUUAAUUAAUUAAGGUGUAUAAUUAAAAGAGGUUUAAUAAAUCCAUAAAAGUUUUGGUUUACAAUUUAAUUGAAUUAAAAGUAUAAUUGUUAAAUUUGACCACCUAGUAUUUUAAAAGUGUAAAAUACACCCUAUACUAUAUAUAACAUUAAAAGUCUAACAUUAUAUAUAUGUAUGAGUAAAAGUCAGUCUUACCGUUAGUAGGCCUCAUUCACGAAGCUGGUCUAUAAGGGGUGUUUAAGGAAAUUGCCUAUAAAAUGGCGAUUGAAUGGGUAUCCACUCUUACCCACCGCACUCUUGACUAGUGGAGGGUCGUUAGCCGAACGGGUAGGAUAGGACGAAACCUUCCAUUAUAAGUAUAAUGAAGUAUAAAAGUAACUAAAUGUUUUCAUAAAAUUCCCAAUCUUAGUUACUUAGGCAAAAGUGAAUUGAUGCAAUUCCAUGAAAUUACACUUUGUGCCCUUGCGAAGACGUUAGUGGAGCGUGUGUGGUUUACCGGCACACUAAAUGGUUCUAAGCAAAGGUAGCAAAGGGUGACUCAAUGUUUGUCAUAGUUCGGUGGAGCGUGUGUGGUUUACCGGCACAUCGAAUAGGUGACUGUAACAUGUGAGGGCACCAUGUAAGUUUGCAUGGUUAUUCACACCCGCUUUGUGAUCCUCGGCAUCCCAGUCACAAACAAGAGGGGCAUAUCGAGAUUUAAACAUGCCAUUGAAAUGUUCAAUGAAUCUCAAAGGAUCUAGGAGUUUUCAUAGAUUUAAAACUUAAAUUUCUUUUUCGUUUUUCAUGGUGGAAAUUAGUGAAUCGUCAUUCACUUACCUUCAAAUGUUCUGCAAUUUGGGUUACGGCAUCCCUCUCCCGAGUUGUAGAAUAUUGUGUUGGGUCCUAGCCUUAGUAUCUCAUUUGGGUGAUUUACUAAGGACUCAAUCAAUCAACUAACUUGAAUUCUUUUUCUCCCGUUUUGUAGAUGUCAAAGUUCGACAACUAUGGUCUUCCCAAAUCCCGUGGAACAAGCAUUCCACAUGAAGAUGAUAUUCCACGAUUCGAUCGAGGAACAAGAAAUCAUGCUUCACUUCCUCCACCUCCUCCAAUUAUUCUCCCUAACCCACAAGUUCAAAGGCUUGAAAAGUUCAAGAUCACUCAAGCCCUUUUGGCAAGUAAACAUAAAGAAGGAAAGUCGGUGUGUGCACACGUCCUAGGGAUGAAGUCACACAUUGAUAGGUUAAGAAUGUUGGGAUCCGUUGUCUGUGAGGAAAUGGCUGUUGAUUGGGUUCUUCAGUCACUUCCUAACUCAUAUAGUGAGUUCGUAAGAGAGUACUAUAUGAUGAACCGCGACGUGACCCUUAUAGAUCUCACCUAUAUGCUUAUUGCUGCUGAAUCAGCAAUGGUUUGGCGCAAUAGAAAAGCAAAGUUGAUUGGUGAAUCUGCCUUCAAGACCUCUAUGGAUAUAGACAAUGGCAACGAAAGACAUGCUAUGAUCGAAAAGUUUGAUCAUAAGAGAAAGGCAAUGUCUGAAGUAGUUCCAUGUCAUGUUCCAAAAGAGUCAAUUUGCUUUUAUUGCCAAGAGAAAGGGCAUUGGAGACGAAGCUGCCCCAUUUACCUAAGAGAUCUAAGAGAUGGGAGAGUCGAAACGUAUGGCUCUAAUAUAGGUAAAAUCCAUUAACUAACUCUUUUAAGCUUCUAUUCUAGAUUCUUAAUACAUAAUGUGAUAAGAUUACAAUUGAUGUUUUGUAGGAUCGAAGAAAAGAAAGGAAGCUUAAGGGAAGAAGUGAGCAGAAUCUAACCGUGAAGGAAUGGAUUUCGAUCGCAUUUCUCGAAGAUUAGAUUCUUGAGCUACUACUUAGAGUUAGAAUUAGAUUGCUAAGAAAGAUGUAUUAGCAUAGUUUUUCAAUGAAUUGCAUUGUAAGGACAAAUUUUUCCGCAAUAAAAUAAAUUUUGAUUUUAAAUUUUAUUUAUUUAUCCUUACAAUGGCGUGUAUGAAAAAUUGAUGUUAAAAUGUUUCUAUUAUUAGCAAUAAUGGAUUUGGUUCUUAUUAUGUUAUUUAUGGAAAGUCGAGAAUUUACCAAAUAGGGAGAGUUUCUCAUCGCCCAAGUUUCAAUUGGACAGAAACUUGGAAUCAUGCAACUUGGUUGCACGAUGAAUGAGAAAUUUCAUAUUUGGAAAUUAGACUAAUUCAUUGACAAAGUGUCAAGUGAAGGACUAGGAGAUCGAGUACACAAAGUUGCGUGUUGAUCAAGUCCACCAUAAGAGUAACAAAGAUAUUCGUCAUGAUUUACUAAAGGUUUAGUAAAUAUGAUUAUACUUAUAAGAUUAAGUGUAAUUCUGAAUUGAUUGAAAAGGUUUAAAUCAAUAGCAGAACGAAUAAGAAGAAUCAAGUAGGCAGAAAGAUAAAAGUUUCUCCAUUCUAAGAAGAAGGGAGAGUACCUUUUAUGCUUUAUGAUAGGUCUUAAUGAUUAAGAACCAUAUCUCAAUUGAUCCUCUAAGUGAGUCUUAGUACAAUUGUAUGUCUAAGAAGAGGAAUCAAGAAUUGAAGAAAUGGUUAAAUCAAGAAGUCAAUCAUACUUCGUUCCAAAACAAGUCUUAGAGUUAAGAUUGUGACAUUGAGUGAUAAGUAUAAAGAAGGUUUAUAACAUUCAUUAAAUGUGGAAAGUUGUGAUGUCUUGGAUAAGACAAAGACCAACUAGGACCAAUUUAUGAAGUGUUUUGAUAAAAGCUACACUAACUCUUGAAUAUUUGUUUGUCAAGAAAUGGUUAUUGACAAGAGAAUCUUAUAUGUCAAGGAGUCAGUGGGAGUCUUAAUGGUCUUGAAAGGUUUCAAGAACAAAUCAAAUAAACCUUAUCGAUCAUCACUAGCACACGAGUUGAGGUUUACAACCUAUCGUGUUGACAUUAUUUUGAUUCUGUGCCAAUCCAAUCGAGUUAAUUAUGCAUGUGAGUUCUAUGAGUUCUCAUUUUGAACGCAUAAAAGGCAAAGCACCUUAAUCAAUGAAAGGUACAUUGAUAGGAAAGGGUGAGCUGCUUAACUACUUGGAAGACAUGGUGGGCAGCUGUGCUACCAUAAAGGCAAGAAAUCGAGAUCAAGAAAGUUCGAUCCAUAAGAGUUUGAAUUUGUCGUAAACUUUGGUUUUGACAAAUUCACAUGGAUAGGAACAAAUACACCGUUUAAAUCUAAGUGUCAUAAGAUUUCCUCCUUCAUGAAAAUGAUUGUGAGGAAAUGCUUUCACUAAGACAGAUUUUAAGAAGAUAGUGAUUGUAAAAUUGCAUUCUCGAAUUCAAUUAUGGUUACGGCAUCCCUUUCCAUAAUUUGAAUUGUGAGGUUUGGCAAUUAGUCUUAAUUGUUUAGACACACAUAUGAACUAUCGAAGGCAAAGGUGUAUAAGUUCAAGAAGCCUUGAUAAAAGAUUAUCAAAGCACUAAGUAUUAGAAACAUGAACUUAAGAAAUUCAAUAAGCAUUUUUUUUCUGAAAGUUAAGAUGUUUAUGAAUACAUGUCGAAGCUAGUGGGAGCAUAAGUGUUAUGUUUUAUAAUAAUCAUCAAGAUAGUGGGAGCAUAAAAGUUAUGAUUGUAUGAUUAUUAAGGAAAGUAUUGCAAGGUUAGCAAUAUUAAUUAUAGAAAACAAGAGUCAUACUUUGCAAAGUCGCAAUAGUUGAAGAGUUGUUUUGCUAUAAUUAAGGGAGAGAAUAUUAUGCUUCAUUUCAAAUCUAAAGGUUUAGGUUGAGAAAUGUUAAUAAAAUUUAGUCAAAGGUACAAAGUGUGUUCUUAAAAUUUCGAUUAUGAUUACGGCAUCCCUCUUCACAAUUCGAAUUUUGAGAACAUAGCAAAUAAAACAUUAUGCGUCGUGUCCCAUACGCUUCGGGUAUAGGAUCGAUUGCAAAUGCUUUAAUGUUUGACCAUUCUAAAAUUUUCCAAAUGUCGAGCGCAUUUAGAGGGAAAAGGGACUAGAAUUGGUUUUGACUAAAAUAAUUAAACAACUAUCAAAGGACAAUCCAAAGUUCGACGAGGAUUGGUCGCUUGUGAGUAGUUGGAAGUAUAGUAUUGGAAAAUAUGGAAAUGUUUCCAUAUUGGAUGGACCAUAUCGACAUCAUUACGAAUAGAUAAGAUUCUAUUAAGAAUGAGUUGUCAUAUGGAACAUAUGGAAGUGUGUCCAUAUUGGGAAUUGAAUAUUGAGAAAUCUAUGACUAGAUUAGAAACUUCUAUGCAAAAGGAUGUUCAAAGAAUGUACUUUGAGUGAGAGACAUCACAUCUAUGGAAUUGUCUUGUAACAAUCUCCGAUAGAGGACUUUGUAAUAUCAUUGGCAAUAGUCUUUGUGACUUUGGUGCAGUGACAUUACGAAAGGAUCGUUGCAUAAAAUGUUAGAAUCUAGCAUAUUCUAUAAGUAGCAAGAAUUUGAUAUUCUUUCACUUAUGAAAAGGAUUUGGAGUUGUGAAAUGAGAAUGAUUGGAAAUGUGUUCAAUUUGAUCUAUUUCACAAAGUAAGAACCAUAGGUAAACAUUGUGUGCAUGCUAGGAGCAUGGGACAAGUGUAAUAAUUCAAGUAAGAAGUUGAUUACCCGAAACGACAAAUAAUGAGUAAUCGAUAUGGUGAUAAAUAAAAGGUGUUUUAUUUAUACUCAAAGGUUUGAGGCCAUAUGGGAUUAGUAUUAUUCUUGUGUUUCACAUUUGCAUGUUUUGACUUCCAGAAUAAUUGAGUUUAUUAAGAAUAAUCGAAUUAUUCGAACGGGCCACAGUCGUUCAUAUGUUGGAAGUAGAUAUGAAUGAAGACUGUCGUGAAUUGGUGUGUGGAUUGUCUAAAAGAGUAUUAGACAUAAGCAAAUGUUUGCUGCAACGUUCAUGAGUGCUUAUGAAUAUGAUUUGAGCAUUGGAUUAAACCCACGCUCACUUGGAUCACUCCAUGAAUUGUAUCACGAGUGAUUGGUGAGACGAUAACAUCUUAUAUUCUUGAAACCGAGAUGUGUGAGUUGUAUCUUGCGAAUCGGUUGCACAUUGAUAAUAUGUAAACGCACUAGUAACUUGGUGUUAUAAAACAUAUUGUUGUGUGUGAUUUGGUUAGUAAGUGCAAGCAAGCAUUGUAUCAAAGUUUAUCCGUUCCUUUUAUCCAAAGUAGGAUAAAAGCGAUAUCUUUGGGCCCCUCGAUGAUUUAGUGAUGACAAACGUAAAUGCUCGGCCGGGCUAGGGCUAAUUUGAUUUGUUCAAUUAGUCAGUCGUCAUAAAUCGGGAAUCGAGAUAUAGUACAAAGAGAAUGAUUUGAAAUCAUAUCUCAUAUGAUAUCUAGAAUGGAGGAAUAUAUGAUCCCUUAUCUAAGGACACGCGUAUCUGAUAUGAUCAGAGUUGACAGCGGCUUUGGAAAGCUACGAUUGCAGAUCAGGAUCUGAAGUCAUACGCAGAAUAGUUGUUAGACUUAUCCAAGUGGGAGACUGUUGGAUUAGUGUCUAAGUCCAUAACUAUUUUGGUAUGUACUUGACCCGAUGGUGCAUGGUCCUUUUGGGUUGCCUUCACCAAAGCAACUUGAUUGGAGAAAUAAAGAGAGAGAGAGGUUAUUAUGAUUUAUUAAUAUGUUAUAAGAAUAAUAUAUUAAAGGAGAAAUCAUAUUUGUUUAAUUAAUAUUGGUCAAUAAUUAAUUAAGAAUUAAUUUGUGAUCAAGUGUAAUUAAUUAAACUAGAGGGGUUGAAUUGUAAUUAUGUGAUAGUUACAAAAUAAGGUAAGGAUUAUCUUAAAUAUAGGGUGAACGAAUUUAAGGAGAUAAUGCCUUAGAAUUCGACUAGGAUAAGGGUUUCUAAGACUUAUCUUAUGGUUGCUUGGUGGGCAAGCAACUAGAUAAGGAUAAGGACUAAAACCCUAAUCUUUACACCUAUAUAAACCCCCUAAGGCUCAUGAAUUCGUCUAAGCCUUACCAAGAAGUCCUAAGGACGAAUUCCUACCUCUAUCCUCUCUCUUUAUACCUUCUCCAUUUGCUCUUGGUGUUUGUGAGCCAUUAGAGGAGUGACACUUGUGACUCUAAGCCUUCCAAAGUCAAUUCAUGGAGAAUUGGGAUUGUUAUUACUACAUAACAAUCAAGGUAACAUCUUAAACCUAAUUAUAUGUUAAUAUCGAUUUCCAUAUGCUAGAAUUAGGGUUUAUAGUCUUGGAUUCAAAGCAUGUACAAUAGAGAAACCUAGAUCCAAGCAUUAGGGUUUGUAUGAGCACAUAGGAUGUCUUAUGACCAAAACCCAUCACAUCUUUCAUUGGCUACUAUGAAGUGUGCACUCUUAGUAAACCGAUCAACGACCACCCAAAUCAUGUCGUGACCGUCCUUCGUUCUGGGCAGUUUAGUGACAAAAUCCAUGGUAAUGUCUUACCACUUAUCCAUGGUUACACAUAAAGGUUCUAAAAUCCUAUAUGGUUUCUGAUGUUGUGCCUUAACUCUCACAUAGGUCACACACUUGGCCACAUACUUUGCAAUGUUGAGCUUCAUCUUCGGCCACUAGUAGUAGGGUUUCAGAUCCCUAUACAUUUUUGUGCUGCCGAGAUGAAUCGAGUACAUGGUCUUGUGAGCUUCUUCCAUCAGAAGAUCUCUUACUUCGCCCAUCUUGGAAUACCUUUAAUCCUUGAUUAUUUGUACCGAAAACCAAGUUUUUGCUUAAACAUUCUUCCUUUUGGUCAUUCUCCUCUAAAACUUCCUCCCAAGCUUUGUUGAUGCUUUCCACAAUCAUUGUGACAACCUCUAUUGAUUGUUUUGAUUAUAUUUCUCUUCAAUCUUCUGUCCUAACUCAGAUGCUACAUGAAACUUGGUUCUCUGAACCAUGUAACAUACUCAUCUUAGUUGGACUCGAUAUGAUACGACCACUAGGGUCAGAAUCAGAAUCAUCUUCUUAGUCAUUACCAAAACGAUGGUAAUGAAGAACUUGAACAAAACAGAAUCAAUUACUAGCUUCUUAGUAACCUUGCGACUUUCACUGAUCCAAGUGCAAGUCCUGUGCUUCCGGUAGUAUAGGCCUCUACUACCAUUCACACCUACUCAUACUCGUUCAAGGUGCUAUCUCACAGUUUUCCAAGUCAUCAUUCAAGAGUUUCACAUAAUCAUUUAACACAUCAGAUAACAAAAUCAAGGUUUUAUAUUAUUUCUUGAAAUGAUUACAUAAAUGUUCAACUUCGUCCUAUACUAUGCCUCUAAUAAGUUGCGCUACAUGAUGCUAUCCACAUGGCCACUUCAUAACUUGAUCUUCGGAUAUCAGUCCUCACUCCUGCUUCCUUGCAUUGUCAGCUGCUUCGUUAAGGAUCAUUUGGAAUGCCCUUGGCUGGGGCGGUGCGUUUGGCCUUGCCGCUUUAUUCUUCCUUGGGCGGUUCUUCAAAAUAUGCCAUCCUUCAUUGCAUUCAUAGCACACCCUCUUGCGGGAUGUACACUCAUUGGCGUAGUGCCCAGGAUUUUCACACUUAAAACAAGUGACCUCCCGUCACAUUUCCCAUGGUGCUUCUUUUUGUACUUUUCACACCAUUUCGCUUCAACUCCUCCUCCUCUCGAACCAGACUUCGAGAAAUUACUUUUCUUGUUGGAUUUCGAAGAUCCAUCAAACUUCCUUUUCUUACCAACCUCUGCCCUCUCCAGACCCUUCUCCCUUAUCCGUGUCUCAACAAUCUUCAUAGCUCUAACGACUGCCUUCAACGUGCUUGCCAUUUUGACUAUUGGGCCAAAGUCUGAUGGCAAUCCGUUAGCAAAUUUCUCUAUCUUGGCGAGUUCAGUCGACACCAAGUAUGGAAAUAACUUCAUCUUCUCAGUGAAUGCAGUAGCAUAAUAAUCAAUGCUUAUUCUCCGUUCUUCAAUUUCUGGAACUCAUUGUUUAGAUCUAUCAUAUCUAUUUCGGAGCAGUACUGCAUUUUCAACUGCAUUAUGAACUCUUCCUUAGACAUUUUCAGAGCUUUUCCUCGUGGCAUCGUAUCCGUUAAUAACUUCGACCAGCUUAAAACUUUGGUCUUUACUUGUUUGACCGCAAAGACAAUUUUUUGUUUGUCGCUAUAGUUGCAGCUUUCAAAUACCAUCUCUAUUUCGACAUGAUCUUCAUUGUGAUUUGACGAAACAUAUUUGGACGGUUAUGCUUUUCAUGGCCAAUUUUCGAAGAAGUACUUCUUUUAAAUUGACGAGUGUGACAUCCACCAUUUUCACGGUCAGAAAAGACUGAUUUUGUUUAUGCUUUAUAAUAAAAUCAGAGUAACCUUUUUAAAGAAAAGUGUUGUGGAAUUUGUUCCUAAAAUAAAAUAUGAUAAAGAUUUAUCAAAACAUUUCCAAAGAAAUGUAUUUCAUUGUAUUAAAACCUUGGGAUGUCAUUAUUAAUACAAAUCAGAAACAUAAGCAGUACAACAUAGGCGUUACAACAUUUAUUUAAAUCUACUAGCCUAUAAACCAUAAUCCUCUCGUCAAGUCAUCCAACUAUGCUCUUGCCACUACCUAUAAUACAAGAAACUGAGCCGGUCAGGCUUGGGAGCCUGGUGAGCACAUAGGGUUUUCAACCCACAAUAAAUAAUUUUGUUAAUUUCAACAAAUGAAAUAAACCAGAUUACCCGUUUCUAUUUAUCCUCACAUUACGUCCCUAAAACAUCUAAUAUAAGGGACAUAGCCUAAGGAUUAUUGUAGCACCUGGUUCCUAGUACGUAAUCCUUGUAAUUAAUAUUUCUUAAUUUUGCAUUUUUGCCUUGGACUUGGCGAGUUGAAGAACCGACUCGUCGAGUAGAAGCGGGAUGAGAAGCGGGGUCUGAGCUUUGGACUCGGCGAGUAGACCCUGUUUGGGCAAAAACCCUAACCAAAGUGUUUGCACCCUAUUUAAACGCUCUAACUUGGCCUCCUUUGUCCCGAACACUCCCAGAGAGCUGAAGAGCGAAACCCUAGCCCCCAUUUUGUUCUUGAGAGUGAUUUUUGGCUUUGUGAAGAAGGUUUGGAGCUUAGAAGAAGAAGAAAUAGGUUGUAGUGUGCAAAGAGGGGAAGUAGAUCCGGAAUCUACACUACAAGAGGCUUCCAUUCAGCCGGAGGAUUACCGAUUCAGCAGUCAGGCGCUUAGCAAGCAGAUUUUCAGCAGCUACUUUUCGAGGUGAGUUACCUUCCAGUAGCGGUGGGUCUAAGGCCACAAUGUCGGCCCACCAGUAGGAGACGUAUGAUAGAUGAGUGUCUUUGUGAUAUCAUCUAGGUUUGUUACUACCUGAUAUGUUAUAUGCUAGCUUGAUGUGUUAUAGUAGUAGAGUUCGGUUGUUAGGACCGAAGGGUAGUCAGAUACCCCAGAUACGUCUGACAGUAUGUGAUGAUAUGUUUGCAUGUUGGCUUGUUAUGUUAUAUGCGAUAGAGGUAGUAGGGGGUGAAAUAGUCCCCGAGGUUCGGUUGUUAGGACCGACGGGUAGUCAGCACCCCAGAAUGGCUUGACAUAGGGAGGGCGGCACCCCAGAAUGGCCGUACAGGUAGGUCGGCACCCCAGAAAUGCCUAGCAGUAUGUAUGUGAUAUGAUUGUAUGGUAUGUGGUACGAUGGGGGGGACUCACUAAGCUUUGUGCUUACAGUUUUCAGUUCUGGUGUCAGGUACCUCUUCAGCGAAGGGGAAGGAGCUGGCGCGGUAGCGGUACAUCAUACACACACAUUGGAUUUCCGCAUUAUGAGAUGUCCUGGGAUUGUACUCUGACAUUAUUAUUAUUUUCAUGUUUUGGGUUUUCAGACACGAGAUUUGUUUUAUGACAUGAUAUGAUCGGAUGAUGUUUUACUGCAAAUGUUUUACAAACCACUUAUUUUAAGUGAAAUUUUUGGGCGUGAAAAUUGGGUCGUUGCAAUUAUCAUCGGGGUAACAACAUUGCUUAGGGGAUACUGUGACAUCCCCAAAAUCUUGGCCAGAAAAGACCGAUUUUCAUUUAUGCUUUUAAAAUAUUUUCAGAGUAAAUCCUUUUGAUUUGAAAGAGUUGCGGAAUUUGUUCCCAAAAACAAAACAUGAUAAAACAAUGUUUACCAAAGCAUUUCAUAAAAGAAAUGUAUUUUCAUUAUAAUCAAAACUCGGGGUGUCAUGUUCCGAUACAGACCAAUAAGCAUAAACGAAUACAUUACAAGUCAUAUAACAAAUAUAAACAUAUGCAGACUUGUAAACAAAACAACUUGAUGGUUCAUCCAUCUCAUGCCCUUCCGCCACUACCUGUAAUACAAUUUAAAACUGAGUGGGUCAGGCUUGGGAGCCUGGUGAGCAUAUAGGGUUUUCAACCCACAAUAAAUAUCAUAUUUAAUUUUCACCAACCAACAAUAACCCAAUUACCCAUUCCCGUUAUUCUCACUUUAAUGUCCCUAAAACAACUAACAUAAGGGACCUAGUCUAAGAAUAUUUCAUCGGGGCGACAACACAUGCUUCGGGGGUACCUCAGCAAUAUAAGUCAAAUAAGGCAACCAUGAGGGGGAUGGAGUACAGCGAAUGAACACCCAAGUUCAUUAACACCUACAGGUGGCGAACCUGCUAAUGUUUCCACAAGACUAUCUAGAAAAGUCCGUGGUCGUCAUCUAAACUCCGCUAGAUGACUAAAUCAAACAACAACGAGGCCUCUCAUCUGUUUAUUACACACCAACUAUCUACCCAUGUUCUACCCAACAUAUUAGUAGAUAAAAAUAUACAUUUUUAUACAUAGUUUAAAAACCUGUAUAGCAUGCUUUAAUCAACACAUAUUUCACAUAACAGAUGAGGCACACACACACAUAACACGUAUCUCAUAGAGAAUAAAUCAUAUCUAUGAGAUAGAAGAAAGUGAAUACACAUUCACACACAUAACCACAAAAUUAUACACAUAAUACGUAUUCCGUAUAAAAUACUUCAUAAUUAUGCGUUAGAAGAAAGUAACUACACACUCACUUGAUCAGAAGAUGAUCGGACAGCACUACGACUUGCAGAAGUAGUAAUCCUCAGCAGAUCUGGAAGAUCUUCACAAAAAUCGAACUUCUCGCGGGCAGAGCUUCGGCUCGGGAACCGCACUUCUCGGGAUCUUCGGGAUCUCGGGACUUGCCUCGGGGCUCGAGUAUGAUACCGGGGCUUCGGGGUAUUUCUGGCACGCAAAACGAUGCAAAACGGGAGAGAGAAGAGAGAAAAUGAACAAAAGAAUCGGCUGCCUUCGGAUCCUAUUUAUAGGAGGCUGAAGCCUCGGAGUACGCGAGGUGUACUGGUCCGAAAAACGUCACUGCUUACGUAUCCGAAGACUCGAGUGCGAAUGUCGACAUCCCUCGGUGUACGCGGGGCGUACUUCGGAUCGGAUUGCUGACUCCCCUUCGGAUAAUACCGGAUUUUCUAAUAAAAAUUAAAUACAAAUUAUUUAAUAAACUUCGGAAAUUCAUCUCUUCUUCAUACGAACUCCGUUUUCGACGUUCUUUAUAUCCACGCGAAGGUGAGACUACGCUCUACAACUUUCGUUUAGACUCCGUCGGCUAAUUUUAACUUUAUUUUUAUUAUUUAUUUUUAAUAGGCCGGGACAGAAAAACUUCGUUAUAAAUUCAUAACUUCUUCGUUUGACGUCCGUUCUCGCCUAACUUUUUAUCGCUUCGAGACCAACAACGAGACCUUCGAUCCUCGUUUAGGUUGCUUCGGCUCAAAACCGCUCGAUCUCAAAUCGAGUAUUUCGGGCUGCACACCGCUAAACCGAAACUUCGAUAAAUCAUAACUUCCUCAUACGAAGUCAGAUUUGGGCGUUCUAUAUAUACAUUCGUAAACCUCGUUUCAACUACUACAUCAUCAACCAAAGAUAUCAAGUUUAUUUUACACUUUAAUUUUGACGCUUAUUUUUAUUCUUAAUUAAUCAAACCACAUAAUUAAGCAAUUAAGCACAAAACACAUAAUACUCAAAUAAUACAAUCAUAUUAUUUCAAAACGGGUUACAAAGGUUAACUUAGACUAUUACAUUGCUAAAAAUGGCAAGCCCGGAAACACAGGCGUUACAGAUACCUCAACAUUUUAUGUCAAAUAAGGCAACCAUGAGGGGGAUGGAGUACACCUGGUGAACACUGAGUCCAAAUAAACACCUACAGGUUGCGAGCCUGCUAGCGUCCCAUUGGACUGUCUAGAAAAGUCUAUGGUCGUCAUCUAUACUCCGCUAGAUGACUAGAUCAUCGUCAAUAUCGAGGCCUCUCAUCAUUUUAUUUCAUCACACGCCAACUAUUUCAUCUACCCACGUUUUACCCAACAUAUUUGUAGACAUAAAUUACAUAUACAAUUCAGAUCUAAAAAACAAAAUNUAUAUAUAUAGUUUAGAUCUGAAAAGAAAAGUCUAGAUCUGAAAUGAGAAAGUUUGGAUUUGAAGGAAACAGUUCAGAUCUGAAAGAAAGAGUUUAGAUUUGAAAGAAAAGUUCAUAUCUAAAAAGAAAAAGGUUUAGAUCUUUCUUCCAACAUAGAUCUCAGGUAAACAGAUAAUAUAUAUACACAUAACACGUAAUUUAUAUAAAAUAGUUUAGAUCUGAAAAGAAAAGUCUAGAUCUGAAAUGAGAAAGUUUGGAUUUGAAGGAAACAGUUCAGAUCUGAAAGAAAGAGUUUAGAUUUGAAAGAAAAGUUCAUAUCUAAAAAGAAAAAGGUUUAGAUCUUUCUUCCAACAUAGAUCUCAGGUAAACAGAUAAUAUAUAUACACAUAACACGUAAUUUAUAUAAAAUAUUUCAUAUUUAUGUGUAAGAAGAAAGUAAAUACACACUCACAUGAUAAGGUGGCGAUUCGGACAACGUUUUGCUUCUUAAAAUAAUCUCCAUUGAUGAAACCGGGAAGUUUGGUUGAAAACCGGGCUCUGCGGGGGGGCAAAGUUUCUAAACCGAAAAACUCUUUUUCUCGGAGACUUCGGGCGCUCCGGGGCUUUCUUCUAGUGCUAAGGAGGUCCCCUAGGCUUCGGGGGUGUUUAGGGUGGAUAGAGAGAGAAAGAGAGAGAGAGAGAGAGAGAGAGAGAGAGUAGAGUAGAGAGUGAAAGAAGUGUGAAAUAUGUGAGAAAACAUGGCUAGCCUCGCAUCCUAUUUAUAGUCAGGAGGUCUCGCAUUACGUUGGGCGUUCCUCGGUCUACAUGGGGUGUUCCUCGGUACGCAGGGCGUACCCUCGUACGCGGUACGGUUUGCGAGGUUCGGAUUUGUCACCCUUCAGAUGGAGCUAUGUGGCCAAUUCCGGACCUAGCCUUUGCGAACGCGGGGUGUUCUCUUCGGAUAGCCUCGAAAUAUGUACCUCUUACUUCAAAAAUUCAUAUAUUUUGCAUACGAGCUCCGUUUUCGACGUUAUUUAUAUCCACGCGUAGGCAGGACCGUACUCUACAACUUUUGUUUAGACUCAGUUGGCUAAAUUUGACUUUAUUUUUAAAGUUAUAUUUUUAACAGGCCGGGACAGGAAAAGUCUAUUAAAAAUUCAUAACUUCUUCAUCCGACGUCCGUUUUCGUUUUUCUUUUAACCGUUGAACUACUAUUGACGAGAUCUUCGAUUCUUGUUUAGGUUGUGUCGGAUAAAAAUCCCUCGAUUAUAAUUCGAGCUACGGGCUGCACACUGCUAUGCUAAAUCUUAGAAAAUUCAUAACUUCCUCGUACCAAGUCAGAUUUGGACCUUCUUUUUAUGCACGCUCUUGAUUUAACGUAUACUAGGAUUUUCAUUUAGAUCGCUAAGGCUAAAAUGCACUUUAUCGUAAACUCACUUUUUACGUCACGCAAUAUCGUGCUAGUUUUGUCGUGAAACUUUAACAGGUCAUAACUUUUUUGUGAUAACUUGGAUUUCGGCAUUCUUUAUAUGUCCGAAAUCCUUGUCACGACCACUACAACUUUCUUCAUAGAUAUCAGAUUUAUAUAACAUUUUAUUUUUGAUGCUUAUUUUCAUUCUUAAUUUAUUAUAUCAUUAUAAAUAAGUAUAUAAUCACAUAAAAUCACGUAAUUCACAUAAUAUUCAAGUAAUUCAUCUUUAUUACUUUAAAAUAGGUUACAAUAGUUGACCUUGACUAUUACAUCAUCAUACUAAUGUUUAGCCCAGAAACAAGGGCAUUAGAACGAGUAUGUUACUAGGGAGAAGAGAAAGAAAAAGAGAAACGGAAAACAUGAAGGUUUCACGAGAACUUCUCACUGAUAUCACUAUUCCCGUCGGUAACGUCAUGGACAUUGCCGGUGAUAAGGUUACCUCGUUACCAGAGGCAUUUUCGGUGAAAAACGACAUGAGUGAAGCUUUUCAUCGGAGUUGAUAGAGAGAAAAAGAGUAACACGGAAGAGGGAAGAAUGAAGUCGCUAAGGGUAUUAUUCGUGUCACACUUUAGCAACGAUACCAUUUAGUGGUGUCGAAAGACAUUUGUGGCAACUCGAAACGUAAUAGUCGCGACACACUUUUGAGGGAAUAAUUGGCAGAGGGUUCGAGUAUUAGCGGUGACACCGUUGCUGGUAUUAGUUAGUGGUGUGUAUGGGGCGGUUUGGUUCGGUUAUUGGUUAAAACCGAACCAUAACGAUUAUGAUUGGUUAAUGCAUUUUGGUAGCCAUUGGGUAUGGUUAAUAUUGGUUAUGGUUAGUAGUUUUUAUCGGUUAACGGUUUUGGUUAAUGGUUAAUAUUGGUUAACCAUAAUGUUCAAAAUAAUAUAAACGACGAAAGUAUUUUGGCAUGAAAAAUGAAAAUAAAAUACCAAAAAGUCCUCGACGCCGAUGUUUGUAACCUAACUUAUAGUAAUAUAAUAAAAUGUGUAUCUGUAAUACUUAGAGUGAGAUAACACAUAGUCACAUUUAAAAUCAAAAAUAUUUAAUAAAAAUAUAAAACAUUAAAAAAAUUGACAUUAAUAAUUUCAUAUAUUGAUAAUUGAUAUUAAUAUUAAAAUAAAGUCAAACAUUCAUACACGUUCAAUACGAUUAAAUUAAAACUAUUAAAUAAAAAAGCCAAACAUUCAUAUUCUGUGUUAUUAGAUAUAAAAAAAAAAAAAAGUCAAUCACUCAUCUACAUUCAAUGUGAUUAAGUCAAAAACACUAAAAAAAUUCAAAAAAUUAAAAAAAAAUACAUUCUUAAUAUAUCACAUAGUUAAAAAGAACCAAAAACUUAACUUACCUAGAAGUCUUGAGUAUAAAGUCAAAAAAAUCCUUCGAAUAGGACUAUAAAGUCCAAACAAUCUUUGAUUAUGAUUAACGGUGUGAGAAGCCUUCGAUUAGGAUUAUGAGUGUGAAGAUUAAACUAAUUGUGAAUAAUGUUUACAAAUUGUAGAAUUAGCCGAUUAUGAAUUACAACAUUAAUUAAUAAUCUAACUCAAUGUAUGAUUGGAAGAUUAUGUGUGUCUGAGUGAUCAGUCUUUGAUGAUUUGAUUGCUCGUUCGUCUCCUGGUAAGUGAAGAUUAAUAGAUUAUAUUUUCAAAAUUUUAAUGGAUCUUAAAUAAGUUUGACUAUAUNUCUCUUUCUCUCUCUCUCUCUCUAUAUAUAUAUAUAUAUAUAUAUAUAUAUAUUAAAAUAUAAAGUUAGCGGUUCGGUUAAUAAUGGUUCGGUUAACCUAUAAAACCAUAACCGAACCGUUAGUUAUUGGUUAACAAAAAUUAGAAACCGAACCAACGGUUUUUAAAAUGGUUCGGUUAUAACGGUUAAUUUGGUUUUGGUUCGGCUUUUCGGUUAUUAUGCUCACCCCUAGUAUUAGUUUCGCCGUUAUUGUUAUGUACGAAAUCAUUUUUCAAGUGUUGGAUUAUGACAAAAUCGACGAAUAGGGUUUAACCUCAGAUUUUGACGCGGAUCGGGGUUGAUGAGUUUCGCCUUUAGCGGUGACAACCACCAUUACAACGAGACCUAAUCUAAAUGUUGGGUAUCGCUUGUAAUGGUGGUUGUCGCAACUAAAGGAUUCGCCACUGAAGUCCUAUAUUGUUGUAGUGAUAAAUGUUAAACCUAAACACCAAUUUAAACACACCAACCACUAGAAAUUGGUGGCGACAAGUUCAUGGCAUUAAGAGCGAUAACAAAUGGUGUAUAAAUCCAUUAUGAUCUUCGUUGCGAUUUAACAGAACAUAUUUGGACGGUUAAUGAUUUUGAAGCUCAAUUUUGGAACAAUUUUUUUUUUGAUCCAUCAUGUUAUUAAGUUUUAAGUUUUUAAUUUUUUGAGUUGUUAUGGUUUAGUUUCUUGUUGUGUAAUUUUUAUUUUGAUUUAAUAUAAAAUUUAGUUUUUAAAAAAUUAAUUGCUAAAAAAAGUACUGAUGUUAAAAAAAUGAUGUUAAUCCGCCUAACCUAAAUGUAAAUGGUAUGUUGAAGACGGUGUGUAGCAAAAUCAAAUAUAAGCUGCUGGUUGAUGCAUCGGGUAUUGUAUUACGUGAGGUUGAUAGUUUGAUUUGUUGAAAUUAUCUUUUGUGUGUUUGAGAAUUCUUUUAUGGAAGUCCCUAUAAAAAGGAGUUCAAACUCAAAUGUUGGUUGAAAUAUUGCGAGUACACUUCACUUAAUUUGAUUGCGGUUAGGAAGCAAUUUAAUUUCUCAAAAGAUUAAAUGCCACUAAUAAAUUAAAAAAAUAAACUAAAAAUCAACACCAAAUUAAUGCCAAAGCUUUAAACCAUAUAUUACUAAAUUAAUUCACAUACGCCAUCAAAAAAAAAUUCAUGUCACAAACCCAUACUCAUAAAACUCACUUUCCAGGUACAAAGUUUGUAGCAUAUGACCAUGCAUUGUUUGCAACAGGGUCAGCAAGGUGGUCAGCGAGGUUCUCCAAUGGUCCCUUUCCGGUAACAAUGGCUUGAACAAAGAAUCCAAACAUAGAGAACAUGGCUAGUCUACCGUUCUUGAGCUCCUUCACUUUCAGCUCAGCAAAUGCCUCUGGGUCAUCAGCCAGACCCAAUGGGUCGAAGCUACCACCAGGGUAAAGUGGGUCAACUACCUCACCAAGAGGUCCACCAGCAAUUCUGUAACCUUCAACUGCACCCAUCAAGAUCACUUGGGUAGCCCAGAUGGCUAAAAUGCUUUGUGCAUGGAUCAAACUUGGGUUCCCCAAGUAGUCAAGACCACCCUCACUAAAGAUCUGGGAUCCAGCCUUGAACCAUACAGCCUCACCAAACUUGACACCAUUACGCGCCAAGAGUUCGGGGAAGACGCACCCAAGAGCUCCGAGCAUGGCCCAUCUGCUGUGGAUGACCUCAAGCUCACGGUUCUUGGCGAAUGUUUCAGGAUCAGCAGAGAGCCCAGCAGUGUCCCAACCGUAGUCACCGGGGAACUCACCGGUCAGGUAAGAUGGGGCUUCGCCGGAGAAUGGGCCAAGGUACUUAACACGGUCGGGGCCGUACCAUGGACUUCCUGAUGGUGCGACUUUCUUGACUGCUGUCUUCCUCAUGGAAACCCUUCCAUUUCCGGUGAUUUCUGAACCAGAUGGUGUUAUUUUCACUGCUUGUCCGAUGAAUGAAGAAGAUACAGACAUAGUGGAAGCUGCCAUUCUGUUAAAUUUGGUUGAAAGAUGUUGUGGAGAUAGGAGAGUUUGAGUUAUGAAGAUGGGGAGAUCUGCAAGUUUAUUUAUAAGGUGGUUUUUUGGUCAGAUAGAUAUGAUCGAUGCUUAUCUAGAUACAAUCUUCACCUUCAUUUUGAUUGGCAAACAACAUUCUAGUUUUAUCUAAGGGUCAGUAAUCUGCGUGCUGUGAGUUCUCUGGUCCACCAGAGAUUUUUGAAGGGGCUGCGGUAUAUUCAUGGCUCUGGUUUAUUGAGGGAAUGUAAUGGCUCCCAUUCUCAGCCACAAGCUGUUCUUGGUGGGGUUUUUCAUCUUUAACCAUUUUACAUUUUCACAAAGUUACAUAAAUAGUCAUCAUGCUUUACAAAGUCACCGGUUCAGCAACAAACUUUUUUUCCAUGAUUAAAAAUUCAAAACGGUCCGUAUGGUUUUAAUAUUAUUAGUAAUCAUCUUAACAUUUCUAAUUUUUAAAGACAAAUAUUCAUAUAAAUGGUUAUGUGAUUUUCCAGAAUAUCAAGUGGAGCACAUCAUUUUUUCGGUCUUAUGGAAUGACUAUUUGGUUUCAAUUCCUAUCAUAAUUGAUCUUAGAGCAUCCACAAUAGGGGAGUUUAAUGGAAGAGUUGAAUGAGGUGUCAUGCCUACUUGUCAUUCAAUGGAUACAACUCCACCAUUGUGAAAUGCCACCUUGGCAUUCAAUGAAUUUGGAGUUCAAUGGUCAUUGAACUCUUCAAUGGGAAAAAGGAAAAUCUUUAAAUCUUUAAAUAAAUAUUUUUUAAUAUAUUCCAUUGAACUUGUAGAGUUUAAUGCAUUGUGGGAUAAAAAUGAAAAGAGUUGUAUGGAAUAAUGAAUGAUGACGUGACACUCCAUUGAACUCUAUAGAGUUCAAUGCAUUGUAGAUGCCCUUAGUCCCACAUAAAUAAACUUUUAUACCCUUCUAUAUUAUAAUUAGUUUAUUUAAUAUAUAAAUAGCUAUGUUUUAUAGUUAACAAUAAAUUUUGUUCAUNNNNNNNNNNNNNNNNNNNNNNNNNNNNNNNNNNNNNNNNNNNNNNNNNNNNNNNNNNNNNNNNNNNNNNCUCUCUCUCUCUCUCUCUCUCUCUCCCAUCACACCCUCCUAAUCUUUAUUUCUUUCACUCGAUCGGUCAACCUCUUUUCUUUCUACAUAAAAAUUAAUCCAAAAUGCAGCCUUUUCCCAUACUCUGUGCUUGCACCGCCACUUUACCUUCUUGAAACCAAAUUACUAACCAUACACAAGUCUACAAAUCUACUAAUGUGUCUUCCAUUUCUCAAAAUCGAAAAAUAGAGAAGGUGUAGAACAUUGAGCUCACUUCUGUGCAUCUCCCACCUCUUUUACACAAAUAUGAAAUUAAAAUUGAAGAACAACUUUGUGAAGAACCUAGAUUGUGGAGAUGAUGAUGAAUAAAGUCGAUAGUUGGUGGUGCUCGGUGAUGUUUGAUGUUAGCGGCAGUACACUAGUGUUGUGGUGAUCGCCUGUUCAGUUGGUUAUAUUCUGGUAGGGUGGACGAUGGUGACCGUAGAACAGUUCAUAUAUAUAUNNNNNNNNNNNNNNNNNNNNNNNNNNNNNNNNNNNNNNNNNNNNNNNNNNNNNNNNNNNNNNNNNNNNNNNNNNNNNNNNNNNNNNNNNNNNNNNNNUAUAUAUAUAUAUAUAUAUAUAUGUGUGUGUGUGUGUGUGUGUGUGUGUGUGUGUGUGUGCGCGCGCACACUACAAGAAAUUUAGGUGUUUAUCCACACACGUUAUAUGUGGCUAAAAGACCUUUAUGUGUAGUUAUCUUUAGCUACACACAGAUUAAGUGUCAUAAUGUAUUGACUCAUGCCUAUAGAUAUAUAUCAUUAACUAUACAUUCAUUAUGUGGAAGUAUAGUGCAAUUAGUACACACAUACAUGUGUGGUUAAAACUAGUAAGUAUGUGCAUAUAGAAAGGGAGCUGAUCCGUUCACAACAAUUUUUCUCCAUACACAAUAAUUGAUGCUUUAAAAUGUUGUAUUAUACAACUAUAUAAUGCAUGAAUUGUUGUGUAUGGCAAAAAACUGUUGUGUACGAAUCACUUCCCAUAUAGAAGUACUAAAAAUUGUUUGAGUUGUCAACGAUGUGGCUGAUGACAUGUCAAAUUAUGUGGCAAGCCCACACAAAGUGUUGGUGAUAUGUGUUAUUCGAUAUGUGUGGGUAAUAAUUGUUAUAUGUGUAGGUUAAGAUAAGAUAUAUGAAAUAUAUAAAACACAAUAAAUGAAAUAUAAAAUUUAACAACACAAAUUGUUAUUACUUUUAAUAAGGAGUUAACGAUAUAUAAAACUUCUUUUGGAAUGGAAGUAUGUAGCACCCAAAGUCAGAAAGGCCAAGAAAGGAAAGGAAACCCUAAGUUUAAGGGACGACUCAGCAAGUCCAAGGAGGUACUCGGCGAGUCCGAGCGGGAUCCGGGUCGAGGAGUAAAUGACCGACUCGGCGAGUCGGCCAAGGAGACUCGGUGAGUCUGGUCUGUACGAGGAAAUCCCUAAAUUCGGGACUUGGAGCCUAUUUAAGCGCCUCAUUCUCUUCUCUAGGGUUCCUCUACUGCCUCUCUAACCNCUCAACCCCACCCCCGCCCCGCCAUAUCCAUUGUUGAGCCAAUUAUUGCUUUGAAGAGUGCAUUAAAGCUUGGAGAAGGAAGAAGGACCUUGGAGGUGCAAGAAGGAGCUAUAGAUCUGGGCUUGGGAAGAUAUUUCUGAACAUUUGGAGGUAAUAAACUAGUUCUUGGACUCCUUUGCACCUAGAUCUAUGUGUGAGUUUUGGGGCUUUUGGCCAUGAUUGGUACCCAUUUAAGUUAGAAGCCAGAUCUAAAGUUGCUACUUCGGAUAUAAGCAUAUUAUGGGCUUGUGAAGCAUAAAGUAUCAGCCCUUGAGUUGAUUAUGGAGCCUCUUUGCAUUAAACCCUAUUUUAUGGUGUGUCUAGCCUAGAUCUCCUUCUCUACACGUAAAGUUUGCAACUUUACGUGAGGAAUAGGCUUGGGAAGGGUAGAUCUACAGUUUGGGGUCCAUGCAUGACUCAAAAGUCCUCUACAUGUAUGUAGAUCUGAAUGGACUCGGCGAGUCCUUUGAGUGGACUCGGGGAGUAGCAUGAAGAUUAGGAGGAACUCAACGAGUGGGAUGAACAGCUCAUCGAGUCGGAUGAAGUUGGGCAGGAACUCGGCGAGUUGGAAGAACAACUCGGAGAGUCGGUUGAAGAUUGCCUUGGACUAGGUGAGUCUGUUCUUGGACUCGGCGAGUCAGGUCGCGAAACCCUAAACCCUUCGACUUGAGACUCGAAUCAGUGAGUCGAGUGGAGACUCGGUAAGUUGGACAGGUCAGGACUCGGAAAUCGGUAGACUCGGCGAGUCAUGGACUGACUCGGUGAGUCGAGUCGCGAUUGGAAGGACUUAGAGCAUAUGAACUCGGCGAGUCAAUAGGUAGACUCGGCGAGUAGGGUUGACCUGGAAGAUUGACUUUGAACAGGACUUUGACUUUGACCAGAGUUGACUUAGUUGACUGUUGGGGGUCAGUUAGUCUAAGUGUUUCAUUGAUAUUGGUAGCUCGGGGAGCUAGUGGAGCAGGAGUUCAGAGAGUUUCCGGGCAGCAUCCAGAAGGUUAUCAGCAUGUUCAGCAAGUGCAUGUGAGUUUCCCUUUGUGCCAAUGGGUCUACGGUCACAAUGUCGGCCCAUGUAGUUAUGAGUAGAAGACCCGGGGGUUAGCCCUAGGCACAGUAUGCUAGUAUGAUAUUCAGGACGAGGUCCAAUGAUAGCGGGCGGGUGCCCAAGGAAUGGUUUAUGUGAUAGUUUAUACUUGUUGUAUGUGUGAUACUUGUAUGUGUCUGGUAGGGAGGUGAGUGUGGGCGAGGUCCCGUAUCUCACCAAUAGCAGAGUGUGGAUGGUGUUCCACAUCUCAGUAGCAGCAGAGCAGGGGCGAGGCCCAAGUUAGGGAAGGAGUGAGGGUGGGCUGGGCCCGUACCUCACUAUCAGCAGGAGUAUGGACGGGGUUCCAUGACUCAUCAGUAGCAGGACAAGGGCGGGGCCCAGAGAUAGGCGAGGCCUUAGGACAAGAUCCGUUAGUAUGUGUUUAGCUUAUGUGAUGUGAUGUGAUAUGUUUAUGUGCUAUUAUAUGUUAGUGGGCGAGGCCCUGUGACAGGCGAGGCCUAAGUGAAACAGAUCUGUAUCCGAGCGGGGCUCGAAGCCAGGCGGGGCCUGGAGCGGCGGGGCCGUUGUAGCGGGCGAGGCCCGAGGUAGGGGGGGAGGCCCAGGAUAGCGGGCGUGGCCCAGCGUGUGCAGUAUGUGGUUAUGCAUGGUAUGUGGUAGGGUGGGGAACUCACUAAGCUUCGUGCUUACGGUUUUCAGUUUUGGUUUCAGGUACUUCCGGUAGCGGAGGGAAGAGCUCGGGGGUGAUCGCAUGGCACACACCAUAGAUUAGACAGUCUGGGAAUGUUUUACUCUGACAAUGAACAUGUGUUUUGGAAAAUUAAUACUCUGAUUAUGUUUUGAAUUGGUGACCUUGCUUAAAGAAAUCUUUUAUUAAAAGAAAUUUUUAGUCAUGAAUUUUGGGACGUUACAAGUUGGUAUCAGAGCCUUGGUUUGAGGGAUUCGGGCAUACUCUCGGGUGUGCCUGAACUCAAACUAAGGGGUCGGAUAAAAAGUUUUCAAAAUGAAAAGACAGUUUUCUAAAAAGAGAGUUUUGGGAAAGAAAACAGUUUUAGAAAAGCAAAAAGAAUUCAGAAAGAAAAGAACUUUGAAAAGAAAAAAAUGGUGUGGUGCAUGCAAUCAGCUGGUCUUAAGUAAGUACCCCAAAUUACCCAUACAAGUUUAUGUUAUGAUUAUCAGUUAGUAGAACAGCAUGCUAGAUUAGGACUAAGGAUCUAGGGAGGAUGCCUUAUGUGCCUAUUAUAUGUGCUUUGAGUUGCAUGAUAGUGUUGAUUAGACAGUGGUAGGAUAGCCUGUUUAGGUUAUGCCUGAGUAUAUGAGUUUGUGUUGCAUGCUAGUUCAGAUUCUUGCUAUGUGGAUAUGAUUGCUUAUGUAUGUUAUGGUUAGAUUUUCCCCUUGUCUGAAUGCUGCCUGCUUUGUGCAAUAUGGGAUUCCGAGUGAUGGGAGUAACCAUUAGGUGGAUACGUCACGUCACAUGUGAUCAGGGUUGAAUAAUCUCAGAGUGCUAAAUUUGGCCCUAUUUCGCAGCUCUCGUUUGAGUCCAACCAUUGUAGGGAUGAGUCUUUUACUCGAAGAAUUAUCUGAGCCUUGUCACAUGUGAUGGUGUCCAGUUGAUGGCCAAUUGGCAUCACAAGGAGUCCUUCAGCAGCUGAGGCCUGGUUUGGUGUGAGUCAGAGGUUUCCUUAGGGUAAGCCUAGGAUGAGAUAGUGUUGGGAGCAGUAGUAGUGGAUAAGGGACCUGGUGGAGUCGAAGCAAUUCCNGAGGAAAGUACAGAUAGAUAUGGAUGGUAGUAUGGGCCCGUACUACUGAAAGCAGAGGAUCCGUACUCGAUUCGGGAAAGGCUGAGACAAGACCGAGAACCUAGUAGGGUGAGUGUGUGUCUGGUCUCACAGCAGUGAUAAGUAUUCUGAUAGAGGAUGUAUUAUAUAUUCAGCAUGGUGACAUUGCGAGAGAGACCAGUGGGUGGACCAGGCGCCGGAGAGGGAUCGCUCGGGGUCNAGCAGCUCGAGGAGCGGAUGAGGGAGUUGAUAUCAGCUGAGGUUACGCGCAGUAUUCUAGAUCAGACUCCUGUGAUCUUUGGCACGGUCAAGGAGGGUAUAUUGGAGAUUUUGGAUGAGAGGCUGGGAGCCUUCCGUACCGAGAUGAUGGCAUUGAUGGGAGCACGUACCUUGACAUUUCGAGAGUUCAGGGCUUGCGGGGCACCAGAUUAUCAUGGGGCUAGGGACCCCAUCGCUAGCAGCAGAUGGUUGGUUGAUGUUGCCAAUGCAUUCCGUACGAGCCGGUGUCCUGAGGGGGACAAGGUUAGGCUCGCUUCUUGUCUUCUGAAGAACAGAGCAAGGGAUUGGUGGGAGGAGAUUAGUCAUGCCUUGGGGGAUGAUGUCGCGUUGGAUGCGAUGACUUUGAGCGAUUUCUCGUCCAGGUUCAGGGCGGAGUUUUCGCCGAUUAUUGAGGUGCAGCAGUUGCCACAGGAGUUUCAGGAUUUGACGCAGACCACUGAGACUGUGGCGGAGAUCACCGCCAAGGUCAGGGAGAGGGCUCUUCUUGUACCGCAGUGUGUCGCGGAUGAGGAGAUGAAGAAGGCCCGAUACCAUGAGAUGUUGAGGGAUGAUAUCAGGGUGUUCGUGAUCAGGUCCAGCUGUAAGACGCUAGAAGAUAUGAUUUCUCGAGCUAGAGAGAGGGAAAUUGAUUUGGAGCAGAUCCGGAAGAGGAAGCCGGAUGAGGUUUAGGUAGCCACAGGUUCGGGCAAAAGGCCUAAGGGAUCAGAUUCGAGAUCGAGGGAUUAUCAGGACCGCAGUCGGUGCGGGAAGUGUGGCAGGGCGCACAGGGGUGCGUGUAGGAGUGGUAGCGGUGGUGAUUCUGGCUGCUUCAAGUGCGGUCGGACUGGUCAUUUCAGUAGAGAUUAUACUGUUACCACCACACAGGGAUCAGACUUGAUAUGUUUUCACUGCAAUCAGCGGGGCCACAAGAAGGCCCAGUGCCCCAGUUUGUUUUCAAUAGGACGGGUGAUGACACUUGCCCCUGCAACUUUGAGGAUCACAGACGGCCGUCAGGGCCGUGCAGAGGCGCCUGCGGUAGGAGGCAGGUCUUUUCAGAUGACUACCUUGGAGGCGCGAGCAGCACCGGACGUUGUAGGUAUGCGAUUUUGUUUUCAGUUCUUUUAUUUGUGCAUGAUUAUAUUGUUAUGGUUCUGGAUCAUCAUUGGUUUGAGUAUUUUAUUUUUUGAGCGGUUGAUUGUGAUCGAGUUAUAUGCCAUCUUAAUACCUUGGAUAUUUGAAUGGUAGUUAGGAGAUGUGCUCUAUUAGAGAAGGUUUCAUAGGAUGCAGUAAUUGUAGCAUGCCUGGGAGGGACUUGGUAUGUCUCGCUAGAUCGGAGUUGUAUAAUGUUAGAGAUGGAUUGGUUAGAUCCCUAGCUAUGGUGAGCUUGGGUUCCUCAGCAGCUUGAUUAUGGAAUGGUAGCAAGGAUUGGGAUUCUUUUGAGUAUUGAGCAGCAAGGGGUAAGCAGGAUCGAAGUGGGGGAGAAUCCUCCGAGUGUGCAAAGGUAGGAUCACGCAGACCCAAAAUGAGUGCGCGACCUCCGAGAAGGAAAAGAAGUAGUUCAGCGUUUGAUGGAUUGAGGAUUUCAGGGUUGGGAUUUUGAGAAACUCCCCAUCAGCUAGUGCGUGUGAUGGUGAUGGUUAGUAUGUGGUUGGGAAUUCAGGUUGUGGAUCGCCCGUAGGACUCGAGGGAGUCGGAAUGAGGAUCUUGAGAGCUAAUGGCACAUGGGUGCCUUCGUAUUAGCAGUCAGUGGUAGAAAGUGAUGUAAGACUACGGGGCAGCCGUAGCAUUCACUAACAGUUAGUGGUAGAAAGUGAUGUAAGACUACGGGGCAACUAUAACACUCACUAGUAGUCAGUGGUGGAAGUGUUGUAAGACUACGGGGCAACCAUAGCAUUCACUAGCAGUCAGUGAUGGAUGGUGAUGUAAGACUACUAGUAAGCCGUAGCAUUCCUUAGUAGCUUCGUUAGCGGAGUUGGGGCGAGGCCCUUAUCUCCUAGCGAUCAGAUAGGGAUCAGGAAUGGGUAGUGGAUGAAAGUGAUAGGAAGUUUGCUUGUAUAGCCCUAGAGAGGUGAGACCUUGGGAGAGGCCGCUCCAGGAUAUAGUUGGGUGAGGCCUGUGGGCGAGGCCCGUAUGAGAGUAGCGGUAUAGGUGAGACCUGAGAGUAGGGUUGCUCAGUAGUAUGGCCGGGUGAGACCCGUAGGCGAGGCCCGAGAGAGAGUGGUUAGACAAGUAGGACUAGAAGGAUAGAGGCGGGGGGGACCCGUGGGCGAGGCCCGUGUGUUUUAGCGGCAUAGGGGGGACCUGGUAAGGACCUUAGUGUCAAGAUAAGGGAUCGGGGAUCCAUGGAUUGUAGUGACUGAAUGGCAGAAUAGAUUGCGCAGUUAUAGGUGGUCAAAGUUCCUUCGAAAGUCGCUGGGAGCGACUAGGAGUAGUGUUGGGACUAGCGACCGGUGGGAUCCGGUAAUCCAGAUAUUGGUAGGACGGUAGGGAUUAGGGUGGUCUCAGUUCAUCCGGAAGGCAGAUAAGGAAUAGCAGAAUUUUCAGUCAGUAGUAGUGCGGGUAAGCAGUGUAUGGUGGAAUUCAGUUAGUUGUAUCGAGGGGUGCUCGACACCAAGUUUUGACAGAGAGGAGUGUCAGUGGUUACUGGCGGUGAUGACCUGUACUGGAAGUAGCGGGGGUGAUGGAGUUGGCGAAGGAUAUGACCUUCACAGUGACAGAGGAAAUAGUUGGUUAUGGAGCAUUGCCUUGGGAAGGCAAGGAAUUCGCACAAGGAAAGAAGGGGUGAACCCCUAUAGGUUCAGUACAGUACUCGGUGAGUACCGGAAGGAUUGUCGGUUGAGUAAGUUGUGUUUCCAGGAUGUUCAGGGUCAGGGUGACCUGAGUCUAUUAUCCGCAAGGAAUGAUGUUAGUCAGAAUGACCGGGCGGAAGACCAGCGAAGGUAGGCAGCUGGUGUUGGAAUGAUUAGUUGGGUAUUGAAAGCAUAUCGCAGGCAGUGGCCCAUAGCAAACUUCGAGGAUGAAGUUUAGUUUAAGUGGGGGAGAGUUGUAACACCCAAAGUCAGAAAGGCCAAGAAAGGAAAGGAAACCCUAAGUCUAAGGGAUGACUCAGUAAGUCCAAGGAGGAACUCGGCGAGUCCGAGCGGGAUCCGGGUCGAGGAAUAAGUGAACGACUCGGCGAGUCGGCCAAGGAGACUCGGUGAGUCUGGUCUGUACGAGGAAAUCCCUAAAUUUGGGACUUGGAGCCUAUUUAAGCGCCUCAUUCUCUUCCCUAGGGUUCCUCUACUGCCUCUCUAACCCAGAACACCAAACCCUAGCCGCCAUAUCCGUUGUUGAGCCAAUUAUUGCUUUGAAGAGUGCAUUAAAGCUUGGAGAAGGAAGAAGGGCCUUGGAGGUGCAAGAAGGAGCUAUAGAUCUGGGCUUGGGAAGAUAUUUCUGAACAUUUAAAGGUAAUAAACUAGUUCUUGGAAUCCUUUGCACCAAGAUCUAUGUUGAGUUUUGGGGCUUUUGGCCAUGAUUGGUAUCCAUUUGAGUUAGAAGCCAGAUCUAAAGUUGGAACUUCGGAUCUAAGCAUAUUUUGGCCUUGUGAAGCAUAAAGUAUCAGCCCUUGAGUUGAUUAUGGAGCCUCUUUGCAUUAAACCCUAUUUUAUGGUGUGUUUAGCCUAGAUCUCCUUCUCUACACGUAAAGUUUGCAACUUUACGUGAGGAAUAGGCUUGGGAAGGGUAGAUCUACAGUUUGGGGUCCAUGCAUGACUCAAAAGUCCUCUACAUGUAUGUAGAUCUGAAUGGACUCGACGAUUCCUUUGAGUGGACUCGGCGAGUAGCAUGAAGAUUAGGAGGAAUUUGACGAGUGGGAUAAACAGCUCGUCGAGUCAGAUGAAGUUGGGCAGGAACUCGGCGAGUUGGAAGAACAACUCGGCGAGUCAGUUGAAGAUUGCCUUGGACUUGGCGAGUCUGUUCUUGGACUCGGCGAUUCAGGUCACGAAACCCCAAACCCUUCGAGUUGAGACUCGAAUCAGUGAGUCGAGUGGAGACUCGGUGAGUUGGACAGGUCAGGACUCGGAAAUCGGUAGACUCGGCGAGUCGAGUCGCGAUUGGAAGGACUUUGAGCAUAUGAACUCGGCGAGUCAAUAGGUAGACUCGGCGAGUAGGGUUGACCUAGAAGAUUGACUUUGACCAGGACUUUGACUUUGACCAGAGUUGACUUAGUUGACUGUUGGGGGUCAGUUAGUCUAAGUGUUUCAUUGAUAUUGGUAGCUCGGGGAGCUAGUGGAGCAGGAGUUCAGAGAGUUUCUGGGCAGCAUCCAGAAGGUUAUCAGCAUGUUCAGCAAGUGCAUGUGAGUUUCCCUUUGUGCCAAUGGGUCUACGGUCACAAUGUCGGCCCAUGUAGUUAUGAGUAGNGGAAGGUUGACUUUGACCAGGACUUUGACUUUGACCAGAGUUGACUUAGUUGACUGUUGGGGGUCAGUUAGUCUAAGUGUUUCAUUGAUAUUGGUAGCUCGGGGAGCUAGUGGAGCAGGAGUUCAGAGAGUUUCUGGGCAGCAUCCAGAAGGUUAUCAGCAUGUUCAGCAAGUGCAUGUGAGUUUCCCUUUGUGCCAAUGGGUCUACGGUCACAAUGUCGGCCCAUGUAGUUAUGAGUAGAAGACCCGGGGGUUAGCCCUAGGCACAGUAUGCUAGUAUGAUAUUCGGGACGAGGUCCAAUGAUAGAGGGCGGGUGCCCAAGGAAUGGUUUAUGUGAUAGUUUAUACUUGUUGUCUGUGUGAUACUUGUAUGUGCCUGGUAGGGAGGUGAGUGUGGGCGAGGUCCCGUAUCUCACCAAUAGCAGAGUGUGGAUGGUGUUCCACAUCUCAGUAGCAGCAGAUCAGGGGCGAGGCCCAAGUUAGGGAAGGAGUGAGGGUGGGCUGGGCCCGUACCUCACUAUCAGCAGGAGUAUGGACGGGGUUCCAUGACUCAUCAGUAGCAGGACAAGGGCGGGGCCCAGAGAUAGGCGAGGCCUUAGGACAAGAUCCGUUAGUAUGUGUUUAGCUUAGGUUAUGUGAUGUGAUAUGUUUAUGUGCUAUUAUAUGUUAGUGGGCGAGGCCCUGUGACAGGCGAGGCCUAAGUGAAACAGAUCUGUAUCCGAGCGGGGCUCGAAGCCAGGCGGGGCCUGGAACGGUGAGGCCGUUAUAGCGGGCGAGGCCCGAGGUAGGGGCGAGGCCCAGGUUAGCGGGCGUGGCCCAGUAUGUGCAGUAUAUGGUUAUGCAUGGUAUGUGGUAGGGUGGGGAACUCACUAAGCUUCGUGCUUACGGUUUUCAGUUUUGGUUUCAGGUACUUCCGGUAGCGGAGGGAAGAGCUCGGGGGUGAUCGCAUGACACACACCAUAGAUUAGACAACCUGGGAAUGUUUUACUCUGAUAAUGAACAUGUGUUUUGGAAAAUUAAUACUCUGAUUAUGUUUUGAAUUGGUGACCUUGCUUAAAGAAAUGUUUUAUUAAAAGAAAUUUUUAGUCAUGAAUUUUGGGACGUUACAAAGUACAUUAAUCCUUGGUACAAAUAUUACAUCAACAAAAGUUAUCUCUAAGCUUUCAUGAAAUUGAAGACCUUAUGCCUAACACAACCAUUGUAUCUAGAUAAGAUUUUCCUACUUAUUUACUUUGUUGUGUGCAAAUAUUAAUACACUUGACUUAAGCAUCACCAACAUUUGGACAUAAUUGUUGACGUUGAGGUGGUUGGUUAGAGCAUUAGUCAACUUUAAUAUUCAAGUGAAGACGUAUCAAAUACAAGUGAUUGUAGUUCACUCCUAUAGCAACAAGAGGAGCAGAGGCUUUAAGUAGUUUAUCCAUUUCAACAUGAAACUCUUUUCACACAUGAACGAUCUUAUGACACCUGUCAAAUGCCUCUUAAAAUAUACAAUCAACACUUGGUCAGUAGCUUUCUUCUCUGUGGCCAGAACCAUGACCUCUUCAUUUCCCUAUAUUAAUGAUGACAGGUUCAUAAACUAAAAGGACUGUAAAGUCAAAAUAGUUGACAUUAUGUUGACAUACCUAGUGGUGUGAAGAGAAGAAUAAAUAGAAUGUUUGUAAUAAACCCGCUUUCUUGGGUGAGGAAACCAUGACACUUGUUCAGAAAUGAAACAUCCCAACUAGCACCUAACGACUUUUGCUACAUUGAGAUAUACUAGCAAACAACAUAAGCAAAUCACAUGGAAAAUUAUUACAAUUAAUAAAACUCAUAAAUAAAGUGGUAAAAACAGCCUUGCACACACUCUUGAUUAAAAAAAUAGUUUAUAUUAGUGUAACAUCCCGAUUUCUCGAUAUCAGUUUAAAGUUCUAGAGUCAUGUUUCAAAGACAACUCGACGAGUUGAUAGGCCAACUCGUUGAGUAGUGACCAAAUCAGCCAUGUGGAUUUUAGACCCUACUCGUCGAGUUGGAGGACCCGACUCGACGAGUAGGUGCUGGAAAGUGAAAACCAUAAUUUUUAGGGUUUGCACCCUAUUUAAAGGUCCUUAACUUUCCUCCUCAGCCUCCCUUGUCACCUUCACGUCCAAAAAAACCAACUAGUCUCUAUUCUUGAGUGUGUGAGACCAAAAGAGAGUGUAUUGGAGCAUUCUUAAGGAGUUAAGAGCUUUGAACAAGGGAUAGCUUGUAGAUCCAACUUUUCCAGUGUUGUGACAACAAUAUUGAGUUAUAAAGCUACCACCUUUAUAUUUCAUUGCUUAGAUCUUCCUUUUUGGUAAAGUAAUUGUCAUGUCUAGGGCAUGAUGGGGUCACACUCGGAUUUAAGCUUGCCACAAGGGCAUAGUUUUAGAACUUGACUUCUUAAGGCCUUAUGAACAUAAAUCCUUAAGCUUUAUGAAGCCCUAGCCCUCCUUCAUGUCCAAAACCUUCUCCUAAUGCUAAUUAUGAGUGUUUUAGCUUCAUAGAACCAUGCAUGCAUGUAAAGUUAGCAACUUUAUGUGAUAACAACACCCUAGGAGCAUAGAUCUACUGUUUGGAGCUUUGGAGCAGCUUAAAAUAGUCUGAAUGAGUGAUGGACUGAAGGAGACUCGACGAGUUUCAUGGUUGAAUCGAAGAGUCGGUUGAAGAUUGCCCAUAAUGGUUUUGCAUGGACUCGGCAAGUCAGUAAGAAGACUCGACGAGUCAGUUAGGGUUCUUCCUGACAUUUAGACACGCGUAGACUCGCCGAGUUGGUGGGGAAACUCUGCGAGUUGGCCCAGGGAUUUCACGGUUUUCUGAGUUUUGGAGGAACUCGAUAGGUCAGUAGUUGGACUCGACGAGUUGGGUCAACAUGGACUGUUGACCUUGACUGUUGACUUGGAGUUUGACCAGGGUUAACCAUGUUUGACUUUGGAGGGUAUUUGGUAAAUGGGUAUUUAAGGAAAUGGAUCAUGGGUGGAUAUAGGUAAUGGAGUUUGGGGCAGUAUUUUGAGAGCGUGAUUUCGUGGUUUAGUUCGGCAUUGCAAGGUGAGUUAUCCUCACUAUAUCAACAGGGUCUAAGGCACCAAGGUCAGCCCUUUAUCUGAUUUGUAUUCGGGUAUUUGCUUGAUAUGUUUUUUGAUCUGCUAGAUCUGCAUCCUGGUAGUUAGGAUGGUAUUAUGUUUAGUGACCUGGUUUAGGUCAGUAUCCUGGUAUAUGGGAUGAUGUUAUGUUAGUGACCGGUUAGGUCGGUAUCCUGGUUAUAGGACGGUUGUUGUGUUAGUAAUCAGUUAGUUUGGUAUGAUUAUCUGUUGUAUACAUGCUCGCGUAUAAUAUUUAUGUGCACAUGAUUGUUUGAUUGUUAUGGGGGUUGGGUUGAGGCGGGUCCUGCUUCGUGUUGUAGGCCAACAUACCCAUGGCGGACCGGAAAGACUACAGGCCCAGGAAGGCACAUUGUCCAACCAAUGGCCCAACGAGCGGUCCGGAUAGGCUGAAGGCCCCGAGAGGGUGGUCCAAACGUGCCGAGGCUCGGAGAGUGGGCCAGGUGGACUGAAGGCCCGGUGCGGGCGGUCCAGUCAUACUGUAGACUCAAAGAGUGGACCAGGUGGACUGAAGACCCAGUGCGGGUGGACCAGUCACACAGUAGACUCGGGAUGCAUGGCUGUUCAGUGUUUGUUAUAUGAUAUGAUUAUGGAUUGUAUGAGGUUGGUAUUUUGGGGGUAACUCACUAAGCCUUCGAGCUUACGUUUAUCAAUUUAUGUUUCAGGUACAACGAAUUAACCCAGGAAGACGAAUGUGUGAUCGUACACUUCCCCAUAAUAUGUUUUGGAUUUUCUGGGAUACUCUGAUGUGAAACUAUUUUGGAAACCUUUUUGUAAUAACUAUUGGCAUUUGAAAUGUUUUUAAAAGUUUAAAUUUGGCUUGGAUUUUAUGGGUGUUACAAUUAUUUCAAUUAUCCAAGACGAUUUUAUGUCGAGAUUUUAAGUUAACAUUAAAUCUCAAUUAUUUGUUUGAAUGAUUUUUUUCUUUUAUCUUAGAGAUUUGUUUGAAAUUUAUUAAUUUUUUUUAUAAAUUUGAAUUAAUCAAAGACACAUAUAAAAAUAUCUCAUCAAAUCAAAUAAAUUUAAUAUAUAAAAAAGAUAGUAUCCGAUUAAGUCAAUCUAAAAAUACCAACAUAUAAAUAUAACUCACAAAUCUUGAUGGGAAUAAGAAUCAAACUCAAAAUCAAUCAAAUAAAAAAACCUUUGAUUUGUGUUAUAAGUAUAAAAUAAAUCAGGAUUCCAAAUAAAUAUUACAAUGAAAAAAAACCUAAAAUGUUUGAAACAAAAUAUGAAAUUCGCCAUCACUGUCAAUUUAAAAAAAAAACCUUUAUUAAUACUAAUGGGCUAUUUGGUAGCAUCCUGAUGAAUCAUAUCUGAAUGAUCUAGAUGCCUGGAUGAUCUAGAUGCUCUUUAGGAAUUUCUAUCGGAAUGAUAAAAUAAUGUUUGGUUAGGCAUCUAAAUAUCUGCCUCUUAAUGAGGAAAAUAACCAUUUUAGCCCUCUAAAUUAUUUUUUGAAUACAAAAUAAACAUUAUACAAUAUCCAACAAAUCGGUUAAAACAAAUUGGCUUUUGAUAUUCAGAUUCAUGUGUUUCUUCAUCAACAAUCUCUUUGAAGAGGACUCGUUUUGUUUCUGUUUUUAGAUCAUUAGGCUUUCUUGCUUCUGGAACAUUGAUGGGCCUAUUUUCUUGCUGAAUAUCUUCCAUCACUAGCAACUUCAUCUUGCUCCUAGAUCACAUAUCAACUAAACAAGUUGAAAAAUAACCAAACACAUAUUUUCAUAUAGAACAUUUCAAGCAAACACAAACACAUUUUCAAAAAAAAAAAAACAAAUCAAUUGUUAUUUUCAGAUUUCCAAAGGACAAAAACAACAUCAACUGAACACAUAUAUAGAGCAAGAAGAACAAAGCACAAAAAUCGAUUUCAUACAAAAUCGAGCAGCAAGAACACGAUUGACACCAAUUUCAUGCAAAAUUGCUCAACAAUAACACGAUUGAAGCAACAGAUUCGAGAAAAAAAACCAUACCUGAAAACUUACCGACGACGAGUAGGCGGAGAAGUAGGAGCGUUGUCGAAGGCAUGCAAGGGGAGGCGGCGACGGAGCCAAUAAUUGGAAGUUGUCAACGCUUAAUGAAGAUAAAGAAUGAGGGAUGAAAGGUCGAUCUCUAGAAAGAAGGAGAAGAAAAAAGAGUCGGCCGCAAUUUGUUGUUAGGGCAAUGGUAGAAGAUGAAAAUUUUUUUAUUCAGACUUCUCCUCAUAUCUUAACGAAUCAGAUUAGUUUUAGCUACAUCUGACCGAUUAAGAGCGUAAAAAUGUUUCAACCAAACACUCUGAAUCUUAAUGAUCCAAAUGCAACCUCUUAAUGAGACCAUUAAGAGGCAAAACAAACAGCCCCUAAAUAAAAAAAACAAUAUAGUUUCCAUAAAAAUCGAUUUAAAUAUUAAAGAAGAGAAGAAAUCAGCAUUUAUACGACGUAAUAGUUUUUUAAAAUUAAAAAAAAAAAAUUAUUCAUAUUAUAAGUAUAAAAUACAUUUUAUUCUUAACUCUCAUUUGUAAUUUGCCAUAUGUUUUCAUAAGAGUUUAUGGUAAUAACUUAAAUUUUUAUUUUUCCAUAUACCAUUUUUCAUUUACAAAAUUGUUUGUGCUUAUUUUUUUUUGUUAUAUUAAAAUUUAUUAUAUUUUAUUAUAUAAUAUAUAUCAUAAUUUUUUUCAUUAAUUUACAUAUAUCUUAUUUUUACGUGUUUAUUUGAAACAAUCGUUAUAAUGCAAAAUAAAUACCACUUCUCCAUAUUAAUUAUUAAUUUUUAUUAAAAUACUUUAUUAAUUAUUAUAAUUUUUAUCUAUUGAUAUUCGUUUAAUUUUGUAAGUUUUAUUUUCACAAAGUAUAACCUAAUUAAUUUCUCAUCAUCUAUAGUAAAUGAAAGUUUUUUUUUUCACAUGCAAUCACUAAUUAAUUUUGACACUUGUCAUUUUAUAAUAUUUUUUAAAUAAAUAAUAUCCACAUAUCAAUUUAUGAUUUUUNNNNNNNNNNNNNNNNNNNNNNNNNNNNNNNNNNNNNNNNNNNNNNNNNNNNNNNNNNNNNNNNNNNNNNNNNNNNNNNNNNNNNNNNNNNNNNNNNNNNNNNNNNNNNNNNNNNNNNNNNNNNNNNNNNNNNNNNNNNNNNNNNNNNNNNNNNNNNNNNNNNNNNNNNNNNNNNNNNAUCAAAUGUAAUAAAUAUUAUUUUAAAAUUUCAUUUUAAAAAAUAUUUAUUAUUACAUUUUAAUAUUUUAUAUUCUUUAAUCAACCGUGUAAUACAUUUUAAUACAUAGAUUUUCCAUCUAAUAAAUAAAUAAAAUGUAACCAUUUUAAUCACUAAAUAAUUAAUCAACCAAAGAUUAAAACCCACUGAUAAAAAGGAAACUAAAUCAACACCAAAUUGAAAAUUAAACCAUAUAUUACUAAAUUAAUUCACAGAGAGUUCGACAUCAAUCAAAUAUUAUCUCGCACUCAAAUUCACAAAACUCACUUUCCAGGUACAAAGUUUGUAGCAUAUGACCAUGCAUUGUUUGCAACAGGGUCAGCAAGGUGGUCAGCGAGGUUCUCCAAUGGUCCCUUUCCGGUAACAAUGGCUUGAACAAAGAAUCCAAACAUAGAGAACAUGGCUAGUCUACCGUUCUUGAGCUCCUUCACUUUCAGCUCAGCAAAUGCCUCUGGGUCAUCAGCCAGACCCAAUGGGUCGAAGCUACCACCAGGGUAAAGUGGGUCAACUACCUCACCAAGAGGUCCACCAGCAAUUCUGUAACCUUCAACUGCACCCAUCAAGAUCACUUGGGUAGCCCAGAUGGCUAAAAUGCUUUGUGCAUGGAUCAAACUUGGGUUCCCCAAGUAGUCAAGACCACCCUCACUAAAGAUCUGGGAUCCAGCCUUGAACCAUACAGCCUCACCAAACUUGACACCAUUACGCGCCAAGAGUUCGGGGAAGACGCACCCAAGAGCUCCGAGCAUGGCCCAUCUGCUGUGGAUGACCUCAAGCUCACGGUUCUUGGCGAAUGUUUCAGGAUCAGCAGAGAGCCCAGCAGUGUCCCAACCGUAGUCACCGGGGAACUCACCGGUCAGGUAAGAUGGGGCUUCGCCGGAGAAUGGGCCAAGGUACUUAACACGGUCGGGGCCGUACCAUGGACUUCCUGAUGGUGCGACUUUCUUGACUGCUGUCUUCCUCAUGGAAACCCUUCCAUUUCCGAUUAUUUCUGAACCAGAUGGUGCUGCUUUCACUGCCUGUCCGACGAAAGAAGAAGAUAGAGCCAUGGUGGAAGCUGCCAUUUUUGUGAGAUUUAUUUUGAAGAUGUUGUGAUGGUUAUACUUAUGAAGAUGGGUAGAACUGGAAGUAGAUUUAUAGGGUAGUUUUUGGAUCAGAUAGGUGAUCAAUGCUUAUCUUGAUACAAUCUUUAGCUUCAAUUUGAUUGGCUACAGAGAUUCUUGUGGGUCCGUAAUCUGUGGUGUGAGUUCUCUGGCCCCCCUGAGAUAUUUUGAAGGGGCAGGAUAUUCGUGGCUCUGGUUUAUUGAGCCAAUGACUGGCUUUCACUCACUACUCUUAGUGGUGGUUUUUUAUAAUAUGCUGUAAGCUUGUAACCAUCCAAUCGUCUAAGUUUAUAACUGACCUAUUAUUACAAAUAUAUACUAACCAGGCAAAACUUUUGGUUAUAAAAGUUAAUGUGACCGAGAGACUAACACAAAAAAUUAUAACAGGAGUAGUUAAUAAUCCGCGAUUUACCGCUAUGCCGAGAGCCGUAGGGAGGAUCCACCAUUUACCCCUAAGUGUGCAGAAUGCCUUUUUUUUUUUAGUAUUAAAAUAUCAAGAUCGGACACGCGUUGUAAAAUUCUUGUUCGAAUUGUUUGCAAACUCUUCGUCACAAUAAGGGGAGUUUAAAUAUGCGUUUUAAUAUAAUAACAUUGGCAUUGAUUAAAUGUUAAUAUUCAAUUAUCAUCCCACAUGAGAAUGAAAUAUAUUAAUGAUUUAUUAAUCUAAAAACAUUAUCAUCCCACAUGAGAAUGAAAUAUAUUAAUGAUUUAUUAAUCUAAAAACAAUUUUUUUAUGUCAUUAUUUUUUGGGGUUACAGUCGAGCUUGGAGGAUCUCGACUUUAGGUAUGCCCAUUUUAUUGAGAGGAAUUACUAAUAAAUUUCGGAAAGAGGAAAAAAAUAUGAUCGUGGACAUAUGGUUUAGGAAUAUUUUCAUGUUCGUUUGACACAAGUAAAGUUCUUGAAAUGGGUGCUUCAGUUUGUACGAGCGGCUAACUUGAUAAAGUUCAAAGACAUAAAGGCAAUUUUCAAAAACUCACAUGAUCAGUUAUCGAACAAGCAUGUCGUACUAGUGUGCCCACUACACAUGUUAGUUAGCGGUUUCAAUAGGAAAAGAGCAUCAUUAGCUGUCAAUGAUAAUAUUCUUUCUCUAGUACUCGAUCCUUACGACUUUUAUAUUUAUAUCAUGUAAUUUAGAAUUUAAUUUAAUUUCUAUUAAUCUUCGAUUACAGUUUAUGUGAUCUAAUUCAUGGAUGUUUUGGCACUACAUAUCUCAAUGGAGUAUGCCAGGGAAAUUUUGGUCAUAACAACAGCCUCCAUGGGUUUAUAUAUAUUUUUAAGGUACAUAUAACAUCCUAUUUUUAGGCUUAGAAAUUUUGGUCAUUUAUAGUGAAAAUAAUUUUUUUUAAUAAAAAAAUAAAAAAGGAAAAAUAAAAAUAAAAAGAAUGACUGAAUGAAUACAUGAGCUAAUAAAAGGUUUAGAUCAAAUGUUUAAAGAAAAUAGCGAAUUUAUACUUAAAAUAGGAAAUAAAUAAGGAAGGGUCAGUGGUGGCAACUUUGGAAAACUUGUUUAAUUUAGAUCUAACUAGACAAUUUAUUUGUAAAGAGUUAAAAAUGUAACGAAAUGAUACUUAUAAGCUUAAGAGGGAGUUUUUCAGUUGGAAAUGUUGUUAGAAACCCUUAUUGGAAAAAAUUAGGACAAAAGGACUAAAAUUGUCAAGUUGAUGAAACUUGUGUUAACCUUAAUGUAACGACCCUAAAAUCUUAAAUUAUGUGUUUAAUUACUUUGUAUCAUUUUGUUGAAAAAUGAACAUUAAUGAUGCAAUAAUCAAUUUGUUAGUAAAUUUCAUUGUAUAUCCUUACAUUUAUCAUGUUAUAAUCGAAAAUAUAGGACAUUUCAGCAAAAAAUAACCCUGUAGGAAAGUCGCAUUACACCUCGAUAUAUUCGUGUGGAUAUAAAUUCUAUGAAAAUCCAAAUUUGUAUGACGAAGUUAUAGUCAAUAUAAGUUGGAAGUACAAAUUUUAAUGUUUAAAUGUGUAUGUUNNNNNNNNNNNNNNNNNNNNNNNNNNNNNNNNNNNNNNNNNNNNNNNNNNNNNNNNNNNNNNNUAUAUAUAUAUAUAUAUAACAUCUCAAAACCAUAAUAACCAUAACAUAAAAUCAGAGUUUCAAAACAUAUUAUCUCUCUAAACCAUAACAAUCACUGGAUGAUGUGUAGAGUCACGUGUAACAUCUCGUUUAAAAUUAGAUAAAUAAAAUAAAAUAAGUAAAUAAAUUAGAUAAAAUAAGUAAAUAAAUAAUAAACCCUAAAACCUCAAGAUGAAUUUUAUAUUUUUAUGUUAGCCUUAAAUCCAUAAUAAUUAUCAGAGUAUUAGCGCAAUAAGUUAAAUGUUAUUAAUUCUGGAAAUAGGGGUUUAAAAUGUAAAUUUCGAACUAGUUAAGAAUAGAUUUGUGGAAGCUGGGGAUUGUUUGGUAAUUUGGACUUGAAUUGAAAGGAUUAUUGGAAACAGGUAUAGAGUAAAUUACAGAUUUAAUUUGUAAAGGAAUUGAGAUGGAGGGACUGAAAAUAUAAGAAAGGGACUAAUGUUUGAAGAGAUAGGCAUGACUUAAACCCAUUCCCCCUCCACCCUCUUGCUACUCGGUUGCACCCAUAUAAACCCUAACCCUAAUAUCUUCUCAGCCGCCACCUUAUCCCUCCAUAUCUCCAGUCGCUUCCAUCACCUGUGUCGCCGUCAUGAACCACUGAGCACCACUGCCGCUGCUCCCACUGCCGAUGAAAACGAAGAUCAACGUUUGGACACCGUGACAGUGGGGAAGUAGGAAGAAAGGAAGCUCGUGGUUGUUAUUGCUGUUAUUCUCGGUUAGGGGUCGCAAAACCUUUCUCUUCUCCGUUUCCUUUUGUUGCUACGUUGUCAUCGUCAUCGCUCCAUGUGAGGGUGGUUGUGUUUGUGUUUUGUGAGUGUAGGUGUGUGUUGCUGCUGUGGCAAGUUGGAGAGGUGUGUGUGUCUUUUGUUGGCCAGAAAAACGAAGAGAAUCACCAUGGCAACCAACCAUGGUGGUUUUCACCGUUCUGGAGCCACUAGCCACCACCCUAGGUGGCUGUGUGUGUUGGAUUGACAUUUCUUCUGUACCAGGAUGCUUUUGAUAGUGUUUGGCCUAAAAUUAUAACUACCACCAUUAAAAAGUGGUGGCUGUCGCCUCCUACCGCCAUGGACCGCCGCCGACCACCAAUGCCCGAGGUGGCAGUGGGUGGUGUCUGACUUACUAAACAUUAAAUAACCUAAACAUCUAACCUUAGACCGAGUGGUACGUGUUUGGGUUGGAAACUCUUACUAGGCUUUAGAAAAUCCUAAGGUCAAGAAAACCCUAGUUUUGGAGUUUUGUCGGGACCCGCGUUGAAGUGUUAAUUGAACUUUAAUUAUACUCGAUAAGGCCCUACGAUUAACUUAAUGCAGUAUUGAACUUAAUGAAUUAAGUCCUUAAGGGGUUAUGUGUGGAGCACUAACCCUAGUUAUCAUUUUAUGUGGAAACCCUAAAAAUCAAGAAGCCUUAUUUUCGGCAAUGAUCAGGGCACAUAUUUGGGAUAUUCCUUGGAUUAUUAUUAUACCCGAGAAUGAAUAUGUCAAACCUUAAUCACUCCUACUUUUAUUUGAUUAAGUCCUUAAUGGGUUAAGUGUCCUUACUUAACCCUAAUCGUCAUUUUAUGUGGAACCCUAAUCACUAUUUCAUGUGAGGUAGUCACUGCUGCAAUUGACGAUGACUUGUGAUCGAGUAUUGAAUCAAGUAUCUUCCUGUAGGUGAUUGGAAGUGAGUUGAAGCUGGUAGAGUUCUUCGUUACUACGGUGGUUACCUACUAGCAUAUCGAGCUGAGUUUCACCUCACUGUGUUAGAUCUAUAUGCACAAGAAUCAUUAUUCAGUGACAUUGCUAAUAACAUAUGAUCCUAUAAGGUCACACUUUAAUCAAGUUGGUACUUAUUGAAUAUUUAUUAAGUAUUUUAUAAUUAAUAAUAAAAGUUCAACUCAUGUAUUUAAUUAAAGAAAAUUUAUUGUUUUGUGAAAAUAAUAAUAAAUGAAAGACUAACUANAUAUAUAUAUAUAUAUAUAUAUAUAUAUAUAUAUAUAUAUAUAAGUCAUGUACAAAGUUUUGGACACUUUCACCAAAGAUUGACAAACUAGCUAGUUAAUUAAGUGACUAAACAAUAAACUAGAAAAUCCAAUGGACCAUUUUAGUCCUUAAAACCAUGGGUUAUCAAGGCGAGGAGGUUGAAAGUCAACCUCCAACAUUCUUGUCCCCCAUGUUUGUUCAUUACCUUGCAUGUAAUACACACCAUGAUCAUAUUAUAUAAGGCUAGUUGUUUUAUCACUAUAUGACUAGAAGAAAAAAAUCAUUUACACUUUCAUCCAUAGAAUUGUAGGUUCUCUUGGCUUCUCCCUAUCUCUCACUUGAAGUUAGUUCUUGGUUUUUUAGAGUUCGUCUUUUGUGUCUUCCUUUUACACUUAUUAUCUAUGUGCUUAAGGCUUAAAGAGAAAAAUAUUAUACAAGAAGAAAUCUAGCAAUUUUGGUACCUUAUUCUUGUUGGUGGAUUACUUGUAGAGAAGAUCAGACUUGUUGUUCUUGCCAUCUACUUCAACACCCCAAAUCUAAGAGGGUCCAAAGUCUACGAAGGUUGUAUUUUCUAAACUCCCUAUGGUUGUUAUAAUAUCAUUCUAAGCACUUUAAAAGGAUCCUUGAUGGUUUGUUUUGUUUUCAAAUUUAUAAGAAAUUUUUAAAGCUUCCGUUGCCAGUUUUUGUGAAAAACUAUUUAUUUUAUGCAACAAACCCCUUCAGUUGUAACACUAUAAAUUUUCAAACAAAAUUUCCAUUUUUAAAACACACAAAUCUUAAAAUCACAUUUCUCAAAAAUCACAAAUGUAUCAAUUGUAAGAAUAUCCCAGAACCCUCAAACAUAAUCUCGAACAGGUGUGUACAAUCAAGUCGGCGCCUUACCGUGAUUCUGAGAAGUACCUGAAACACAUAACACACAACAUAGUAAAAACGAAGCUUAGUGAGUUCCCCAAAAUACCACAUACACAAAUAAUAAGCCACUCAUAGCUAUAGCUCGGCAUGGACCUUCCAGUCAUGCGUCUCGGUGAGGACCCUCCGGUCUCACGGCUCGGUGUGGACCCUCCGGUCAUGUGUCUCAGUGAAGACCCUCAGGUUUCACAGCUCGAGUUGGACCCUCCAGUCCUGUAUCUUAGUGAAGACCCUCCAGUCUCACAACUCGGUUUGGACCCUCCGGUCCUAACUCAGUAAGGCACAAAAUAAUAUAGCAUAUAUGACAAAGACAAAAUGCAUAAUAUCACAUAACUCAGUAUAAGCACAUAGGACCAUCCGGUCGAUAACUCAAAUAAGACCCUCUGUUCACAUAGUAUUACCACUCAGGUAAGUAUAGUGAUAAGACUCGUCUCGGAAGUAAGCAAAUAGAUCUAGUACCCCACGAACAGUUUAGACUCCGCCUACAUAAUAUAAUUAUCUCUAAUAAGCAAUUUGUAAUAACCAUUCCGAGAUGUUAAGCUAGCUCCCCCACUAAAUCUCAAAAAUGGUGAAAAUACCAUUUUACCCCUCCAUGGUCUCUAAGGUCCACAGUUGACCAAACCCUAAAACUCAACGUAAGUCAACGCUCAAGUCAACAGUCCAUGUUGACUAAACUCGUCGAAUGCAUCCAUGCGACUCGUUGAGUACCGUCGUUUUCUCUGAAGUAUCGGGAAAAUCCAACUCAACUCGUCGAGUUGUCUCAUCAACUCGCUGAGUUGUAACGCAUUUAGACUAUCAGGGAAAACCCUAGCUGACUAGUCGAGUUGUCUCAUGCACUCGUCGAGUCCCUCUAUACAAAUUCUCAUUUAGACUAUUCUAAGCAGGAAUAAGGUCCCAAACUCUAGAUCUAGCCUCCCAAGGCUGAAAUACCAUGUAAAGCUGCAAGCUUUACGUCUAUGCAUGGAAUCUAGCGCUCAAAAUGCUAAAACAAGCUCUAUAUAGGGUUUAAUGCAUAAAAUCUUGCCACUAGCUUGAUAAAGCUUGGACCUUUGGGCUCAAGGGACCUCAUAUUGUCCAUAUCUGAAGUCUCAAAUUCAUGGCAGGCUCAAACAACUCAAGUACUCAAAGAAGGAUGGAAAAAGGCCCUAAAACUCCUUAGAAAAGAGAUCUAACCAAAUAAUGAUCAAGGUGGUAACUUUUUACCUUCAAACAGAAGCUAGAAAUGAAUAAGCACCAGAUCCAAGAGCUCCCUCUCGUCCCAAGCCUUUUGUUCCUCAAUCUUUCUCCAAAAAUGCACCAAAAUACACAAUAUUAUCCUCUCCUUCUCUCACACAUAGAUAUAGCUCGAUUAGGGUUUCUCUCAGAGUUUUAGGAUGAUAAGGGAGGAUGAAAUGAAGGCUUAAGGUCCUUUAAAUAGGACACAAACCCUGAAAAUUGGGGUUUUCUCACUCUGCUCCUACUCGUCGAGUUGGGGUCCUCCAACUCGUCGAGUAGACUCUAAAAAUCACGCAACCUUUAACUCCUCUACUCGGCGAGUUGGGGCAUCCAACUCGUCGAGUUGCUCUGACAUCAUAAAUGCAAAUUUAUUAAAUGUUAUAUAUGGGAGCAGGAUGGUACAUGUAACGACCCAAUUUUCAUGACCAAAAAUUUUGUUUUAAAAACAUUACUUUAGAAAAUAUUAAAAGCUAAAAACAUUGUCGGAUCAAAUCAUAACACAAGUGAACCAUGUCUAAAAGCCAAUUCAUACAUUCAAUCAAAAUAUCAGAGUACAAAUCCCAGUGAAGCUCGUAAAUGCGGAAACCGGAGAGUGUGUGUGUGACAUGCUGCUACCGCGCCGGCUCCUUUCCCCUAGCUGAGGAGGUACCUGAAACCAAAACUGAAGACUGUAAGCACAAAGCUUAGUGAGUCCCCCCGUCGUACCACAUACCAUACAAACACGUAACAUACAUACUGUCAGGCUAUUCUGGGGUGCCUGACUACCCGGUACGGCCGUUCUGGGGUGCCGUCCUACCCGUGUCAAGCCAUUCUGGGGUGCUGACUACCCGUGUCAAGCCAUUCUGGGGUGCUGACUACCCAUGUCAAGCCAUUCUGGGGUGCUGACUACCCAUCGGUCCUAACAACCGAUCCUCGGGGACUAGUCCCCUCUUACUACCUUUAUCUCAUAUAACAUAACAAGCCAGCAUGCAAUCAUAUCAUCACGUACUGUCAGACAUAUCUGGGGUGUCCGACCUACCCUUCGGUCCUAACAACCGAACUCUACAACUAUCACAUAUACAUAUCAUGCCAGCAUAUAACAUAUCAGGUAGUAGCAAACCUAGAUGAUAUCACAAAGACAAUCAUCUAACAUACAACUCCUACUGGUGGGCCGGCAUUGUGGCCGUAGACCCACCGCUACUGGAAGGUAACUCACCUCGAAGUAGCUGCUGAUCUGAUCGGGAACUGACUGCCUACUGCUGCUGCUGCUGCUCCGGAAAUCCUCCGGCUGCAAUUCCCACAACAUACUCAAUCAAACACUGCUCACUGACCUUUGGGUAAAAUGACCAUUUUACCCCUGAUCAUGCCCUAAGUCAAAGUCAGAGUCAACUUUCAGUUGACCCGACUCGCCGAGUUGGCUUUCCAACUCGCCGAGUCCCUACCCAAACGACUGCCCUGAAACCCGAUCCUACCCGUCGAGUUAGGCGACGACUCGACGGGUUCACCUUCUUAACCAAUAUUCAAGUCCUUCAUUCUACUCGCCGAGUUGUAUGAACAACUCGCCGAGUUCAUCUUCAUCCGAAGAACACUUAUGCUAAGACUCGCCGAGUUGUAUGAACAACUCGCCGAGUCUGUUCUUGAUCUAAGGAGAUUGCCUUGAACUCGCCGAGUCAGGGCAUUGACUCGCCGAGUACCUCCAUAGAUGAGUUAAGCUUCCGACUCACUGAGUCACACCCCGUGACUCACUGCUCACUCGACACUACGAAAAGGGGACAAACUCGGAGACUCGCGAACAGACUCGCCGAGUCAUAUGAACGACUCGCCGAGUCGUUGCCAUGCAUCCACUAAAUACACAGAUUUGCUCGAUUCCAGUCCAUGCCAUUCAUAGAUCUGGGCUUCUAGGACACGAAUCACACGUAAAGUUUCCAACUUUACGUGUGGAUAUUCACCAAUAUGGAUUUUAGGGCUCAAAAUGUCUCAAAAGGGUAGAUCUAGGGCUAACAAGCAACAUGGGGCCAUAAAGCUAACAGAUCUGAGCUCCUGGAGCUCAAUCUUGCCUAGAUCCAGAGGCCAAACAUCUUAUUACGACAUACAAUGCACAUACAAGCUUGGGGAUUUGACCAAGAAGGACCCAAAUGAAGUUUUAAGCAUAGAAUCAAGGGGAAAACGGGUUAUACCUCAAAGGAACUGCUGGAAGAACACAAAUAAUGCCUGGAUGGCUUCCCUUCUUCUGGAUCUACUUCCUUCCUCCUUCCAAACCUUCAAAAACACACACACUAACCUCAAACUCUCAAGGAAUAGCUUAGAACGAGAGAUACAGGGCUUUAAGGGUCAAUGGGGGCCGGCUUGGGGCUGAUAAGUCCUUUAAAUAGGGUGCAAACCCCUGAAACUUAGGGUUUCAUCCAACAGCUAUGACUCGCCGAGUCCAGGAUAUGGACUCGCCGAGUCGCCAACUUAAACGUGUCCCGGGUCCCGCAUCCACUCGGCGAGUCGGACCUAUGACUCGCCGAGUCCAAGGCUAAAAGAAAGGAAAUACUCAAAUAACAUUUACGUACCAGGAACCGGGUGCUACAGUACAUCAGUUGUAUCAAAACCAUCUUUUAAAUGUUAGAAUGAUUUUUAUGUUAUGAUAAUCUUUGGUUUUUGGGAAACAAGCAUGGAUUUCUUUUUAGCUUGCAUCAUGUUAAUGAUUCGACCGAAGUGGCUUGCAUCAUGCUUGCAACUAUGACUCCUGAACUUCAAAAAACUUUUGAGUUUCAUGAAGCAUUUGAAAUGAUUGAACAACUGAGUCAUGUUUCAAGUUCAGGCUAAGCAAGAUAGGUUUGAGACCUUGAAUGCUUUCAUUGGUUGCAAGAUGGACAAAGGAUCUUUUGUGAGGUCACAUGUACUAAAAAUAAAAGCUUAUGUUGACCAACUUUCCUGCCUCAGAUUCUAAUUUGGGGAUGAGCUAAAGACCAAUGUGAUCCUGGCCUCACUGCCUAAGUCAUUCAACCAAUUUUUGAUGAACUUCACAAUGAAUUAUUAGGAGAUGAGCAUUAAUGAGCUUCAUAACUUGCUCAAAAUUGUUGUGAAAAACGUCAAGAAGUCUGGGAACAAUCAAGUGCUGAUGAUUCAUGAGGGUCUAAUCUCUAAGAAGAAAACUAGUACUAAUAUCGGUUAGGGGAAAGGAAAAGCUGCCAAGAAAGGCAAGGGCAAGGGAAAGGGUAAAGGGAAGCCUCCUUCCACUAACCCAACUCCUAAACCCAAGCCUACUGCUAAUGUUGAUUGCUUUAAAUGUAAUGAAAAUGAACAUUGGAAGCGCAACUGUCCCAAAUACCUAUAGGAACUUAAGAAGAUCAAAGCCAACUAGUUUGGCACCUCAGGUAAUAUGUGAUUGAAUUACAUGCAUUCCGUACUAAUUCUUGGGUAUUCUAUACUGGAAGUGGUACUAACAUCUGGAAUGAUUUGCAGGGACUAAGGAAUGUUAGAGAACUAAGAGAUGGCGAUUUGGAACUUCAUGUUGGCAAUGGCAAUCGAGUAGCUAUCAAAGCCAUAGGACAAUAUCAUCUUUUUCUUCCAAAUGUCCUUAAUCUUAUUUUUAACAAUUGUUGUUAUGUACCUAGUAUAACUAGGAAUAUUAUAUCUACUUCUCGCUUGUAUGAACAAGGUUGUCGUUAUAAGUUUGACUUUGAUUUUGAAAACAUUUUCGUGUUUAAGGAUAAUGUGUUCUAUUUUGAGACUAGUCCCACAAAUGGAAUAUACGAAAUCGAUUUAAAUGGUUCAUACACAAAGGAUAAUUCAAUAUUCAACUUAAAUAAGAAAACAAAGUUAGACUCAAAUAAAACUUUUUUUUGGCAUUGUCGACUUGGGCACAUAAGUAAAACUAGCAUUACUAAGCUCCAAAAGGAUGUGAUAUUAGAGUCAACAGGCUCAAAGUCUUUUGAUGUAUGUGAAUCAUGUAUAUGUGGCAAGAUGACCAAAGCUUUGUUUACCGGUGUUGGUGAAAGAGCUUCGGAUCUAUUAGGACUCAUACAUACUGAUUUAUGUGGACCUUUUAGAACAAUGACCAUAAGCGGUGAAAGAUACUUCAUUACACUUAUUGAUGAUUACAGUAGAUUUGGAUAUGUGUAUCUCAUGAAACACAAAUAUGAACAUUCAAUGUCUUCAAGGUUUUCCAAACUGAAGUACAUAAUCAACUUGGUAAAAAUAUUAAACCCAUACGAUCAGAUCGUGGUGGUGAAUAUCUGAGAUAUGAGUUUGAUGAACAUCUGAAGAAUUGCGACAUAGUGUCACAACUCACUCCACCGGGAACACCUCAGCAUAAUGGUGUCUCAGAAAUAAGAAAUCAUACUCUACUUGAUAUGGUGCGAUCAAUGAUGAGUGAUACUUCCCUUCCUCAUUUAUUUUGGGGUUAUGCCCUUGAAACCGCAGUUCGAACUGUAAACAUGGUCCCAACUAAAAAGGUUAGUAAGACUCCCUACAUGUUAUGGCAUGGAAAGGAUCCAUCAGUGUCUUUCUAAAAUAUAUGGGGUUGUGAAGCAUAUGUUAAAAGAGAAACUUCUGACAAGCUUGACCCUAGAUUUCAUAAGUGUAUCUUUGUUGGAUACCCAAAAGAAACCGGGUGUUCAUAGCUCGUAAAACAAUGUUUCAUGUAACUGAAUUUAUCUUGCAUAAAGUAAGUGGGAGCCCCCUUGACCUCGAAGAAAUUCGAGAGAAACAACCUUUAGUUGAAAACGAUAAUCAACAAAGCAUUUUUGAACAUGAACUUAUUAUUCAGAUGCCGGAAACCACACCAAUUGUACGAUGUUCCAGUAGAACUCCUCAUGAACCUGACAAAUUUGGAUUUGUCAUUCCUGAAUAGGAAGUCUUCUUGAUGGAUCAAUAUGAGCCCAUCAACUAAAAGGAUGCUACUGCAGACCCAAAGUCUAACAAAUGGCUUGAAGCCAUGAGAACUAAAAUCCAAUCCAUGAAUGACAAUCAAGUAUGGGACUUGGUUGAUUUACCUCCUAACAGUAGAGCUGUUGGAAGCAAGUGGAUCUUCAAGAAGAAGAUCUACAUGGACGGAAAUGUACUCAAAUUCAAGGUGUUGACUAUGAAGAUACCUUCUCGCCAUUUGCUAAGAUUGAAUCUAUUAGAAUUAUCAUGGCAAUAGCUGCAUAUUAUGACUAUGAGAUUUGGCAAAUGGAUGUCAAAACCACGUUCCUUAACGGAUAUCUUGAGGAAGAUGUUUUUAUGGAACAAUCUGAAGGUAUUGUCAAGCCGGAUAACCUAAAGAAGGUACGUAAACUAAAGAAGUCCAUUUAUGGAUUAAAACAAGCAUCUGGGGUGUGGUAUCAUCGUUUUGAUGAAAAGUGUUGGGUUUUGAGCAUUCUAACACUCCUAUGGUGUACAUGCAACCCUAAAUACCUUGGAUCUAUGUUUUCUCUAUUAUACAUGAAAUAUCAAUUUCCAAGGUAUUUAUCCUAACUAGCAUAUUAUGAAGUACAAGUAAUAUAGAAACUAGUAGAAAUACAUACCUCUUUGUUGGUGCUUGAUUCCAUGGAGCUCAAGAGCCUAGUGCCCCAAAUGUGACACCUCAAAUGGUUCACACAACAUCAUAUGCACGUGGAAUAACUUAGACAGAAAUCAUCACUUCAUGAAAUCGACUUGCCCUCCAUAUACACACAUAGUGGCCGAUUUUUCACAAGAAUAUGAUGCUUAUAUAGUUGUUACAAUUAGGGUAAACCCUAAUUGUCAUGGCUUUCCAUUUCCUUAGAUCCAUGGGUUCAAAUACACCAUGGAGCAUCCAUGGAGUAUCCUAUGGGUUUUAGCCUAACUUAACAAUCCAUGGAGUCUUAGCCCACUAUACAGGUAUGUAUGAUAUACACAACCAACCCAUAUAUUUAAUUAGUCUUCUUUUGAUCACUUAAUUAAUUCUAGAUUAAUUCUUGAUCAAUAUUAAUUAAAUAAUCUUAUUAAUAUAUUAUAACUUAUAAUAUAUUAAUAAACCUUAAGUGUUAUUUCUCUCAUUUUAUUCUAUCCAAAUGCAUGAUGCCAUGCAACCCAAAUGGACUAUGUCGGGUCGGGUCAAGUAUAUACCAAUUAUAGUUAUGGACUUAGACACUAAUCCAACAAUCUCCCACUUGGAUAAGUCUAAUAACUAUCAUUGCAAGUACGGCUUCACAACCCGACCAGCAAUCAUAGCUCUUAAAAGUUGUUGCCGAUCUCUGAACAAAUCAAUGACGCGUCCAUUAGAUAAAUGAUCAUAUAUUCCUCCAUUCUAGACAUCAUAUGGACUGAGACAUGGAUUAUAAUCAUUCUCUCUGCCAUUUGUUAUUUCCCGAUGUCUGAUUUAAGAUGAUCAACUAAUUGAACAAAUCAAAUCAGUCCAGGCUUAGCCAAGCACUUAGGGGUGCCAUCACUAAAUCAUCUAGGGGCCCACAGAUAUCUCUUUUAUCCCAUUAAGGGUAAAAGGAAUGGAGAAACUCCAACUCAUAUGCUUGUACUGACUACUAUUUGAAUCAUACAUAAAUUCACGUUUAUAACAUCGAGUUACCAAUGCGUUUUCGUGCAAUCAAUGUAUAACCAACUCGUAGUCAACAACUGAUAUCUCUAGGUUUGAAGAAUAUAAGAUAUUAUGUGGUGUAAGUGUUCUUAUCCAUGUGAAUUUGUCAUCACCAUAAUCACAAGACAAGGUGUCACACCCCAAAACCGAGAACGGCGGAAACGUUCUGGGGCGGAGGACGUCAUGUAAUGUAUCACAAUAAAUGUAAAGUAGUAAACAAGCAACAACAUCGUCCAUUCAUUAAUAGUAAAAGUUUAAUAUAUGUGUGUUCUUUCAUAGUAAUAAGACAUUACAACAAGUAAUCAAAAUAAAAGACGAGUCUUGACUGCUCUGUCUUCGCAAAACCUGGUCAUCGUACCUGUCUACUGGUGACCUGAGAAUACAAGUUAUUUUGAAAGUGUAGGUCAGCAUUUAAGCUGGUGAGUUCAUAAGUAUUUAAUGUCAUCGUUUGUAUAAGUAUGAAGAAAACAUUUGGAAUUAUUCAAUGUAAUUGUUUGUAUAAGUUUGAAGAAAACGUUUGGAAUGAAUCAAUGUAAUUUUUCAUAUAAGUUUGAAGAAAACGUUUGGAAUUAAUCAACGUAAUUGUUUGUAUAAGUUUGAAGAAAACGUUUGGAAUGAAUCAAUGUAAUUGUUUGUAUAAGUUUGAAGAAAACGUUUGGAAUUAAUCAACGUAAUUGUUCGUAUAAGUUUGAAGAAAACGUUUGGAAUUAAUCAAUGUAAUUGUUUGUAUAAGUUUGAAGAAAACGUUUGGAAUUAAUCAAUGUAAUUGUUCGUAUAUGUUUGAAGAAAACGUUUGGAAUUAAUCAAUGUAAUUUUUCUUAUAAGUUUGAAGAAAACGUUUAAAAUUGUUCUACAUUUGUAUAAAACUGAAUAAAAUAGUUUGUACAUGUUUGAAAGUUUCUAGAAAAUCUGAUAUUUUCUACUAGUAUAACCAUACUAAGGCAUUUGAUAAUCCCGUAAACCAGUGUGUUUCUAAUACUCCAUGUGAGUUUUAUAACCAUACUAAUGACCCAGACUUCCUGUAACAACGUUCUUCAGGCGUUGAAAUGUUAUGACAUUUGUCACCCCAGGCCUGCGGGCCUAGCUGUAGCUAACAACUUAGGUGCGGGAUUGUCAAUCCCGUAUAGAUCUAUACACAAGUAUCACGCUCCCCCUACAAUGGAUUAUGGUAUGUAAUACAGGACUUAAAAUGCAUACUCGAAAGUACGUGAAAUGUCUCACAAAACUUAGUAUCAAACAGAUUUACGUAUGAAAAUGUCCAUUUGUUCUUGAAUAUGAAAGUAUUUCUUUGAUAUAGUAUUUCUAGUAUGUAAAUGUUCAUGAUUUCCUCGUAAACUAUACCUAUUAUAGUCAUUCAAAGUGUGUGUUUCGUUCGUAUAGCAAAUCCUAGUGUAAUGUUCACUUGUUAUGUAAAGUAUAACAUCUAAAAUGACAUAAAUGAUCACAUAUACUUAAAGUAUAAAUAAAGGGUUUGAUUCGCAUAUCUAACUACUUUAUAAUACAUACAUCUUGGUGGGGACCACAAAAUUUAAGACAAAGUCUUAAAAACAAGGGGAAUCAAUUUUGACCUUAGAUUUUUUUUGAACGGUGGAGAUUAUAUUAUUGUUGGUGAUCCAAGUAAACAUCUUUAAACCAAUCACAAACAAGUAUUCUAGAUUUUCAAUUCUUUAAAGUUUAUGUCUUCCAUAUUUAAAUUUACAGGGAACGGGAAAGAAAUCACCUUUCAUUUAAAAUCACAUUUCUCAUCUUCUCGAAUUGCCGUCUCUCUAGAACCUCCUCACUAUCUUCAUCUUCUCCAUUAACGACUCUGGAGAUCAAUGUCAUCAUUACCUUUACUUACAGCUAAUCCGUUCACCAUUACCUUACUUCCAUCAAACCCCCACACCAACAAUAGAGUUUCUCAUGACAUUCUCCCUCUCUCUUUCUUCAACGCCACCUCCAUUCUCAAACACGGGUAGGAUAAAAUUUUUUCAAAUCUUUAUGUGUAGAUCCAUUUGUGUGUGUGUUUUACAGAAAGAGACUAAGGCCACAGGUAGGAUAAAACAUUUAAAAUCUUUAUGUGUGUGUUUUAGGGAUCUAUAUGUAUGUAAACCUAUUUAUAUGUAUAAAUUUGUGUAUUUAUGUUUAAUAUAUUUUCGAUUUUGAUGUUCUAAGAGUUUUAUAUUUCAUAUUUUCAGAUUUGAAUCUGCAAAUUCUACACAAAAAGACAAAAAGUUGGAUCUCUUAUAAUCUGUUGUAGAUAUUUGUAGGUCUUACUUACUCAAUGCAGUGUAGAUAUGUGUUUUAGAUGUGUUUUUUGUUGUAUUUUGUAAGUAUCUAUAUUUUGUUUAAAGAUAAAUGAAUUAAUUAGUUCUAUGUUUUUUAUUAUUAUUAUUUAGAUAUGUAUAAUGGAUUUCAAUGAUUUGGAAUAAGAACUAGGAACUGUAUGUCACAGAUUAAGAUUUGUAUUGCAUAAAUUACGUUUGAUUUUUUACAUCUAGAUUUUUAAUAAUUUUAUAUUUUGAUGCAUGAGUGAAGGACAUAAAAACACAACAAAACUAAUUUCCGGUUUUUGUUUUUCUCUUUAGAUGUAAGGUUUUGAUGGUAAAACCUAAAGGUGCAAAAUUUGUUGUUCCAUGAUUUAGUGUGAUUUGUAUAUUCUAUCUAUUUGUAUUAGUAUUGAAUGAGUUAUUUGUUUAUUUUUAUUAAUAAACGAGAAAAAUAUUUCCCUUUUUUUGUGUAGAAUAGUCUUUCUAUUUUUAAAUAUUUGGAGUUAUACUUUUUAUAUAAAAAAACUUGAAUGAGAUAUUGUAACUAUUCUAUUUACAAAUAAAAAAAUAUUUUGCUAGACAAAAAAUAAAUAACAAUUGAAAUAUUUUGAAGAGGUUGUAAAUUUUGUUUAUAGAUAAAAAUAUUAUGUUUGAGUAUAUAAUAUUAAAUAAGGAAAACUGUUUUCUUAUAAGAAACGAUUAACUUAAUUAAUAAAUGACUUUUGUAAACAAAAUUAUAAGGAAAAAAAUCAAAGAUAAAAAUGGCGUUGCAAAAAAAUAGAAAGAGUUAAGAUUCUUUCAAAUAUGCUGAUUAUCAUAAAUGUUGCGAUUGGUACAAAGUGCUUUGGGUAUUCUAACAGUUUAAAAAAAAAAAAACUUUUAGGUUUGUGAAAAGAAAUGUGGCGAUAUCAUGGGUUUGUAAAAUACGUCUUUUCGUUAAAAAAAUGAUUUUUUUAUAUUUAAUACUAAUAUUCAUUUUACAUUUAUAUUUAAUUAUAAAACUUUUUGAUUAAUAUAACAAAAUAGACGUCAUUUCAUUUUAAAAAAUGAAAUCAAUUAUGUAUAAGGUAUAUCCAAAUUUAUAAAUAGUUGUUUUUUAUACAAACAACAGUUUAGGAUGAUUAACAGUCUAGGAUGAUUAGAAAAAAAUUUGUCUAUAAGUUAAUAUGCUAACAUAAAAGAUGUUAUAUAAACAAGUUAAAAUAACAAAUAUUACUGCAUAAUAUUUUAAAUUUUUUUGAAUCUCUAGAUAUAUGAUUAUGUUGUUUUAAUGGGUUUUGUUUUGCAAAAUUUACUAUGAAUUAAGAAACCACAAAAAUAUAAACACUUGAAAGAUUAAUACAAGUGAAAAACAAUAAGUGAGUUUCCUUAAAAAAAAUGAUAUGUACAAAGAAAAAAAGUGAUUAAAUGUAUAUAACUUUGUACAUAUUUUUUAUUAUCUUUCAUAUUUAAAUAAUGGGUUAAUAACUUUUUUUGGACGGGAGUUUUAGUUUUUUCAAUAUCUCUGAAUAAAAUAUAAAUGAUUUUGAACUAUUACUUUUAUCCAAAAAUCUAACACACUUAAUUUUUUGUUAAUUUUUGGUAACAAAAGAACGAAUUAAAAAAAAAAUUCUAAUUUAUUGAAUUUUAACAUGCUAAAAAAAUUGACAACUUUAAGUGUAUUUAAUUAUAUCUUAUAAUAAUCAUAUAAUACUAUUUUAUUAAACUUAUAAUUAUUAUAUAAAUAUAUAUACUAAACGAAGCCUUAAACCAGAUCCUCCCGUUUUUACUAUUUCGUUUAUUAGAAGUAUUUAAGAAUUUUAUUUGUUGCUUAUUAGCUUAUUACUUAUUUGCUUAUUGUGGUGAGAAUAAAUAUUUUUUUAAAAUGUGUUUGGAUUAGCAUAUUGCGGUGGGAAUAAACAAUAAGUAAUAAACAUUUAAGUGUUUGACAAAAUAAAACAACUUAUAUGAGUAAAAUGACCAAUAAACAAUAAAUAAUAAGCAAUAAGCAUUCCCCCUCUUGCUUAUUAAAAUCAGUUUAUUUUGUUUAUUCCUACCGCAAUAAGUUGAUUUUUAAAGAUUACUAUCCAAACACUUAAAUUUGCUUAUUGCGGUUGGGUUUAGCAAUAAGCAAUAAUCAACUUAUUUUUUCCCUAUCAAAACACCCACGUAAUAUUAAUUCCAAAGCCAACUACACGAUUUAUAUUUGGAUUUGGAUUACAAGCACAAAGGUAACACAUCAUCAAAUAUGAAAUUUAUUAAUUUAUCAUUGUGGUCCCAUUUUUUCAACUAUUUGUAUUACCCUCAUUUUAAGUAUAUUUUAAAAACUAAAAAACACAUCUUUAUUUAAAACCAAAACAAGAAUGCAUGUAAAAUAAUUGCACACAAAGAAUAUAUUCUAGAAAUAAAUUUCUGAAUCAAAACAAAUUGCGGAAAAAACUUUUUUCGCUAUAAUUUGUAAUCCAUUNUUUUUUUUUAAUUUUUUAAAAAUUUUUUUUUUUUUUUUUUUUUUUUUUUUUUUUUUUUUUUUUUUUUUUUUUCUAAAAAUAAUAAGACUUUUCUGUUAAAAAAAAUUAAGACUUUGAUUUCUGAUAAAAAAAAAAGACGAGUCAAGAAAAAGACCUGUACGAAAAACGAACGGUCGAGACAACCCGUAAUACAUCGAAAGCAAAUUAUUCGUUGUUCGGGAAAAAUUUACUAAUCUCCGGAAUGAAAUUAAUCGUCGUCCGCUGCAUCGCGCGGGUAGCCUACUAGNNNNNNNNNNNNNNNNNNNNNNNNNNNNNNNNNNNNNNNNNNNNNNNNNNNNNNNNNNNNNNNNNNNNNNNNNNNNNNNNNNNNNNNNNNNNNNNNNNNNNNNNNNNNNNNNNNNNNNNNNNNNNNNNNNNNNNNNNNNNNNNNNNNNNNNNNNNNNNNNNNNNNNNNNNNNNNNNNNNNNNNNNNNNNNNNNNNNNNNNNNNNNNNNNNNNNNNNNNNNNNNNNNNNNNNNNNNNNNNNNNNNNNNNNNNNNNNNNNNNNNNNNNNNNNNNNNNNNNNNNNNNNNNNNNNNNNNNNNNNNNNNNNNNNNNNNNNNNNNNNNNNNNNNNNNNNNNNNNNNNNNNNNNNNNNNNNNNNNNNNNNNNNNNNNNNNNNNNNNNNNNNNNNNNNNNNNNNNNNNNNNNNNNNNNNNNNNNNNNNNNNNNNNNNNNNNNNNNNNNNNNNNNNNNNNNNNNNNNNNNNNNNNNNNNNNNNNNNNNNNNNNNNNNNNNNNNNNNNNNNNNNNNNNNNNNNNNNNNNNNNNNNNNNNNNNNNNNNNNNNNNNNNNNNNNNNNNNNNNNNNNNNNNNNNNNNNNNNNNNNNNNNNNNNNNNNCCGGGGCUUUGGGAGGGUCUCGGGGGCUUAAACGCAGAGUUUCGGCGCGAGAAAGAAGGGAACUGAGCAAUGGAACUCGGAGCCCUUGAAAUAUAUUUAUAGGGGCAUUUUUGAGGUGUGCCACGUCAUGGCAAGGGAUGGACACGUCGUGGGGAGUCAAACUUAUCCUCUUCCAUUGAUUGGACGCCCUCAGUCACUUGUCGGGUCGCGGCAAGCUUGUGCCACGUCGUAGCAAGCCUGACAGCCUCGGAUUUCGAACGUCGAAUUUGUAAAACCCAUAACUUUUGCGUACGAGCUUCGUUUUGACGUUCUUUAUAUGCAUGCGU